This 119619-nucleotide long non-coding RNA is filed under the name Coffea arabica (coffee). Its description in RNAcentral is "long non-coding RNA (CARA_LNC007267)". The stretch from base 112221 to 112327 matches the Rfam family "Plant small nucleolar RNA R71". Lineage: Eukaryota; Viridiplantae; Streptophyta; Magnoliopsida; Gentianales; Rubiaceae. The record is from RNAcentral.
CCUCCUCCCCCAGUUUACCUGUCUCCACCUCCACCCUAUCAUCACUACUACGGUUCUCCUUCUCCUCACCACUACUAAGCAAGUGCAUAAGUUUUGAGGUAAUAAUACCUAUCCAAAACUUUAUCAACACAAACUGCCAUGUAUAUCAUGCUAAGGACGUACACUUGAUCCAUGAAAAUGACUAGUAGAAGAUUUUUUUUAAGAACCAAAGAAAUACAUUAUUUUUUCGGUCUGUUUUCAAGAAUUUGAGCAGUAUACAGAUUAAAGAGUGUUUUUUUUUUUGUAAACUUGCUUGUCAACUUAAAAAUGCACAUAGCUGAAAGCCAACUGAAUAUUUGCAGGCAAAGGAGAAGGCAAUCGGUGUUUGAGACCUUCAAGAAGAUGUAGAAGAAUAAGAAUAAAAGCCCAAUGCGAGGAUGAUUCCAAGUUUCUACGUUACCAUUUCUACAUCUAAAUUGACUUUAGCUCCUGAGUUCCAUGUUUAUGGGGUUUGUACCGUUUUACGUACCAUGCAGUACAUGCUUGCAAGGUUUUCUGUCCUGUUGGCAAACUGCAGGUCCAUAUAAUAAAUGAAUACUAUUUACAUUACGACACUUUUCUCUUUUUCUCUUAUAUUUUGUCUUUAAUAUUGUUGAUCAUUUUUUUUUUAUCAAAAGCAUCAAAUGCUUAGGUAAUUUGGUCUAAUGCUAAUUGUUUUACUUUUAUUUUUCACCUACACCCCUUUUCAACUCAAAGGAUGCUAUAGUUUGUGAUAAUUGUUUAAGACCGAAGCAUGAUACUAAUAAAUAUCUCAUUGAAAGUCAAGGAAACUAACAUUAGGAAAAGUUUAAAUCUUGAUUUGAUGAAACUAUUUAUUCGUGGAAUUUAGAGAUACAAAACUCAAAUUGUGACGGUGUUGUUGCUAAAUUAUUAAGGACAUUAUCACCAUUAUUUUUCCCUGAUCACUAGUUUCAACUGCAAUGAUCUCAAUCUUUUUGUGACUAAUUCUUUCCUUAAUAAUUUAUAAAGACAAAACUCACAAAGAAUAUGUGACUAAUUCUUUCCUUUCGUCUUCUAAAGAAAAUGCCAACUGUUAGUUUAUCAAGGGGAAAAAGGAUCGACAUCAGUUAUUAUUGAAACUAGUAAGGAAUAAAUAAUGGUGAUAAUGUCCUUAAUAAUUUAACAACAGCACCAUCAGAAUUUGACUUUGAGCUUCGGUCUUAAACAAUGAUCACAAACUACAGCAUCCUUUGAGUUGAAAAAGGAAGUAGGUGAAAAGAAAAGUAAAAAAUACAAUUAGCAUUCCCUCAAAUUGUAGAAAGUUAGGUAGCAUUAUAGACAAGUUGAUAGCGGCAAUUUUACAUUUCAAACUUCACCUAUUCAAUAACUAAUUCGAUGGCUUGCUACAUGGUCAAUCUUUGGACCCCUUCCUGCCUCCAGAUAUCCCUUUCCUCAAUCAGGGGCUUCUACAAUUACCAGUUUCAAUUGUAUGGUAUAGUGUAAAUAUCAACAAAUUAGAUGUAGAUGCUAACAUAAUAAAUGUGAAUGCUAAGACAGCAACAUACAAUCGAACCUGCAAUUGUAUGAACCCCAAUCUCGCUUCCUAGUCCACCAUCUUUCUCUAGGUAAUAAUCUCCCUUCUAAUUUAUUCACAAAAUGCACCUUUCAUCACCUCCAAUAGCGUCGACAUGAUCUUUACCCUAGAAGACUAUUCACCGACUCUCAAUUGACGUCAGAAAAUCUAAGAGUAAUUCUACUUUACCCUAAGAUUGAUAUCAACAAGACAAGGACAAUUUAGAAUUAUUACACGCCUCUUCUUAAUAGGAAAAAGAAAUAGAGAAGAAAGUCAGGCCAGGUCUAAUUUCUUUUCAAAGGCAAUACAACAUUACGAAAUCAAGCAUUCAUUCAUACAAAUAUUUCAUAGUCACCGGUUUGCUGAGUAGAAAAAUUUAGACAAAAACUUAAUAUUAUAUUGUUUAAGAGUUAACAAUUUAGAGCUUAAUCUCCUUGUACUUUGGAGUUAACAAUUUAGAGCUUAAUCUCCUUGUACUUUGGACUAAACUUGAACGUGAAAGGAAAUCCCAAAACCAUAUUGGGCAUGAAUUCACACUUAAUAUACCCAAUAAAAGAUGGCGACUGGUGAAAGGCAGUGGAGACUGGUGGAGAGAUUUGAGGAAUAGAAGCAGACGGAAAAGCAACAAAUUUUUGCCGAAAAACGGUCACUUUCAUGGUUAAUUUUGCUACUCUCCAAUUGUACUUGACCAAUUACAACAAUUUCAUGGAGUUUGAUACGUGAAAAGAAUUUUUUAUAAAUUUUAUUUUGAUCCAUAAUGUUAUCUUUACAUAUAUAAAACAUUUUACAAUUUUGAUUUUGGCGCAGCUAACUUUUGGUUAACAAAAAUGCUCAUGUUUAAAAAACCAGAAAUAAAACAAAACAAGAAACAAAAGAAAUAAGAGGGUAGCAUAGACAUUUUGGAUUUUUCCGUUAAUUUGGAUGAUUUCCACCCACGUUCUAAUUUAAUCCAAAACACAAAGGAAUUACGUAGAGGUUUUAAAUAAUCAGGGAGCUUCAUGAUCGAACCCCAAACCACGUGAUAGCAUACAAGAGUUCUAUUUCACUAUCGGUAGACAAAGACUUUCUAUGGUUGAUGUACCGUAGGAAAAAAUCUGCCUAUACAACGUGAUAGCAUUUUUUCAAAAACACAAGAUGGAAAAUUGCCCCCUUAAACGUGGAAAUUCAUGAUCUUUCCUCGAACAAAGAAUACUCACGCCUAUUCAAGAUGGAAAAUUGCCCCCUUAAACGUCUAUUUGUCAAUUCUUGAAAAAAGAAUACUCACGCCUAAAACACGGCCUCUUCAUCUGCAGAAUUCUAAAAAGUUACGUAAACUCUAUAAACAAGUUGAUAGGUACAAUCGUACCCAAGAUCAAGUACAGAUAGUUGUACAUUCACUGCUGCAAUAACUAAUCUGAUGACUUACAAACAUAUCAUGGUCAAUCGUUGAAUGGUAAUGAGUCUUUUGUUAUGCAUUAGUAUUAGUGUGUACACUCUAAUAGAUUGAUACUUAUACUCUUUAAAUUAUCAUAAUAAUACCCUUAAUUAACUUUAACUCUUAAAAAGAAUACGUGUUAAUACACGAGAGUGUGUAACCUGAAUUGUUACUUAUACAUUAGUGUGUAAUAGAUAGGGAUGGCAGUGAGGGCGAGUGCCCGCGGGGGGCUCUCGGGGCGGGGGCGGGGGAGAAUUUUUUCCCCCCGUUUAGAAACGGGGCAGGGGACGGGGGAGUAUACCCCCGCCCCAUCCCCCGCCCCGCCACCCGCAAAAAAAAUUAUAUAUAUAUAAUUAUAUAUAAUAUGUAAUUUAAUUAGUUAUAAACUUAUGAUAAUGAUAUUAUUAGUUAGAUGUAUUAUAUAAUGUAUAUUAGUGUAUGUAAUAUAAUUAAUAUUAUCAAUUAUACGAAUAAUUAGACAUGUCCACUAAUAGAGUUUAUUAAUUAGUUAUACUAAAUUUACUAAUACAUUUGUACUAAAUUUCUAAUUACACUUAAUAGAAUAACACUUUUUUCUAAAAAAAAAAGCACAAACACAAUAAUGAAUUAGUGAUUGUAUUUGUACCAAAAGUGAAAACUUAACUAUUUUAGUUGUAUUUAUUUCAUCAUGUUGGAUUGUAUUCAAAUAAUUUUUGUUUGAUUGUUUUUAUGAGUUUCAAUUGUAAAAUUAAAAUGAAUAAUAACUUGAUGAUGUGUUGAUAUUUUAGUACUUGAUUAUUUAUUGAUUUAACUAUAAUAAAAUUUUAUUUUAUUAAAAUUUAACUAUAAUAAAAUUUUAUUAACCAAACGAGUUAUUAAUCCCGCGGGGGCACCCACGGGGGAAGCGGGGCGGGGCGGGGGAGUGGGAGGCGGGGGACGGGGCGGGGGUGGGGGGAGUUGUAGGUAGCGGGGCGGGGGAUGGGGGAGGGGUCCCCCGCCCCAACCCCGCCAUCCCCCGCCCCGUUGCCAUCCCUAGUAAUAGACUGGCAAGCAUUGUGGUGGUCAUUGAGAACUUACUGGAGAAAUAGUCCUAUAAGCUGUUCAAUGAGCAAUCACAACUUGCUAAUUGGAUGACUAAUAUAGCUCUAGCUGUAAUGUUUUAAUUAAAUUACAUCACUAACGUUGGGAUGACUUUUUAACCAAAAAAAAAUGCCUUAGUUCAAGCUUUUCCCUUUAUUGUGCAUUUUUUAAAGCAUUUGAUAGGCACUGCAAAUCUGUCAUUUUGGACAUUUUAUUAUUGACUAACAAUGAAAGCCGUGACGUCUACCCAUAACCAACACAAGAUUAAAUUAAUAUUAGAAAAAAUAAUUGAGUAAUUGGAAAAAAAAAAAGAGACUCAUUUUCAUUGAAACCCACCGACAAACUAAACGUGUCCAUGGCUUUUGAAUAGUGCAUUCAACGUUUAAUUGUAUAGUCCAGUUCAUUGCAGAUUACAUGGAGUAAAGAUUGUGCUCUUUCCUUUUUCACCCCUUUUGGAAUCGAUACUGUGGAGAAUUGGGUUUUUCCCUUCUUUUUUUCUUUUCUUUCCUUCUGUGCUUUGCAAAACAUAGGUAAAAAUAUGAAAUCCGAAGCAUUCUUUAAUUGGGAUUAAGUAUUGUUGUUGAAAUUAAAAAGAAAAAAGAAAGAACAACAAAAUUCCCAAUCUGGGUUGAUUGUUGAGCUCUAGAUUGGUUGCAUCGUGCUUCCAUAGAAGCUCUCUUAGUGUGAUACACUGCUUUCAAUCAGUUUAACACGGGAAAAAAAAAAAAAGAGAUGAAAAGCAAAUUUGGUGGGGAUAAUUUCAGAAACCUCCCCUGAAGAUUUUGACUAUUCUACUGGUCUCCCUUCAGAUUUUAAAAAUUACACUAAUCUUCCUUGAAGUUAAUUAUCUUGUAACAUUUAAAUUCAAUCAAUAAUUUAAAAAAUGAUAUUAUGAGAGAGAAAAUAAUGAUUUUAUCAUUGCCCCCCAUCUUACUACAUUAUUUAAUUAAUUUAAUAGCAACCCACACAUUAAAGAAAAAUAUUAAAAUUUGUUGUUUAUCAUUAAAGAUCAAAUCGCUUAUAACAUCAAAUAAUAGUAUAUUAUUUAUAUUUUUCACUCAAUAUAAUAUCCAAAUUACUCUUUUCAAUUACAUACCCAUUGUUAGACAAUCAACAACAAAUAACCAAAAAAUUUGCAACCAAAAUAUUACAAAAAAAUAAACUUUAACAUAUAAAUAUUCUUAUCAACAUAUUAAAGUUAGUUACUGAAAUUUUUAUGCUGUUAAACUUCACUCUUUUUGGUUACAGAUUUUUUUGAUUAUUUGUUAUUAAUUAUGUUUGAUGAUGGAUUUAUAAUUGAAAAGAACAAUUUGAAACUUACAUUAAGUAAAAUAUAUAGAGUGAUAUACUAUUUUUUAUAACAUAUGUGAUUCAAUCCUUCUUGAUAGGAUUGGUAAUAGAGGUAGAGGGGGGAGCCGGCUGCAUCCGGUCUACUUUUCAUAGAUAGUACAAUAUUGCGAAAUCGAUCGCAUUCACGCAAUAUUAUUUCCAAGUCAUUGCAUGGCUAAGCUGCAAAAAAAGUACGAACACAUGUUAUUAUAUAGCUUACGAUUCAAAACUUUAGAGCAUAACCCUCCACCUAACACAAUUGAAUAAUGAACAUUCACGUUUGUCAAAUCUGUCAAAGCACAGUUUGAGGACAACCCAUUCCAACCUGCAAAAGAUUUUUUACUUUUCUAAAGUUGUUGAGAGCUGUAAAAAGACUUACCAUGCUUGCAUCCUCCGAGCCUUGGGAGUUAAAAAUGAAGGCACUGAGUGCUAUAAAAAGGGGAAUAGAGGCUGCCUAGAAGCAUAUCAGCCUAAAACAAGAAUUUGUAGUUAAGAUGGGAAGCAAAGCAAAAGCAAUGGGGUCUGGGCUGACUCCUCUUCUUGCCACUGUUUUAGUGGUGUUUGUUGCUCUUGGCUUGCCCUCACAAACUGCAGCUGAUGAUCACUACAAGUAUUCAUCUCCUCCUCCUCCUUACCACUAUCCCUCACCACCACCACCAGUGCAUAUACCUCCACCUCAUCCUGUUUACAAGUACAAAUCUCCACCACACCCCCAGUACAAGUAUAAGUCACCACCACCACCUCCUCAUCCGGUAUACAGUCUCCUCCGCCACCACACACCCAGUUUACAAGUACAAGUCACCACCACCACCUCCUCAUCCGGUACCACACCCAGUUUACAAGUAUAAGUCUCCUCCGCCACCAGUUUACAAAUACAAGUCUCCUCCACCACCACCUCCAGUGUACAAAUACAAGUCUCCACCACCACCAGUUUACCACUACAAGUCUCCACCACAGUUUACAAAUACAAGUCUCCACCACCACCCCCAGUUUACAAAUACAAGUCUCCACCACCACCAGUUUACCACUACAAGUCACCACCACCUCCUCCCCCAGUUUACAAAUACAAGUCUCCACCACCUCCUCACCACUACUAAGCAAUUGCUUCUGAGGUAAUAACACUUGUUCAAUAUACCCACUUCUGCAUGAUAAAGCAUAUCUCUAUCAACACAAACUGUCAUGUCUAUCAUGCUAAGUGCCUUCACUUCAUCCACCAAAAUGACUGCUAGAAAAUUUUUUUUAUGUUACCAAAGAAAGGCAUCAUUUUUUCCCUCUGUUAUCAAGAACUUGUACAGUAUAUAGAUUAAAGAGUAUUUUUUUAACUAGCUUAUCAACUGAGAAAUGCAUAUAGCUGAUAGCCAGCUGAAUAUUUGCAGGCAAAGGAGAAGGAAACCAGUGUUUGAGACCUUCUUGAAGAUGUAGAAGCAUAAGAAUUAAAGCCCAAUGUGAAGAUGAUGAUUUCAAGUUUUUCUACGUUACCAUUUCUUUAUCUAAAUUGGUUGUAGCGCCUUAGUUCCUUUGUUUAUGGGAUUUGUAUCGUUUUACGUACCAUGCAGUACAUGUCAUGUUUGUAAGGUUUUCUAUCCUGCCGGCAAACCGCAGGUUCCAUGUAAUAAAUCAAUACUAUUUAUAUUACGACACUUUUCUCUGUUUCUCUUAUAUUUUGUCGUCUUUAAUAUUCUUAAUCAUAUUUUUAACAAAAAUAUUCAAACACUUAGGCAAUCUGGUCUAAUGCUAAUUGUAUGUUUUACUUUUCUUUUUCACCUGCUCCCCUUUUCAACUCAAAAGGAUGCAAUAGUUUGUGAUCACUGUUUAAGACGGAAGCAUGAUACUAAUGAAUAUCUCAUUGAAACUCAAGGAAACUAACAUUGCGAAAAGUGUAAAUCUUGAUUUGAUGCAACUAUUUAUUCGUGGAAUCUAUAGUUACAAAACUCAAAUUCUGACUGCGCCAUUGAUAAAUUAUUAAUGACGCUAUCAUCAUUAUUUAUCCCUAACUAGUUUCGACUACAACUGAACCCAAUAUUUUCCCCAUGAUAAAAGUUUUUGACUAUUUUACUGGCCUCUCUUCAAAUUUUAAAAAUUACACUAAUCUUCAUUGAGAUUAAUUAUCUUGUAACAUUUAAGUCCAAUUAAUAAUUAAAAAAUGAUAUUAUGAGAGAGAAAAUAAUAUAAUUUUAUCAUUGCCCCCCAUCUUGCUAUAUUAUUUAAUUAAUUUAAUAGCAACCCACACAUUAAAGAAAAAUACUAAAAUUUGCUGCUUUUCAUUAAAGAUCAAAUUGCAUAUGCCAUAAAACAUAGUAUAUCAUUCUAUAUGUUUCACUUAAUGUAAGAUCCCAAUUGUUCUUUUCAAUUACAAACCCAUUGUCAAUAACAAAUAACCAAAAAAUUUGCAACCAAAAUAUUACAAAAAAAAACUUCAACAUCAUAAAUAUUCUUACCACCUCUAGUGCAUUCACCCUCAUAAAAUAAUUCAAGACCCUACUGUCAUAAAAUGACUGAUCAACUCCCGUAAACCUAAUUUGACAACAUUUAAAUGGAGAACUUUAGCUAAAAGAAUUAUGGUCAAGCUAAAGAAAAAACCAGUUAUUUUCCAACAUAUGCAAUCAUUGAUCAGGGAAAAAAAAAAGAGCAAAAAGACAUCUUCAAUCAUUUAAUAGCUUACAGGGCAAAUUAACCCCUAAGCGAAAACUGGUUGCUCUAGAAUCAAAAUUUUACUUUAGUUACCCAGGCAACUUUUUUGUUGCUUUUUUUUUUUUUUUCCUUUAGUUUUGCCCCCUCUGUCAAGCUUAUAAAAUUAUUAAGAUAAUAAAAGUGCCUUGAAUAGUAUUAAUAUAUCCAUUGACUUGAGCUGUCGUCAGUUUGCGAUUCCAUGAGGCCUUUUCAAAGUACUCAGAAAAUGGGGAGUCAUGAAAUCCAUUUGUUCUAUUCAUUGCUAAGAUGCUUUUCUCUAUAAAGAGACUUCCUAACGAAAAUACUUUGUAGAUUUCUUUACUCCAAGUGGUGCAUGGAAAAUUAAUAUUUUCAAUUAUCAAAUAAAAUUCCCUUUUUUCGGCGUAGAUUUCAUCCAUCCAGCUGUUAACACAUUCUAUAAAUCCGAAUUGACUAAUCUUUUCGUUUCCAUUUUCCAACUUGCGAAUACGGCAUAUAGUGUCUGCUAAACACUAUAUAUUCUCUGCCAAAUAUGAAUACAUAUCACUUUUCUGAGCAAGUGCAGAGUCAUUAUCAUUUUUAUUCCCACCUAACAAAUUAGGGAUAAAAAAGUUAAUAAUCUUUACAUGCUAUCAGGUCACAAGUUAAUAAUCUUUUAAAGAACAUGUUAAAUUAAUUUAUUGGUAUGAAUAGUAGUCAAAGAAGUAUGUUAAAGUUAGUAAUCUUUAAAAUAAUAUGUUAAAAUCAUUCGUACAAAUUAGUCAGAGAAGUAGCAUAAACACCGCGAUGCAAUUAAUACUUUCAAUCUCAAGGUCUCUAUUAUGGAAAUUUGCAUCGGUCAAUAUACACUUGGCAUAAUAUAAUCUCCCAACUCAUUUCUUUACAAAUGCACCUUUAAUCACCACCAAAAGGUGUGGACAUGAUCUUUACCCUAGAAAACUAUUCACCGACAGGCAAAUUGACGUCAGAAAUACUGAGGAAUUCUAGUUUCCUUCGGGUUCAUGCCAUGUUGUAUCCUUCAACUGUAACUCGAUUUCUAAGCUGUAAUUUGUGACAUAAUAGUCCUUAAACUAUGAAACCCUUCUUACUUAAUUACAAUGGUUAAUACAAUGCCCGUGACUAGACAAGUAUGAAGCAACCAUAACAGAAAAAAAAUCCAAAAUUAGAGAAAAGAAAGAAGUUUCGCGACCACCACCAGUUUACAAGUCACCUCCACCACCUCCUCCAGUUUACAAGUCACCUCCACCACCUUACCAUUAUUCCUCACCACCACCUCCAGUGCAUUCACCCCCACCACCACCAGUUUACAAGUCUCCGCCACCACCUUACCAUUAUUCCUCACCACCACCUCCUGUGCAUGCACCUCCACCACCAAUUUACAAGUCACCUCCUCCAGUUUACAAGUCUCCACCACCACCUUACGAUUAUUCCUCACCACCACCUCCAGUGCAUUCACCCCCACCACCACCAAUUUAUAAGUCUCCCCCACCGCCUCCCCCAGUAUAUAAGUCACCACCACCACCUCCUCCAGUAUACAAAUCACCUCCACCACCUCCUCCAGUUGACAAAUCUCCACCACCACCAAUUUAUAAAUACAAGUCUCCUCCACUACCUCCUCCAGUGUACAAGUCAUCACCACCACCUGCUUACAAGUCUCCACCUCCUCCAGUUUACAGUUCCCCACCACCACCAAUCUACAAGUCUCCACCUCCACCCUACCAUUACUACUACAAUUCUCCUCCUCCUCCUCGUCACUACUAAGCAAUUGUAUCCAAGUUUUUGAGGUAAUAACGCUUAACCAAUAAAUUAACUUUCGCAUGAUAAACCUUAUCUCUAUCAAGACAAACUGCCAUGUGUAUCAUGCCAAAUACGUACACCUAGAUCCAUGAAAAUGAAUGGUGAGGAGGGCCAUUUAGGCUCGGAGCGCCCUAGGCCUAGUUCCCCACCAUUUCCUGAAGUGCCGCCUCGGGUAUUAUCCUGGAAGGCGAUCGCGGCCCAUUUACCACCUCGGCUACAAUGUCAGGUCGUAACACCGAGGUGGACAUUGAAUGACAACUACGAAAAGGGGAGAUGUGAUCUCUGACACCUGAGCAAAGGCUGCUCUGACCCGCCGCCUGAAUCUGACAGAAUGUCCCAUCACGUCUCUUCAUGGAGACCGGUCAAGUCCACCUGAUCCACUGACUAUCUCAGAUCUUUUGGGACCCGUGCAAACAUCUCCUCUCUCCUAUCAGUCCCCUAUAAAUACACGAUACUUCUACUGAAAAAGGAGAUGACCAAUUUCUGGUAAAACACACUCCACUCAUUAUUUACUUCUCUAUAUCCGAACUGACUUAAGCUUCGGAGUUAUACCGGGGGAUCCAGCCCCUUUCUUAUCCAAGCAGGUGACUUCGUCCAAGAGAGUUGCCCAAGGUAAAGAUAUUCUUCCAAUUGAGGUGACUCACUCCUGCGGGUCGAAAAUCACCUCUUCAAUUGGCGCCGUCUGUGGGAACCGCAAAGAUAUUAGAAGAUGAAGCCUGCGCGUUCUAGAAGCAGAAAAGCUCUCACUAUCGAGGCUGGGCAAAGCAAUGCAGCUCAACAAGAAAAUAUUUCUGAAGGGCAGGAGUCCCCAAGGACUCAGCCCGCAAACGAAAAAGCCAUAACCCGUAUGGCCGAGUUUGUGACCGAGAACCCCAACAUCUUUGAAGAGUUGGGAAGAUACCUGAAGAGGCAAGGCAAACAAAAGGCCGAGUCCUCUAAAAGGAUGUCAGAUGGGUCUCUUGAGGACUCAUCUGAGGAGGAGUCGGAUGGAAGGCACUUAAGCCGAAGUGCCUCAAAGCGAGCAUUUUCUAAGGCCACUUCUAAGGUAGCCUCCCUGACCAAGGCGUUUUCCCGAGGGCUCUUGGGCCGACGACCCGAGGAAGAACCUCGGCCCUUGGGAAUACCCGGGGUGGACUGCAUGAGGGCUCCACCGUUCACGGAUGAUAUAAACGAGGAAAGGCUUCCUCCCAAUUUUAAGCUCCCCGCAGUACAAUCUUACGAUGGCCGAGGUGAUCCCGAGAAUCACAUCCAUACCUUCAUCUCGGCCUUCCAAAUAUACUGCAUCCCAGACCCUGUCAUAUGUCGGGCCUUUCCAGUAUUCCUCAGAGGAACUGCUCGAAAAUGGUUCUGAGCUCUAGAACCUAGGAGCAUUUCGACCCUGGGUGAAUUAGUGGAGAAGUUUCUCCACCGAUUUGUCUCCUCCCGACCUACGACUAGGACCUCGGCUUACCUGCUCACCGUGCAGCAGAACCCGGGAGAGUCACUCCGGUCGUACGUCCGGAGGUUCCAUGAGGAAAGCGUUCAGAUACCUGACCCCAAUGAGCAGGUAACCCUCGCUGCCUUUACCCAUGGACUCGUUGCCGGGGAGUUCAAUACGGGGAUCCAUAAAAAAUACCCCCGCACACUGCAUGAAUUGUGGUUGAAGGUUGAAAAGGGCAUACAGGCCGAAGACCUCCAUCGCAUGAAGAAAGAGGUCCAAGCCACCCGUCCAAGGGCUGAGCCCAGAAAGGGAAAAGACGCUGGCCGAACUGAAGUAGGGUCGGGAAGUGGCUUCCGAAGUCCUGGCCGAGACCGCCGCAGCGUGUUCGACAGGAUAUCCAAGGGGAAGUCACCUAUUCCCGAGUCCGAGUUGACUCCUUUAAAUACUACCCGAUCUCACGUGUUGUCCGUGAUGGAACAAAACAACCUCGGCAAGGGCCCGCCGAGGAUGUUUGGAAGCAGAGACAAGAGGAACUCGAACCUCUACUGCUUGUAUCAUCGUGACAUUGGUCACGAAACUGAGGAUUGCAACGAUCUCAAGAAGGAGAUCGAGAACCUCAUUAGACGGGGACACUUGAAACAGUUCAUCCGCAGAGGUGGAGGUCACCAACGUGACGAAAACCGGCAUGACAAAUGAGGUGACCAACGCCGAGAUGAGCGGCGGAGCUCCAGAAGCAGUUGCCGACCUCCUGAGGAUCCCAGGGAGACGAAAAGGCCUCCCCCAGACGGAUCUUCGGGACAUGGGCCAACCAUUGCCCGGGUCAUUAACACCAUUGCCGGAGGUCCGACGGGAGGGGACAGUCAGAACUCCCGGAAGAGAACCUAUAAGCAGGCUAACCCGGAUCAGGCCGAGUCGAGUUCUCGCCUGUCCGAGGUGAUCACCUACGGGCUCAGUGAUCCCAUCCCAGCUGCAUCCAGCAGUCAUGAAACCUUGGUGAUUGAAGUCCUCACCAAUAACUACAUUGUGAAAAGGUCUACAUAGACCCGGGAAGUUCAGUUGACGUCAUGUACCUCCGUACCUUUGAGAGCCUUAAAAUGGCUAAGGGGUGCAUGACCCCGCUGAGAACCCCUCUUGUAGGGUUCGGGGGACACGUGGUGCACCCCGAAGGGAUGGUGACUCUGACAGUGACCAUAGGGCAUCACUCUCGCUGUAGAACCGUCCCUGUCAAUUUUGUGGUGGUUAAGGCUGACUCCCCAUACAACCUACUUUUAGGUCGGCCUACGCUCAAUGCCUUGCGGGCGGUCUACUCCACCUACCACCUGAGCUUCAAGUUUCCUACCCCAGCAGGGGUGGCCGAGGUCAGCAGCGACGUCUGUGCUGUCCGGGAGUGCUACCUCGCCACCCUACAAGCAGCCUCCCCGUCUACCUCCGGUGCGAGGUCCGAGAAGAGGUCAAAUAUCCUCUCAAUAGAUAGCAUCGAUCCUCAGUGAGCUGAGAAGGUCCCGAGGCUGGAGACUGGGGAUGAGGUGGAAGAGAUUCCCCUGGACCCCACGAAACCUGAUCAGACAGUUCGCGUUGGUACCCGAUUGCCCGGUCCUAUCCGAAGAGGUAUGAUGGACCUCCUCAGGGAAUACCGGGACGUCUUUGCUUGGGCCGCCGAAGAGGUCCAAGGAGUCCCGCACCAUCUCAUGAUGCAUGACUGAACGUCGACCCCCAAGUCCGUCCGGUCAAACAGAAGAGAAGGCACAUCGGCCCUGAGCGCAGCCAAGCUGUUGGUGAGGAAGUGGACAAGCUUUUACCCGCUAAAAUAAUCCGAAAAGUCCAAUACCCGAUCUGGUUGUCUAACUCGGUCAUGGUCAAGAAGGAUACGGGGGCUUGGAGAAUGUGCGUCGAUUUUACCGACCUCAACAAAGCCUGCUCCAAGGAUUGCUACCCCUUGCCCAAAGUCGAUACUUUGGUAGACUCAGCAAUGGGCUACGAGAUCCUCUGUUUCUGGGAUGCAUUCAAAGGCUAUCACCAAAUUGGGAUGAGUCAAGAAAACCAGGAGAAAACGGCCUUCUACACCGACCGCGGCACGUACUGUUAUACUACCAUGCCAUUCGGGUUGAAGAAUGCCGGAGCCACUUAUCAACGCUUGGUCAACCAAGCAUUCAAGUCUCAAAUCGGCCGGAAUGUUGAGGCCUAUGUAGAUGACAUCCUCCUCAAAAGCCAGACGAACUCCACCUUCCUGGCCGACUUGAAGGAGGUCCUUGACAUCCUGCGGAAGGUGAAAAUGAUGCUGAACCCCAAGAAAUGUGUUUUUGGGGUCACCUCGGGGAAAUUUCUAGGUUACCUCGUCUCAAGGCGAGGUAUCGAAGCAAAUCCGGAUAAGGUGCGAGCCAUCCAGGAGAUGUCUCCACCCCGGUGCGUCCGCGAUGUCCAAAGGCUGACAGGGCGAUUAGCCGCCCUGAAUCGGUUCUUAUCGCAGUCGGCAGCUAAAGCACUGCCCUUUUUCAAAGUGUUGAAGAAAGCUGACCAUUUCUCCUGGACGGAAGAGUGUCAACAGGCGUUUGAGCAGUUGAAGGAUUACCUUCACUACCUUCCAACGCUCACCUCACCUCGUCCGGGGGACAAAUUAAUCUUAUACCUUUCUGCUGCGGCCGAAGCGGUGAGUGCCGUGCUGAUAAGGAAGGAAGGGGUCCAAAUGCCCGUCUACUACGUUAGCCGAGUCCUCCGAGGUCCAGAGACCAGGUACACACAAGCAGAGAAACUUGUGCUAGCCCUGAUCCACGCCGCCCGCAGACUCAAGCCCUACUUCCUAGCUCACCACGUCUGCUUGAGGACUGAUCAACCACUUCGGCAGAUUUUGACACGACCAGAGGUUUCGGGACGUCUUACCAAAUGGGCCAUUGAGCUGGGGGAGUACGACCUAACUUAUGAGCCUCGCACAGCGAUCAAGGCCCAGGCUCUCGCAGACUUCGUAGCCGAGCUCACCUUUGACGAGGUGCAAGGAUCCGUCCCGGCUGCCACAUCGGCCACAGUUGAUGUGGCCACCACUGGGCUCCAGCGGUGGAUCCUACACGUGGACGGUUCGUCAACAGUGAGGGUAGUGGAGCAGGCUUGCUCCUCGAAGACCCCCAAGGAGAAAUAUGCUAAUAUGCCUUAAGAUUUGACUUCGCUGCUUCAAACAAUGAAGCUGAAUACGAAGCCGUCAUUGCUGGACUGCAGCUAGCUCGCAAGCUCGGGGCCGCACACAUCUUGGUUUAUAGUGAUUCCCAACUCGUCGUGUGCCAGAUAUUAGGUGAGUACGAAGCCAGGGACGAGGUGAUGCAUCGUUACCUCUCCAAGGUCCUCCAGUUGGCGACUCACUUCGAGUCUUUUGAAAUUCAAAGAAUACCGCUAUCGAAAAACAGAAGGGCUGACGCCCUCUCCCGGCUUGCCUCAACCUCUUUCUCUGACCUGAACAAGACGGUUCUCGUUGAAGUUCUAGCCGAACCAGGAUAUGUAGCCGAGGUAGUAUACCCCGUCUACCCUGGGGACACCUGGAUGGGUCCCCUGACUCGAUUUUUCAGCCAGGGUGAGCUCCCCGAAGACCGAGCUGAGUCACGGAAGCUCCAACGAAAAGCAGCACGGUACAUUCUCCGACAAGGCCUUUUAUACAAAAGGUCUUACCUCGGCCCUUAGUUGCGAUGUAUCACGCCCGAGGAAGGCCAGAGAAUCCUCCAAGACAUACAUGAGGGGCUCUGUGGUGCUCACGUCGGCUACAGAAUGCUGGUAAAAAAGGCUUUGUUACUUGGGUAUUUUUGGCCCACUAUGAGGAUAGAUGCCCAGGUCAUGGUCCUUUGCUGCCCCUCCUGCCAGCAUCACGCUCCUGAGCACCACCAGCCGACCAAUUUAAUGAUCCCUAUCACCUCGUCAUGGCCAUUUGAGCAAUGGGGAACGGACAUAAUUGGCCCCUUUCCCAGAGCUCCAGGCAAUUAUACCUACGUGGUGGUAGCAGUGGACUACUUCACCAAAUGGGUCGAAGCUGAACCCCUAAAAAAUAUCACUGGUGCGGCAGUCCAGAAAUUCUUCUGGAAGAAUGUGGUUUGCCGCUUCGGCCUACCCCGGGUGAUCAUCUCGGAUAAUGGCCGACAGUUCGCCGAUAAUCCUUUCAAGGCCUGGUGUGAGAACCUCGGGGUCAAACAGCAUUUCACUUCGGUGGGACACCCCCAAGCCAACGGACAAGCCGAAAACUUCAAUCGCACGCUCCUCCAUGGCCUCAAGACCAGGCUCCACCAGGCUGGAUCGUUUUGGAUGGAAGAGCUCCCCAGUGUGCUGUGGUCCUACCGAACUACGCCGAGAUCAGCAACCCAGGAAACCCCGUUUUCCUUAACCUACGGGUCAGAAGCUGUUGUUCCAGCCGAAUUCAUCACCCCGAGUCCACGAAUGGCCGCAUAUGCUGCCGAAGUCAAUGAAGAAGAACGGCGAGUUGACCUCGACCUCGUCGAAGAGAAGCGUGAUAUGGCCGCGGCCAAAGUUGCUGUUUACAAAAAUAUCGUAGCUGGCUACUACAACGCUCGGGUUAAACAUUUGCGGUUCAGUCCGGGAGACCUGGUGCUCAGGAAGAACUCAGUCAGCCGGGCUGAACCUCAGGGUAAACUAACCCCCAAGUGGGAGGGACCAUACCGUGUUGUUGAGUCCAGCCAAAAUGGAUAUUGUAAAUUGGCAUACCGAGAUGGGUCUCUGAGUGCCCCGAACUUGGCAUGCUGAAAAUCUUAAGUUGUACUACCCUUGAGGGUAUGUGCUUUUAAUCUUGAGUUAUUUCACACUUAUUUUCAUUUCAUUAUAAGUGAAAAAUAAGGGGACAAAGUAGCAGUAAAGAGGAAAACCGAAUUUAAUUAAAAAGAAAGCAAGAAUAUGAACUCAAUUCCAUUGAAUUACAUAAAAGUAGAAAGCCGAGGUCACCUUUAAUUAGGAAGAAAGCAAGAAUAUAAACUCAAUUCCAUUGAAUUACAUAAAAGUAGAAAGCCGAGGUCACCUUUGACCUCGGCCUACAAUGACAAAAAAAAAAACAAGUGCCUCUAGGCACUCCCUACCCUGACAUCCUGGCCCCCCGUGGUCGCGCCACCCGUUUCGGCACCCUGUCCACCCUCAGCUCCUCCACCGGCCUGGUCGUCUUCAGUACCAUCUAGUUCAAACUCCUGGAGCCAUUUGUUGAAUUCGGCUCGGACUUCGGUUAGGUCUUUCUCAGUCCGGAUGCCCUCAGCCAUGCUGUCGCAUAGCUCCUUGGCAUCCUCGUUAUAGUGCGAAGUGCUCUGAAGGGACUCCAGUUGUUCAGAGGGAAGAAAGGAUGCCGCGUCAUUAAUAGCCGACGUGUACCCGAACAUGAAGCUUGGCCGGGUGAGCUCGCCGAGGUCACGGAUGAAGGACUCUGACGUCCGGAAGGCUUCCACAGCAGUGACCCCGGCCUUGUCCAUGGCCUCCCUGUUUGACUGUUCUUCUUGGGCCCUCCUUUUUUUCUCCUCAUCAAGAGCAGUCACCAGGGAAUUGUUCGCGACCUCGGCCCUUUUGUUAGCCGCCUUGGCCUUGUCACGCUCCAACUCGGUUGCCUUCAGUUUUUCUUCCAACUCGGCAAUUCUCUUCUGGAGCUCGGCAGGAGGCUCAUAGUUUUCCAUGAACUUUCCAUACCGUUGAAUCAUCUCGACAAAAAAAGCCGUGGUAGAGGCCCAUGACACCGAGGCGCUCUGCAUCAACUCCCCUGCGGAGAGCUUCCUAGCAUAAGUGCUAUCUCGUGGCAGCACUGAAUGCACCAAGAGCUCCUGAGCGACCAAAGGGUUCUUGCAGCGAUCGUUGAAAUUAAUCUCCCACUCUGGACACCAGUGUGAUCCGGGGUGUCUCUUGUCCUCCUCAGCUGCCUUGAAAGGCACAUGAUGGAGUUUGAACAAAGAUGACCCCGUGACGGGGUUCUCCGGAAAUAUGGUCACACCCUGACCCCGGGGGGGAGUGGCAAUCGUGACCCAGCGAGAAGGGAUUCCCACCGGAAUUGCCGAGGCUCGGGAACCUCCCGGAGUGGCCGAGGUGUGCGAGCCCUCGCCCACGAUCACCACGGCAGGCUCGCGGUCGCCCGACGCCGCGGUGGUUUUCUUAGCCGGCCUGGAAGAGGACCCUGCAGUGUCCUUGCGCUUUUUGGGAGCUCUUUUGACCACCUCGACAUCUCCCGAGGUUAUCAGGUCGAAAAUCUUCGUCACUGCAAAGUAGGAGACGAAGUCAGUUAGAAUUCAAGAGGGAUAAACUAAAAGGGAAGAAAUGGAAAAAUACAAAGUCUGUGAAGCCUAGUCGAGAGUAAGACAGGCUGGUCAGAGCUCGUCAAGGCUCAACUGAUCCCGCCUUCCACGAGCACCACUUCGGGAAAAUCCCAGCAGUUUAUCCUGAGGCCCGACCCCGUUAACUUCUGGAAGUUACGCUCUUCUAACUUCCCUGGAGAUAUCUCCUUGAUCGAGGUGGGAGGCCUCCACCAGAAUCCGCGAGGGAAGUCAUCGGCCGAGACGAAGAAGAAGUUUUGCUUCCACUCCUUUAUUGAGUUCGGAGCAUCAACCACCAACUUCGGAACUUUGUUUCCGAAGUAGAACCAUCCUUUUUCACUUCUGCUGUUCUUGAGUGAGUAACAGCGGCGAAAGAGGUUGACCUAAGGUUGUAUCUCCUGAUGUCGGCAAAGUAGCUGGAAGCCAACGAGAAUGCGAAUAGCGUUAGGGGUGAGUUGAGUGAUUCUCACCCCCCAGUACCUCAGGCAGUCCCGAAGAAACCUCGUCGUGGGCACUCUGAGUCCGGCCUCCAGCUGUUCCUGAUAGAUAGUCACCUUGCCCUUUGGUGGCAGUGCGGCUGACUGAUGCGGUUGGGGUAUGUAAAUACUAUAAUCCCUUCUCCAGGGAUACCUGCGGACCACCUCGGCUAUUGAGGCUUGUCCCAUACCACUACUGAAGAACGGCAUCUGGCCGUAGUCGAGAGUUGCCACGUUUGGAGGAGUGGAAGGUUCUUGUACUCCCUCGUCUCUAGGGAUCUCAAUCCCGAGGUCAUCGUUGUAUAGGACCUCGGGCUGGACCUCGAUCUCCUCGGGCUGCACCUCAACCGCCUCAGCUCGGCGUGAUGCCUCGGCACCUCCACCCUCAGCUUGGUGAGAUGCCUCAGCACCUCCGCCCUCGGACGCGGUCCUUUCCUGGGAGGGGUCAGGCCUCUCUGCCUCAGUGAGGUCAGGUCUCACUGUCUCUUUGUGCGUACGAGCUGUUCUAGCCAUUGUAUCAGAAGGGGAAGAAGUGAACUUACUUAGAAUCUGCGACUGGAAGAAGAUGCCGAAGUAGACGUGGUUUAGAAAGGUUGCCGAAGUGAAAAGAGAAAGAAACAGAGUUCUGGGGUGAUUCUUGAUUUUUGGUGAAGAGUAAAACGGUGAAAAAAGACCACUAUUUAUAGGCCACCAGGGUGAAACCCAAGAGACGGCACCCUCUCUCUUCAUUAAUGGGAGGACUGUUCGUCUGCCAACACAGCUGACAGCCGUCCCUUCAGUUAUCACUCAGUCCCAUCUAUGCGGUCAUGACGUGUCCGUGUUCCGUGUUUUAUACGCUUCUCAGCUUCGGGAAGUAACGACCACGGCGGAUGCCCAUCUCGCCCUUCUCAAAGCUUGGGGGGCUUAGUGAGGAGGGCCAUUUAGGCUCGGAGCGCCCGAGGCCUAGUUCCCCAUCAUUUCCUGAAGUGCCGCCUCGGGUAUUAUCCUGGAAGGCGAUCGCGGCCCAUUUACCACCUCGGCUACAAUGUCAAGUCGUAACACCGAGGUGGACAUUGAAUGACAACUACGAAAAGGGGAGAUGUGAUCUCUGACACCUGAGCAAAGGCUGCUCUGACCCGCCGCCUGAAUCUGACAGAAUGUCCCAUCACGUCUCUUCAUGGAGACCGGUCAAGUCCACCUGAUCCACUGACUAUCUCAGAUCUUUUGGGACCCGUGCAAACAUCUCCUCUCUCCUAUCGGUCCCCUAUAAAUACACAAUAUUUCUACUGAAAAAGGGGAUGACCAAUUUCUGGUAAAACACACUCCACUCAUUACUUACUUCUCUAUAUCCGAACUGACUUAAGUUUCGGAGUUAUACCGGGGGAUCCAGCCCCUUUUCUUAUUCAAGCAGGUGACUUCGUCCAAGAGAGUUGCCCAAGGUAAAGAUAUUCUUCGAAUUGAGGUGACUCACUCCUGCGGGUCGAAAAUCACCUCUUCAAAUGGUAGAAAGUUUUCUUAAGAACCAAGAACAGCAUUAGUAUUCCCUCUGCUUCCAAAAACUUGUGUAUUAAAUAGAUUAAUGAAUUGUUUAACAUGCUCAUCUACUUGAAAAUGCACAAUACCCAUAACCCACUGAAAUUUUUGCAGGAAAAGGGAAAGAGAAUCUGUGUUUGAGAGCUUCAUGAAGAUGUUGAAGAAUAAGAAUAAAAGCCCAAUGCGAGGAUGUUUUCAAGUUUUUCUAUGUCCACUUUAAUUUGUAAAUUGAAUUUUACAACUCAAUUAAUUCCUUGUUUGUGAGGUACGUAUUGUUUUACGUACCAUGCCGUACAUGUUUGUAAGGAUUUCUAUCCUAUUGGCAAAAGUCGGUUCCAUACAAUUAAUCAAUUCAUUUCACUUCUAUUGGCUCUACUAUUUAUGCAUGUUACGACACUCUUUCCCUUAUAUUUUGCCUUUAAUAUUAUGAGUCAAUAGUAAUAAUGGGCCUUUUUCUUAAAAUUAUACUAUUAUACAUAGGUAGUUUGGUCUAACGCUAAAUUCAUGUUUGUCUUUCUUUUAUUCCCUUUACAUCUCAAAGUAUACUAUAGUUUGUAAUCAUUGUGGUGAUGAUAUUACCAGCUGGUACUUAUAGUUUAAGGCAGAGACAUGAUAUUAACAACUAUCUCAUUGAAACAUAAGUCAAAAUCAUGACAAGUGUGAGUCUUGGUUAAUGCACAAUUUGUUAGUGGAAUUUAUAUUUAUAAAACUCAAAAAAAAUUUUUGACAAUGCUAUUACUAAUUAAUUAAGGACUUCAUUGCUAUAAUUUAUCGCUUACUAGUUUAAACUAUAAAUGAUCUCAAUACUUUUCUCCAUGAUGUCGAUUUCUUUAGACUACGAAAGGGAAAAAUUAGUGACAUAUCCCUUACUGAUUACAACAUCAGCAAAAAUUAGUUAUAAACUUUUCCGGUGGUUUUAAAUCCCUCGGGCACUAAGGUUUUUUGCACAUCGAGUGAAUUAAGGAACAUAGGCAAUUCGUUCUGCAUACCAAGUCCUUGUUUAAGAUGCACGUACUAAAAUGCAUCCACUUCAUUAAUUUGGAAAAUUGCCAUAGUUUUUUUUAAGCAUUUUGAUUUUUUACAUGAUUCAAAAUUUUCUUAUUGGAUACAAUCACUUUGUGUCAAGAACACAUUUUCAAUCAUCUUUUUUAUCUUCUCAAUAAGAAAAUAAAAAUUUAUUCAUGCUUUUCUAACAUAUCCAAUCAUUGAUCUGAAAAAUAAAGAAUUAAAAAAAAAAGACAUUUUCAAUCAUUGCUUACAGGGCAACUUCCCCAUGUGAACCUCUUCAAACAAAGCCAAUAAUAUGAAGGAACAUCUAAAUACACUUUUGCCCUAAAGGCUGGUUGCCUUGGGGUCAAAAUUUAACCUUCGGGAGUAUAAUUACCCGCCAAAUUUAUUAUUUUUUAUGGGUAUAUAGUUCCAAUUUUGCCUCCUGUUAAGCUUAUAAAUAUAUUACGACCCAGAAAAUAAAGGAAUCUUGAAUAGUAACAUGUCCAUUGACUUGAGUUGUCAUCAAUUUGGCUACUUCGAUUCCAUGAGGCCAAUCCAAUUCACACUAGCUAGAGAAAAUGGUGAUAAAGGCACUUAGAAAUUUAUAUGUAAUAUUGAUUGGUAGUAACUGAUAAGUAUAUAUUUUACGUGUUUUAAAUAUGUUUUAUUAGUUAGUUUUGGUGUGUUUUAACUACUUUUAUAACUAAUUAACUAGGAAUCUAGUGAAAAUAUGCAUUUUGUGGUUUGAAGUGUGAAAAUUGUAUUUCUAUGGAUUUUAAUGGUGAAAACUUCAUGUUUUUGUAGGUUUAAUGAUUCAAUCAUCAAAUGACAUGAUUUGAGAAGAUAAUUAGAUGAUUGAUGAUGUUUUGAAGUGAUAAAAAGAGAAUACAAAGUGCAAGAGAGGAAAUGCAAUCAAGAAUAAAAGAAGAAAAUUUUUGUAGCUUUGACAUAUUGUGGUAUUUUGGCAAUAUAUUGAGCUACAAUGAUUGGAUUAAGGUGAUUCUUAAACCAUUUGAAGCUAAGAUAUAGAUCUACAUUUGGUAUGAAGGCAUCGAAACCCAUGUCAGUCAUUUUCCUUGUCAAAAUGUUGAAAUACAGAAGUGCAACUCUGUUCUCGAAAGCUAAAACAGAGCUCUGGCUAGUCGAGGGUAUUUUCAUCAUUUCUUAGUCCACAGAGCUCCAAAUGAGAUGAUUCUUAAGGCAUUAGAACCCUAACUCAAAGAGCUACAACUUUCAUAUUUUGUACAAGAGUUAGUUCGGCCUCCAUCAUUCAGAAAAUAGUAGUUGAAGUGGUGCCAAAUGCAUAGAAGUGAAAACGCGAGCUAUCAAUACUCGACCUGAAGUCGCGUAUUCCUGAGGUCAUGCAUUCUCUUCUAUUUUCUGCAACUUGCCCUGCUUUCACAUAAUUUUUUCAUCUCAAUUCCAACUAUCAAUUUCGGCUAUAUCUGAUCAAGAAAAGUGUGGAAAGUUUGAAAGACAACUCAUAGGAGUUUCAAGAGUCAAAAAUUACAAUUAGAAACAACUCAUUUGGCUCUUGAAUCCUCUAUAAAUAGAGGCCUUUGAAGAACAUUUUCACAACUUUGGAAGGUUAGAGAAACUCCACAAAAACAUAGUCUUCACUAGAAUUUCCUUAGUUCAUUAGUUAGGGUAGUAUAGUAUAGUUAGUGUAGCUUUUCCUUCUUGUAUUUAUAGUUAGGUUUGAAUGAAGAUUCAGGAGCAAAGAUAGAGAGGUUGAUCUCAUGUGACAAGGGUGAUAUCUCUUCUACUACUUUCUCUUUUGUAUUUGAUUUCAUAUUUAACUAUACUACAAAUUUGGCUUUGUUUUUUUUUUUUAUCAUGUUUAGUUAAAGUUUAUGCCUAGAGUAUGGAUGACCUUUCUAUAUCUUGUUUGUGAUAUUUAACUGGUUAUUUGAUGAUGUUAUUUUUGAGCAAGUUAUUUAUCACUUUUGCUUUUCUAAUCGUGAUUAACUGGCCAUUAGUUGUGAUUAUCUAAAAGUGUUAAGUUUGUAAUGAGAAUUGGAGUUUAACACUAGUUCAAGGAAGUGAUAAAUUUAGGGAGUUCACUCAUGAGAGUAGAGGAACACCUUUGUGACCUAAGUGACUUGUUUCAUAUAAUUUCAUAGAAAAAAUGAACUUGUAAUUAAUUUCAUAACCACGAGAGUAAGUAUGGUUUAGCUAUAUGUAUAGUUGAUUCACUACGAGAGUAGGUUUCACAUACAUUAGAAAAUUACAUCAUAACUAGUCAAGAUAAUAUCAUUCAUUUAAUCAGUAAUCUCAUUUGCAUGAGUAGUAAGGCAUUCCAUAUCUCUAGGAGGUUUUUAGUAUUAUUUUCAUUACUUUUAUGUUUAUGGUAGUCUAGAUAAUAAUGGAGUUCAAAAACUACUAGUAAUUGAAAAUUUUCCCUGUGGGAUCGACCUUUAAUACCCUAUACUCGCUCUCGACUCGUAUACUUGCGAAAAAUCACGUGUGCGGUAUUUAGAAUUUAUAAAUGUAAAACUUGACUGUAGAUGAACUAAUUGAUAUAUGUAUACCCCGCACUCGUCAGUAACCAGCUUGUAUUGAUCCCAUUAUUGUGGAUAAUUGUGCUCUUAUGAAAAAAAAUUAUAAAAAAAUUAGCAAAAUUUAUGAUAACAAAUUAAAUUUAUUCAUACAAAUCAGUGAAAGAAGUAGAAUUUUAAAGACCAUGAUGAAAUUAAUACUUUCAAGGGCUCUAUUAGGAAGACUUCACUUGUUGGUGAAACUACACUAGCACAGUUAUAUGCACAUUUACUGUUUUGGUAUCUAAUUUCCUUGCCUUAAGUUGGGUGCAGAUGUUUAUAUUACAAAUAGAUGGUAUCAUAAAAUUGUUGUAUUCACGUUUGUUCUUUUUUUUUCUUCCUUAAGUUUUUUUCUUUAUUCUCGUGACUUCAAAAAUACGAACUCAAGAAAUUGGCUGCUUAAUCAAUAUGUCAUACAGGCUUCGCUAGUGAGGUAUAACUUCACAACUAGAGUCAAUAGAAAUUAUCAAAUGAUUUUUUAACAUCCAAAUUAAGCAAUAAAUUUUGUUUUCAUUUUAUGACAUAUAAUAGUACUACUUCAUGAGAGAUUUUAUAGUUUCUUUUAGGUAUCAUACCUACAAGUGAUAUUUGUCAUUGGAUAGUGACAGAAGUGUUAAUGAUUGUAAGAUUAAAUAUUGUUAAAUAUUGAAAUUUAAACUAUUUAUCUUUAUUGAAAGAUACAAGUUAAAGAAUCGUUCAAGGGGGCAAUUUUCCAUCUUGUCUUUUUGAAAAAACGCUAUCACAUUGUAUAGGCAUGAUAGGUUCAAAUUUGUCAUUAAAUUUAUGAUUGAUUUCCCUUUUAUUCAAGCCAAAUAUUGUUUUAAUUAUCAAAUUCUACUUAUAUUUGGUUAAUUGUACUAAUUGUAGGGCGGUAGAGCAAAAGUUGCUAAAAAUAGGUGAUUUUCUGCAAAUUGGUUGUCAAGGCUGAAGGAUUUGGGAUUCGCAUGUUCAAGGCCUGUUUCCAAGUUUGAUUCAAACUCUGGACAGUUUUAGAGGAAGAUUUGGAAGAUUUGAAAUUUCAUUAUUAGUUUUAUGGUUGAAUUAGGAAUCUUGGAAUAAUUUCUUUUGUGAUUUAUUUUUCUAUUUAGGAGACUAGUUGUUAUUUAGUAGUAGACUUCAAUUAGAAAACAAAGAGAAAAAGAAGGCCGGAAUCCCGCUUGAUUAAUACCUUGGCCAGGGAACAAUCUCGGUGGGGAGGACGGCCACUUAGCCUCUCAAUUCAUCUUGCUUUUCGUUAGUUUGAGAGGAAAACCAAUUGCAACUAGAUUCAAUGGAGUCUGGCAGAAUUUCUUCUAGGAUGCGUAGCUAAAUCCUCAAUUUUUAGUCGAAGGUCAAUUUGAAAAUUCGGUUCCAAAUAUCUGUGAAAUCGAAUUAUUUUACUUAUUUCUUUUAUUUAUUGGUAUUCGCACGUUUUCUGAUUUAACUUUUUAUGAUUGUUUUGUUAUUUGAAUGUCAAGGGUCCGAUAUUCGAAUUAACUUAAUAAUCUACUGCCAAAUUAACCGGUUAAAUCCGUAAUUGUUUGAUUGAUUAAUAUCAGUGGCGACUAGCGUGAUUGGUCCCAUGUUAGGAAAACGUCUGAUCUAAUUUAAACAAACCGUCGUAGCGUGUUUGUUGAUUAGGGUUGGACUUUUCUAAUUCUUAAUUCAAUUGAGAAAUUAAAUCUCCCGGUCGUACCUAAGAUUAUUUUUUUGUUAGCGAAAUAGUUAAUGGUCGUACCUUGACUAUCGAAAAAGUAAGGAAGAGUUGAUUGUUUAUCGCGUGUACGACAACUAUAAUCAAUCUAUUAAUGAGUAAUUGAAUUAUCUUUGCAUCAGUAAUCAGUUGAAUGGACCGUGUCUGAAAAGUUGUACCUUUGGCUAGAGUCUUAUCUGUUGUUGAUUCAUUCAUAUCUAUCUUCAUGCGUUGUUUUAAUUUAGUUAAUUAGUUAUUUUUAUAAAAACCCCUCAUCUCUGGACUCUAAAAGAAAUAAAUUAUUUCUAGUUCCUGUGGAUUCGAUCCUACUCACCGCUAUAUACAAAAUUUGUAUUUUUUUGAAUAAAUAAUUAUUAUUACACAGGCUUGACACCUGUCAAGGCAAAAUUUCCUUAACUUCAUCAUCUGUAGACGUAAACUUUCUACGGGUGAUAUAAUAUAAGGAAAUUUUGCCUAUACGAUGUGAUAGCAUUUUUUCAAAAAAGACAAGAUGGAAAAUUGCUCCCUUGAACGGAAAAAAUCAUGAUCUUUCCUCAAACUAGUCUACUAGUCAAUUCUUUACAAAAGAAUACUCGCUCCUAAACAUAGCCUGUUCAUCUACACUGUCCCGCAGAAUUCUAGAAAGUUAGGCAAAACUAGACAAGUUGACAGGUAUAAUCAUACCCAAGAUCAGGAACAAGCAGUUGCACAUUUCAAAAUUCGCUGCUGCAACAGCUAAUUUGAUGACUUACAACACUACACGGUCAAACUUUGAAUGGCAAUGGAUCUUUUGUUGUACGUCAUGAUGUAAUUUUCAUGUUACAUACAUUAAUAGGUUGAUAUCUAUAUUCUUUAAAUUAUCAUGAUAAUACCCUUAAUUAGAUUUAACUGAUAAAAAGAACACGUGUUAAUAUACAAAAGUGUGUAACGUGAAUGUUACAUUACUGUAUUGCAGAAGACCUAUAGUCUCUUCAUAUCUCUUCCUGCACGUAUCAAUUCGUUUCCUCUAGAUAAUAAUCUCCCAACUCGUUUCUUUACAAAUGCACCUUUUAUGUUUUAUUACCUCCAAAAGCCUUUACAGGGUCUUUACCCUAAAAAUCAAUUCACCGACUCGCAUUUGAUGUCAGAAAUUCUUAAGACGAAUUCUACUUUACUCAAAGAUUGACUGUUAAUAAUGAGACAGCGACCAUUUUGUAUUAUUAGACCGUCCUUCUUGAUAGGUAAAAGAAAUAGAGAGGAAAGUGGGUCCGUAUAUGGUCUUUUAUUCAUAGAUAAUACAACAUUACGCCAUCGAGCAUUCACACAAUAUUUCAAAGUCAUAGCAUGCCUAAGGCCCUGUUUGAUAGCUCAAUUUCGUAAUUAAAUUUAAUAGAUUCAAAUUUUAACACAUUUAAAUCAUUUGAUAACAAAAAAUUGAAUAUUUAAAUUAAUUAAGUAACACUGAACUUUCUAAACAAAACUUGCUUUCAAAAUUAAGUGAUAAGUUAUUCACUUAUCUUUGAAUGUGAUAUGCACUCAAAUAUAUUAAAUUUAAUAAUUUAAUGGAUUCAGAUUUCAGAUUUCAGUUUUAUUACACACCCUAAGUUGCAAAAUAAUACCAAAACUUGUUAUUAUAUAGCUUGAGAUUCAAAAAUUUAGAGCAUAAUUCUCAACCUAACACAAUCGAAUAAUGAAUAUUCACGAUUGUUUCAAAGUACAAUUUGAGGACAACCCAUUCCAACGCGUACACGAUUUUUAACUUUUCUAAAGUUGUUGAGAGCUGUUAAAAGAGAUUUACCAUGUUUACAUCUUCCAAGUCUUGGAAGUGAAAAAUGAAGCCACUGAGUGCUAUAAAAAGGGGGCUAGAGGCUGCCUAGAAGCAUAUCAGCCUAAAACAAGAAUUUGUAGUAACAAUGGGGAGCAAAGCAAAAGCAACGGGGUCUAGGCUGACUCCUCUUCUUACCACUGUUUUAGUGGUAUUUGUCGCCCUUGGCUUGCCCUUGGAAACUGCAGCUGAUUAUUACAAGUAUUCAUCUCCUCCUCCUCCUCCUUACCACUAUUCUUCACCACCACCUCCAGUGUAUUCACCUCCACCAACCCCUGCUUAUAAGUUACCCCCACCAUCUCCUCCAGUUUACAAGUCCUCACCACCACCUUACCACUACUCACCACCUCCGGUGUAUUUACCUCCACCAUCUCCAGUUUACAAGUCACCACCACUACCCCCUCCGGUAUACAACUCCCCGCCUCCACCAGUGUACAAAUACAAGUCCCCACCACCACCUCCUCCAGUUUACAAAUCUCCAUCGCCACCAGUUUACAAAUACAAGUCACUCCCACCACCUCCUCCGGUAUACAAGUCUCCUCCGCCACCUGUUUACGAGUACAAGUCUCCUCCACCACCUCCUCCAGUGUACAAGUCCCCACCACCUCCAGUUUACAAGUACAACUCACCUCCACCUCCUCCCCCAGUUUACCUGUCUCCACCUCCACCCUAUCAUCACUACUACGGUUCUCCUUCUCCUCACCACUACUAAGCAAGUGCAUAAGUUUUGAGGUAAUAAUACCUAUCCAAAACUUUAUCAACACAAACUGCCAUGUAUAUUAUCAUGCUAAGGACGUACACUUGAUCCAUGAAAAUGACUAGUAGAAGAUUUUUUUUAAGAACCAAAGAAAUACAUUAUUUUUUCGGUCUGUUUUCAAGAAUUUGAGCAGUAUACAGAUUAAAGAGUGUUUUUUUUUUUGUAAACUUGCUUGUCAACUUAAAAAUGCACAUAGCUGAAAGCCAACUGAAUAUUUGCAGGCAAAGGAGAAGGCAAUCGGUGUUUGAGACCUUCAAGAAGAUGUAGAAGAAUAAGAAUAAAAGCCCAAUGCGAGGAUGAUUCCAAGUUUCUACGUUACCAUUUCUACAUCUAAAUUGACUUUAGCUCCUGAGUUCCAUGUUUAUGGGGUUUGUACCGUUUUACGUACCAUGCAGUACAUGCUUGCAAGGUUUUCUGUCCUGUUGGCAAACUGCAGGUCCAUAUAAUAAAUGAAUACUAUUUACAUUACGACACUUUUCUCUUUUUCUCUUAUAUUUUGUCUUUAAUAUUGUUGAUCAUUUUUUUUUUAUCAAAAGCAUCAAAUGCUUAGGUAAUUUGGUCUAAUGCUAAUUGUUUUACUUUUAUUUUUCACCUACACCCCUUUUCAACUCAAAGGAUGCUAUAGUUUGUGAUAAUUGUUUAAGACCGAAGCAUGAUACUAAUAAAUAUCUCAUUGAAAGUCAAGGAAACUAACAUUAGGAAAAGUUUAAAUCUUGAUUUGAUGAAACUAUUUAUUCGUGGAAUUUAGAGAUACAAAACUCAAAUUGUGACGGUGUUGUUGCUAAAUUAUUAAGGACAUUAUCACCAUUAUUUUUCCCUGAUCACUAGUUUCAACUGCAAUGAUCUCAAUCUUUUUGUGACUAAUUCUUUCCUUAAUAAUUUAUAAAGACAAAACUCACAAAGAAUAUGUGACUAAUUCUUUCCUUUCGUCUUCUAAAGAAAAUGCCAACUGUUAGUUUAUCAAGGGGAAAAAGGAUCGACAUCAGUUAUUAUUGAAACUAGUAAGGAAUAAAUAAUGGUGAUAAUGUCCUUAAUAAUUUAACAACAGCACCAUCAGAAUUUGACUUUGAGCUUCGGUCUUAAACAAUGAUCACAAACUACAGCAUCCUUUGAGUUGAAAAAGGAAGUAGGUGAAAAGAAAAGUAAAAAAUACAAUUAGCAUUCCCUCAAAUUGUAGAAAGUUAGGUAGCAUUAUAGACAAGUUGAUAGCGGCAAUUUUACAUUUCAAACUUCACCUAUUCAAUAACUAAUUCGAUGGCUUGCUACAUGGUCAAUCUUUGGACCCCUUCCUGCCUCCAGAUAUCCCUUUCCUCAAUCAGGGGCUUCUACAAUUACCAGUUUCAAUUGUAUGGUAUAGUGUAAAUAUCAACAAAUUAGAUGUAGAUGCUAACAUAAUAAAUGUGAAUGCUAAGACAGCAACAUACAAUCGAACCUGCAAUUGUAUGAACCCCAAUCUCGCUUCCUAGUCCACCAUCUUUCUCUAGGUAAUAAUCUCCCUUCUAAUUUAUUCACAAAAUGCACCUUUCAUCACCUCCAAUAGCGUCGACAUGAUCUUUACCCUAGAAGACUAUUCACCGACUCUCAAUUGACGUCAGAAAAUCUAAGAGUAAUUCUACUUUACCCUAAGAUUGAUAUCAACAAGACAAGGACAAUUUAGAAUUAUUACACGCCUCUUCUUAAUAGGAAAAAGAAAUAGAGAAGAAAGUCAGGCCAGGUCUAAUUUCUUUUCAAAGGCAAUACAACAUUACGAAAUCAAGCAUUCAUUCAUACAAAUAUUUCAUAGUCACCGGUUUGCUGAGUAGAAAAAUUUAGACAAAAACUUAAUAUUAUAUUGUUUAAGAGUUAACAAUUUAGAGCUUAAUCUCCUUGUACUUUGGAGUUAACAAUUUAGAGCUUAAUCUCCUUGUACUUUGGACUAAACUUGAACGUGAAAGGAAAUCCCAAAACCAUAUUGGGCAUGAAUUCACACUUAAUAUACCCAAUAAAAGAUGGCGACUGGUGAAAGGCAGUGGAGACUGGUGGAGAGAUUUGAGGAAUAGAAGCAGACGGAAAAGCAACAAAUUUUUGCCGAAAAACGGUCACUUUCAUGGUUAAUUUUGCUACUCUCCAAUUGUACUUGACCAAUUACAACAAUUUCAUGGAGUUUGAUACGUGAAAAGAAUUUUUUAUAAAUUUUAUUUUGAUCCAUAAUGUUAUCUUUACAUAUAUAAAACAUUUUACAAUUUUGAUUUUGGCGCAGCUAACUUUUGGUUAACAAAAAUGCUCAUGUUUAAAAAACCAGAAAUAAAACAAAACAAGAAACAAAAGAAAUAAGAGGGUAGCAUAGACAUUUUGGAUUUUUCCGUUAAUUUGGAUGAUUUCCACCCACGUUCUAAUUUAAUCCAAAACACAAAGGAAUUACGUAGAGGUUUUAAAUAAUGAGGGAGCUUCAUGAUCGAACCCCAAACCACAAGGCGAUUUACUAUAUUUUACUCUUAAAUUUUGGUUUCAUCUCAUAGCAUACAAGAGUUCUAUUUCACUAUCUGUAGACAAAGACUUUCUAUGGUUGAUGUACCAUAGGAAAAAAUCUGCCUAUACAACGUGAUAGCAUUUUUUCAAAAACACAAGAUGGAAAAUUGCCCCUUAAACGGGGAAAUUCAUGAUCUUUCGUCGAACAAAGAAUACUCACGCCUAUUCAAGAUGGAAAAUUGCCCCCUUAAACGUCUAUUUGUCAAUUCUUGAAAAAAGAAUACUCACGCCUAAAACACGGCCUCUUCAUCUGCAGAAUUCUAAAAAGUUAGGUAAACUCUAUAAACAAGUUGAUAGGUACAAUCGUACCCAAGAUCAAGUACAGAUAGUUGUACAUUAACUGCUGCAAUAACUAAUCUGAUGACUUAUAAACAUAUCAUGGUCAAUCGUUGAAUGGUAAUGAGUCUUUUGUUAUGCAUUAGUAUUAGUGUGUACACUCUAAUAGAUUGAUACUUAUACUCUUUAAAUUAUCAUAAUAAUACCCUUAAUUAACUUUAACUCUUAAAAAGAAUACAUGUUAAUACACGAGUGUGUGUAACCUGAAUUGUUACUUAUAAAUUAGUGUGUAAUAGAUAGGGAUGGCAAUGGGGGCGGGUGCCCGCGGGGGGCUCUCGGGGCGGGGGUUGGGGCGGGGGGGAAUUUUUUCCCCCCGUUUAGAAAUGGGGCAGGGGACGGGGGAGUAUACCCCCGCCCCAUCCCCCGCAAAAAAAAAAUUAUAUAUAAUAUGUAAUUUAAUUAGUUAUAAACUUAUGAUAAUGAUAUUAUUAGUUAGAUGUAUUAUAUAAUGUAUAUUAGUGUAUGUAAUAUAAUUAAUAUUAUCAAUUAUAUGAAUAAUUAGACAUGUCUACUAAUAGAAUUUAUGAAUUAGUUAUACUAAAUUUACUAAUACAUUUAUACUAAAUUUCUAAUUACACUUAAUAGAAUAACACUUUUUUCUAAAACAAAAAAGCACAAACACAAUAAUGAAUUAGUGAUUGUAUGAUAGGGUGUAAUUUUACUAUUUAUUUUAUUAUUAAUUUCCCCUAUCACCUGACCUGAUGUGGAUUAAUUGCUGGAUUCUGCUCACUUUUAGUACUUUGUAUUUAUUUCAGGGAGUAGAACGGAAAUUUGAUAACAGGUGCUAAUUUGGCAGAAAAAGAGUCCAGAUGAUAGAGCUUGCCCCAAGGGCAUUUUUGGAAAGGAGAACUUGUGCCCAUCUUGGUAAUUUGGGAGAAAAGGGAAACAGACAAAAUGGGUCUAACAUGGAUUGGAAGCGGCCGCACAGUAGCAGGGAAGAGGGCAGACGUAAAAGCAAUUGCAGGGGGGAAAAGGAGUUUUUUUAGUUUUUAGCUUAGCAUCUGAUUUUCCCUGGGAGACUUUUGUUAAAGAUUUCCUUUUGGCUGAUAUUACGCAUGGCAGAUGGCUUUUAACUUAUUCCUCCAUCUUUGACUUUUCUUCUUUAGCUUGUGGCAGUGGAUUGCUACUUACGAAUGUCAGCACUUAGCCAUUCGUGGCUUUUGAUCUUUUCUUCCUUAGAAAUUCUGAGUAACCUCUUUUCCUUUGUGCGCCAGACGAAGUGAAAACUAUAAACUUUUGUAGUUUUUCUAUUCAUUCAAUAUAUUGAGACGAGUUGGAUUCUACCAAAUUUCAACGGACAUGGCCGCUGGUUUCUCUUCAAUUUUAUAUGGGCUUUGUUCAUCCAACAUGAACUAAUUUCACCACUCUAGUCAAGGAGCAACGAAGGCUCUGAUUUGCCUAAAAAUUGUGAGAUCGUUUUAAUUUAAUCUUUUCCUUUUAUUUAUUGGUAUCCGCACAUUUCUUGAUUGCUAUGCUUAUGGUUAUUUAAUUAAUUGAUUGUCUUGGAUCCAGAUAAUUAAUUGAUCUGAUAGCCUAUUGUCAAUUAGGGCAUUUAAAUCCGUAAUUGUUUAAUUGUCCUGAAAUAGUGACAACUGGCACGAUUAGAUUCGUGCCAGGGGGGAUAUGCGGGCUAAUCUAAAAUAACCCUGGUAGUGUGUUAUUUGGUUAGAAUAGGGCUCCUCUAAUACUAAGGCAAUUGGGGAAUUAAAUUCUACGGGCGUACCUAGGAUUAUUUCUUAAUUAGAGCAGUGAUUAACGGGCGUACCUUGAUCACCGACACAGUAAGGAGGGGUUGACCGUCAUCGCUUGUUUGGCAGUUAUAACCUAUUUAUCAGUAAAUAAUUGGGAUUGCCUUGCAUCAAUGAUCAAUUAGGUGAACCAUUGUUGAAGUUACUUCUUGGUUAGAUCUUUAGUUAAUAUUACCUUGAUUUUGGUGAAUUGCCAUUUGAUUUUUAGUUGCCUACUUUAUUUUAUUUUUAAUUGUUUCCUUGCUUUAAUUGAGUUAGGCCUUUAAUUAUUGUUAUUCUAAGUUUAGUGAAUUGUGGUUUAAUUCCUAAUUAGUUAUUUAUUUUUACUUUCUUAUUUGAAUUUAUUUGCUUGUUAUCAUUCCUACGAAAUCACCCCCCUGUGUUACUUUGGAUUUCUUAAGAAACAAAUAUACCCAAUCCCUGUGGAUACGACCCUACUUGCUCUGUUCACGAAUUCAUAAUUAUUUGUGAAAAGAAAUAACCAUUCCACUCGGGUAUAUCGGAUCAAGCAAAUUCUUCGGGAACAGGGUGAAUCAAGUAACCCAAUGCACACCUAGAGUCCCUGCUCCAGUACUUGGAAUUGGGUUUUGGUCAUUUUAACUGGCAAUUAGGUUUAAUUUUAUUAUUGCACAGGCUGACGACCCUGUCAAUUUUUGGCGCCGUUGCCGGGGACUGGCGUUAUUAUUUGUUUCUUUUUAAAUUCAUUCUUUGUCCUAAUUUUCUGGUUUUCUUCUAGUGUAUGCCUCGAUCUUCUCGUACAGGUAAUUUGAUUUUUGACCCUGAGGUAGAGAAGACCGCAUGUAGAACGAGAAAGGAAACCAGACAGCUCAGAGAAGAGCACUCCAGUGCUACAUCUCAGAGACCCGAGUCAGAAGUUGAACUAACAGAUUCGUUUGGUAACACUUCGAGUGACUCUGACCAGGAGGAAGACACCAUGGCUAAUGCACGAACAUUAAGGGAGUUGGCUGCUCCUGAUUUAACUCAGCAGCCUUUAUGCAUUACUUUCCCCACUUUAAAUGAUAACAUUCCAUUUGAACUAAAAUCUGGUCUGAUUCAGCUUUUACCCUCUUUUCAUGGUUUACCAGGUGAAGAGCCGUAUAAGCAUCUGCAGGAGUUUGAUGUCGUGUGUAAUAGUAUGAAACCCUCGGGAAUCACAGAAGAGCAGAUAAAAAUGAGGGCAUUCCUCUUCUCCUUGAAAGAUUCUGCGAAGGACUGGCUGUACUACCUGUCACCAGGUAGCAUCACCACGUGGGACCAAUUGAAGAAAAAAUUUUUGGAUAAAUAUUUUCCUGCGUCCAGGGCUGCAAGUCUAAGGAAAGAAAUUUGUGGGAUCAAGCAGCAUCCAGGGAAGUCACUUUAUGAGUAUUGGGAACGGUAUAAGAACUUGUUGCGCAGGUGCCCCCAACACCAAAUAAGUGAGCAAUUGAUCAUACAGUAUUUUUAUGAGGGGCUCCUUUUUAGAGACAGGAGCAUCAUUGAUGCCAGGGGGGAGGGUUGGGAUGGGUGGUACGGGGGGAGGGAGUGUAAGCAAGAGGUCUCGGGUUCGAGUCCUCCCGCUUACACACAAAAAAAAAGAUGCUGCAAGUGGAGGGGCACUGGUAAACAAAACCCCUCAGGAAGCACGGGAGUUAAUAGAGGGGAUGGCAGAGAAUUCACAACAAUUCAGUACAAGAGAGGAUGUCCCAAUACGUAAGGUGAAUGAGGUAGAGACACCCUCUAUGCAGCAGCAGCUAACUGAGUUGACCGCGUUUGUUAGGCAACUGGCUGUGAGAAAUGCAUCACAAGCCAGGGUGUGCGGGAUUUGCACUGGUAUGGGUCAUUCUGCAGACAUGUGCCCAAUGAUUCAGGAAGAAACUGCAGAACAGGUGAACAUGGCUGACCACGCGCCCGCGCCAAGGAAGCAGUACGACCCUUACUCAAGCACCUACAACCCCGGGUGGAGAGAUCAUCCCAACCUCAGUUAUGGAGAAAAUAGGCAGCCCAACAUUACACCGAACAGGCAGUCUAACUUUGUGCCAAAUAGGCCACCAGGGUACCAGCAGCAAUAUCAACCCCGACCACCUCCGUCCCCAAGCUCUGGCCCAUCUUUGGAGGAGAUGAUGAAACAAAUGAUGACAACUAUGGCUCAAAAUCAGCAAAUGACGGAGGCAACCAUUAUGCAAAAUCAGCAAAGGACGGACUCCGAAAUGAAGGAUAUAAGGAAUCAGAUAAGUCAAAUGGUCACAACAAUCAACCGUUUGGAUUCCCAGAACCAAGGUAAAUUGCCAUUUCAGCCCGAAUUAAAUUCGAAGAACGUGAGCGCAAUGACCCUAAGGAGCGGGAAAGAAAUUCAGGGGUCUGAACCUGUGAUCCCUAAGGAUAAGGAUGAGGAAAAGAUCGAAAAUGAGCUUGAAAGGGAGGACAGCAAUGGUGCAGAUCUAAAGGUACUUCCUGACCCAAUAAUUACAGCUAAAACUAACCCGCCUCCUUUUCCUAGCAGGUUGGAAAAAUCGAAAAAAGAGGAUAAGGAGAAGGAGAUCUUGGAGGUUUUUCGCAAGGUUGAGAUAAAUAUCCCCCUCUUAGACGCAAUCAGACAAGUACCAAAAUAUGCCAAGUUCCUAAGGGACUUGUGUGUCAACCGAAGGCAGUUGAGGGAAGAUGAACGGGUUAUUGUUGGGGAGAAUGUGUCAGCAGUCCUGCAGAGAAAGCUCCCACCAAAGUGCGGGGACCCAGGUAUGUUUACUAUUCCCUGUAGGAUAGGUAAUACUGUGAUAGAAGGGCCAUGUUGGAUCUGGGAGCAUCAAUUAAUCUCAUACCUAAAUCUAUCUAUGCUUCUCUAAAAUUAGGUCCAUUAAAAGAAACUGGAAUAAUCAUUCAAUUAGUUGACCGAACUAAUGCAUAUCCUGAUGGGUUGGUUGAAGAUGUGUUGGUAAAAGUUAAUGAUUUGAUGUUUCCAGCUGAUUUUUAUGUACUUGAUAUGGAUGAUGAUCACUCCCCUGAUCCCUCACCUCUGUUAUUGGGUAGACCCUUUAUGAGCACAGCACAGACGAAAAUUGAUGUUAAUAAGGGUAUCUUGUUCAUGGAGUUUGAUGGGAAAAUUGUGCAUUUCAAUAUCUUUGAUACUAUGAAAUAUCCCUCAAACUCCAACUUUAGCACAGUUUUCUCUGUGAGUGCUAUUGACCCUGUAGUGCAGGAAGUGUUUGAAACUGAUGGCAGGGAUGAGUUGGAGGUGGCUUUGACCAAGCACCUCGAGUUGGAGACAACUCCUGAGGUGGAAUGGAGCGAGGACCUAAAAUGCACAAUAGGUGCAUUACACUCAUUGCAGUCCACCACGAAAAGGUAUGAAGUCUUACCUAUUUUUACUCCCGAACCUCACCAGAGGGUGUUGCCAUCUGUGGUGCAGGCACCUGUACUAGAAUUUAAACCUCUAUCAGAGCACCUGAAAUAUGCAUAUCUGGGUGAUAAUGAGACACUCCCGGUGAUUAUCUCAUCGACACUGUCAAAAAUCCAGGAGGAGAAACUGAUCCGGGUCCUUAGAGAGCAUAAAGAGGCGAUAGGUUGGACAAUCGCAGAUAUUAAGGGGAUCAGCUCGGCCAUCUGUAUGCACCGGAUUAGACUAGAAGAGGAUGCCAAACCUGUUAGGCAGGCUCAAAGGAGGCUCAACCCCCUAAUGAUGGAAGUUGUAAAGAAAGAAAUUUUAAAAUUGCUAGAUGUGGGGAUUAUUUUUGCAAUAUCAGAUAGCCCUUGGGUAAGCCCGAUCCAGGUAGUCCCAAAGAAGGCAGGGGUGACGGUGGAGGCAAACCAAACGGGUGAGCUCGUGCCAGUGCGCAAACCCACUGGAUGGAGGCAGUGUAUAGACUACCGUAGGCUAAACGCCGUCACCAAAAAGGACCAUUUCCCUCUCCCUUUCAUUGACCAAAUGGUUGAACGUUUAGCUUGUAGAGCUUAUUAUUGCUUUUUGGAUGGAUUUUCAGGAUACUUUCAGAUAGCAAUUGCUCCAGAGGAUCAAGAGAAGACAACCUUCACGUGCCCGUUCGGGACCUUUGCUUAUAGACGAAUGCCAUUUGCGUUGUGCAAUGCACCUGCAACAUUCCAGAGGUGUAUGGUAAGUAUUUUUUCUGAAUAUGUGGAGAAAAUUAUUGAAGUUUUCAUGGACGAUUUCAGUGUGUAUGGUGAUAGUUUUGAUACGUGUUUAGAUAAUCUGAAAUUGAUCCUGAUAAGGUGUAUAGAGACUAAUCUUGUGCUUAAUUGGGAAAAAUGUCAUUUUAUGGUUGAGCACGGGAUAGUCCUGGGUCAUAUUGUAUCGUCUAAGGGCAUAGAAGUUGACAAGGCUAAAAUAGAUAUUAUUUUUGCAUUACCUUACCUCGCGAGUGUGCGGAAGGUGCGUUCUUUUCUUGGACAUGCAGGUUUUUAUCGAAUGUUCAUCAAGGAUUUUUCAAAAAUUGGAGCCCCGUUAUUCCAACUCCUACAAAAGGAUGUGACCUUCGAAUUCGAUGAUAAGUGUGAGGAAGCCUUCAACAAGUUGAAAGAAUUGUUGACCUCACCCCCAAUUAUCCAGCCCCCUGAUUGGAGUCUACCAUUUGAGAUCAUGUGCGAUGCCAGUGAUCAUGCCGUAGGGGCUGUAUUGGGGCAAAGAGUAGGGAAGGCAGCUCACGUCAUCUACUAUGCAUCCCGAGCAUUGAAUGGAGCCCAAUUGAAUUACUCCACUACUGAAAAGAAGCUUCUUGCAGUUAUUUUUGCUUUAGAAAAAUUCAGGUCAUAUUUGCUAGGUGCUAAAGUAAUUGUAUUUUCUGACCAUGCAGCAUUAAGGUACCUAAUGACCAAGAAAGAUGCCAAACUGAGGCUCAUUAGGUGGAUAUUGCUACUGCAGGAAUUUGACCUGGAGAUACGGGAUAAAAGGGGCUCAGAGAAUUUAGUAGCUGACCAUCUGAGUCGUAUACCCGUUGGAGAGGAUAAUGAACCAUUGAGGGAUGCGUUCCCUGAAGAGCACUUAUUUUCUUUAAAUUCUCAGUUGCCUUUGUAUGCCGAUCUGGUCAAUUAUUUGGUAACUGGUAAUUUUCCUGCAGGUUGACCAAAAUCGAAGAGGGAUAAAUUGAAGAGCGACGCCAAGUAUUUUAUUUGGGACGACCCGUACCUAUGGAAGAGGUGUGCAGAUCAAGUGAUGCGGAGAUGUGUAAGUGAAAUGGAAUUUCAAUCGAUUUUAGCUUUUUGUCAUACUUUUGCCUGUGGAGGUCAUUUGGACCCAAGAGAACUGCUCAUAAGGUUUUAGAAAGUGGAUUUUAUUGGCCUUCAUUGUUUAAGGAUGCCUAUGUGUUUUGUAAGUCAUGUGAUCGCUGUCAAAGGGUAGGUAAUAUACCCCGUAGAGAUCAAAUGCCCCAAGUCCCGUUGAUUUUUAUUGAAAUUUUUGAUGUCUGGGGUAUAGAUUUCAUGGGGUCUUUUCCUACUUCAUUUGGUUUUUUAUAUAUUUUGCUGGCAGUUGAUUAUGUGUCUAAAUGGGUGGAGGCUAAGGCCACUCGAACUAAUGACUCGAAAGUAGUUGCAAAUUUUGUCAGGUCUAAUAUUUUUGUGCGAUUUGGAAUGCCUAGUGCUAUUGUCAGUGAUAGGGGAACGCACUUUUGCAACAAAAUCAUAGCUGCGUUGUUUCGCAAGUAUGGUGUACUCCAAUGGGUCUCAACGUCGUACCACCCUCAGACCAAUGGUCAAGCGGAGGUGUCGAAUCGAGAGAUCAAGUCUAUCUUGGAGAAAAUGGUGCGCCCCGAUAGGAAAGACUCGAGUCAAAGGCUGGAGGACGCACUUUGGGCCUAUCGGACGGCGUACAAGACUCCUAUAGGGAUGUCACCGUACAGGUUGGUAUUUGGGAAGCCGUGUCACCUUCCAGUGGAGUUUGAGCACAAAGCUUUUUGGGCGAUAAAGUAAUGCAACAUGAAUUUAGAGGAAGCCGGUGCCCAACGAAAGUUGGAUUUGCAAGAAUUAGAAGAGAUCCGGAACGAGGCUUACGAAAAUGCACUAAUUUAUAAGGAGAGAAGCCGGAUAUUUCAUGAUCAACAAAUUUCAAGAAAAUCCUUUGAAGUUGGUCAGAAGGUCCUACUAUACCAAUCCAGGCUCAAGCUAUUCCCAGGUAAACUACGUUCCCGUUGGAUUGGACCUUUUCUUGUUACUCAUGUUUUUCCAUAUGGUGCAGUUGAAAUCCGGAGCGCUAAAACAGACAACAAAUUUGUGGUGAAUGGACACCGUCUCAAGCAUUACUACGAAGGAUUUUCAGGUGAAAAGGUGGAGACAAUAAGUCUAGACGCGCCACCGUGUCCUAAUCAGUGACAUUUUACUAUGUCUAGCCAAAGACAUUAAAGACAGGCGCUCAUUGGGAGGCAACCCAAUUGUCCCUUUUAAUUAUUUGUUUGAUUUCGUGUGAUAGUUUAAAUAUGUUUUCCUUGAAUUCGACUGAUUUUGGGUUUCAGUUUUCGUUUUUGCUGAAUUGUAGGUGACCUUCAGUCUUGACGCGCCCGCGUGAUGACAUGCAGGAAGCUCACGAUCAGAAUCGUCUGAAAGCUCUCUUGCCCUUUUGACGCACCCGCGUGAUGACGUGCAGGAAGCUCACGAUCAGAAUCGUCUGAAAGCUCUCUUGCCCUCUUGACGUGCCCGCGUCACGUUCGCAGGAAAGGUACGGGUUUCAAAAAUUUAAAGAAAAAAUAAUAAUAAUAAUAAUUUAAAAUUUUGAAAUUAACUUCCGUAAAAAAAAAAAAGAAGAAAAAAAAUUUCACCGUGGCUUAAAUAGAGCCUAAAGAAGAGAAAAAAGAAACAAUUUCUUUCUUUUUUUUUUCUUUUUCUUCUUUCUUCCUUCUUUCUUUCUUUCUUCUUUCUCUUUUCCCUCUCUCUUCUCCCCUGUUUCUUCUCCCCUGUCCGUCGCCCGUGCGCCCCAUCGCUGCUCCACCUCCACACGCACGCCGACGCUGCGAGCCACCUGCGACCCCAGCGCCAGAUCUGGACCAUCGCCGAAACCCGCAGCCUCCGCCACCUCCACCUGAGCUCUGCCUCGCGCGCAACCCAGCUGCUCUGCGCCCGAAGCUCCACCGCCGCCACAGCCUCCCCACGCAGCUCCCUGCUCACGCGGCCACAAGCCCAUUGGAAACGGGACAGAGACUGCCGCCGAGCCACUUGCCCGCGUGACCGCCGCUGUUUUCCACCACCUCCCUCACGCGAGCUCUUUCCCUCUCAGCAGCAAUCCACUUCACAGCGCACCCGCUGCGCGCCGUCGCAGCCCUCGCAGCUCCAGCCCGUCUGGUCUAGUCCGCCGCGCGCACCAACCACCCACGGACGCUACCCCCAUCGCUAACCCACGCGGCCUCCACUCCAGUCUGUCCGCCGCCGCUGCUCGUGUCUCCCUUGCGCACCUCACGCCACCCGCUACUGUCCCCUUCCGUUUGGUUAGCAUCCACGGUGGAGGUAAUUGGAGGUUAUUUUCUCAAUUGUGUGACUUCCGCCUGUGAUACUGGUUGCAUUAUUUUUGCUGGGAAUUGCUACUUCUUUUGGGUUGGGUUCAACUGUGCAAUUAAUUGGCCAACUGGAGCCAUUUGUUGGGAUUUUGGGUGAGCUGAAAUACUGCAUUUGUGUGUUACAUUGGGAGGUUUAUUGGGUACAUUCUAACCGCUGUUUUCCAUUGUUACUCUCGCUGGGGUGUCUAUUAAAUUGCGAUUGAAGUAUUUUGGAUAUUGCAUGUUGAGAUUGAGGUUUCAUUGAAUUUGGCCUACGUUCUGCCCCCAGUGGUACUGGUGGGAAUAUUUUCAAUUGAAUUUGUUACCUCUAGUUGGUUGGCUACAUUAUUAUGGUCGAAUUCCUAAGUUGUCGUCAUUGCAUUUGUUGAUCUUGAUUUGGGGCAUUAACCGGCCAACUGGAGCCAUCUGUGCGUUUUUAGGCGCUAUUAUUGGUUUCUUCUCCCUUAACUUUGUCAACUAUAUUUGGUUGGGUAUUUGGUUGACUGCCACGGACUUGUAACUGUGUUUUGCUUCUAAUUGACCAGUUGCACAGCAGUUUUUUUUUAAUUGAUAGGGUGGUUAUACCUCUGGAUAUUUGUAUCCACUGGUUUGAGGACAUGGUGAGACCAAAAUCCUCCUCUAGGUCUAGGACCCCUAGAACCUCGCAAUCCCAACCCCAAGCCUCUACUCUAGUCAAUACCCCUAUAAAUCAACCUACUGCUCCCGGUGUCCGAACCUGGUUAGGUAGGGGUAGAGGUGCCCACGUGGCUUCCGCCACUCACUUGGGAGGGCAUUUGGAAUUCACUAGAGCCGCCGAUCAGCGACGCUAUGCUCAAGCUUGUGAGCGGCGUAUCAUUCCGUGCAAAUGCGCGGACCACAUUACUAUGGUUUUUCUGGGGAUCCAAGGGGAGGUUGAGCGCAUGUACACCGCCAUUGGAUGGCGCCCCUAUCUGGAUAUUUUCCAGCCAGCCUUUGUCGAGUUGACUAGAGAGUUUUACACCACUUUUAAGUUUGAAUUACCGACUAGGUAUACUGUUGCGACUCCCGAUAUCAUUCACUUCCGUCUCAUGGGCCAGGAAUUCAAUUUCUCUAUCACCCAGUUCAAUCUGGCUUUCGGUUUCAUCACUCGGGAGUAUGCAGAGACUAGGGAAUACGGUGAGAGUGCCUGCGAUUUUGUGGAACCUUUCCUUACCGCCUACCGUGAGGUGUGGGAGGACAUGUCUGUGGACAUGCAGCGUUACGAUCCCUCUCGGUCUCGGAGCUCCUUUCUAGAGGACCCGAGUGCUCGGUAUGUUCAGCGGCUUUUAGCAUAUAGCUACUCGGGCAGAAAGAACAGCUUCGGUAUUAUCUCUCGGCCGGAGCUCUUCUUCCUUUGGUGUAUGAAGAAUGGGUUCAAGGUCAAUUUGGGUUGUUGGUUGGCGGCACAGUUCAAGACCGUCAUGGCAAAGAAGAACAAGCCGUUGAUUCUUGGGUCGUAUAUCACGUACUUGGCGGUCCAGCUAGGCGUUCUGAAUCUACAGGAUCACGAUUUGCACUUGGCCUGCGACAUGGAGUAUCUCACUGCUGACCGGCUAGAGAAGAUGGGGGUUCUGGAGCUUGUCGAUGGCCACUACCGAUUUGUGCCCCCGGGACCGCCCCGCGCCCCGCCUCGCUCUUCCUCCACCCAUUCGGCCCCAGUUGGCGGUGAUCCUGGCCCGUCGACAUCCGCUCAGCUCCCUCCACCAGCAGGGGCUGAAGAUUGGCACCAAAUCAGGACGCAGAUUCAGAAUUUGGACGCCCGGAUGAUUAGCAUCGAGAGCAACGUGGCGGCUAUAUCACAGAAUCUGGCGGCAUUCCUGCAGCACUCGGGUUUCCCGCCCCCAAUCCCACCUCACCCUCCACUAUGACCCGGUUUCAGGGAAGUUUGGUUACUUUCUCCCUCACUUUUGUUGUUUUUUGACACAUUGAGGACAAUGUGUCCUAUAGGUGUGGGGGGGUCUAUAGUCUUUCUAGUUUUUAGUAGUUGUUAGUUUUUAGUUUUUUAGUAGUUUUAGUUUUAUUUCUAGUUGCGUAUUUUCUUUCUUUUCUUAGUGCUUAUUCCCCAUGUGAAAAGAAAAAGAAAACAAAAAAAAAGAGAAAAAAAUGUUGGUUUAUUGACUCUAACUCUACUUUUGCCAAGUUUUUUUUAAAUAAAAAUGUAUCGGGUUAAUGUGGUUGGAUCCAGAAUAUCUCCCUGGUGAAUAUCGGAUUGCUUGGCUCUUUUGAUUUCUGUGUUAAUUUCUCUAGGCAUAGGGAAUGACUGUUGGCAUUUUAAUGUGAACUGGUCCAAUAUUGACUCCAGUUCUCUAUGUUUGGCAAUAAUGAGGCGAGCUGUUCCUAUUUUUGGUUCUUAGUGUUGUUAUUAUGUGUUUUUGGCUUUGUUUGGCUGUGAAUAAUCUGGACUGUACUCCGCUAUGAGUUACUACUGAGUAACCGAGGAUCGGCACCUAAAAGUGUCGAUUCUCGCGUCAAAAGGUGGUACUUUAUAUGAGUACGUGGUCGUAUAGCAGUAGGAGCUGAGUAACCGGGCUCCUUCAUCUAAAAAUGUUGGAGUUCGCGUCAAAAGGCCCCGACGGCUAACGACUAAGUCUUUUUGUGUUAAUUAUUAUUGCUUUGAAAAACAAAAAAAAAAAAGAACGAAAAAAGAGAGAAUAAAUAAUAGGAAGGCUUGCCGGUUUAUGGACUUAAUAUGGAGACUUGUGUGAAUAUUUGGACCAUUAGCUAAUAAAUGUUGUGCGCCAUUCCCUUUUCUUAGAGUAGUUAACCUGGAAAUUGAAGGAAUUUGCAGUUUAGGGGCUAACCGGGGGGGAGGCUUCUUGGAUUUUAAUCACCAAUGCUCGAUAUAUGUUUUUCUCUUGAAGAUCUUGGCAAUAUAGGAGAUUGGACAAUGGCCAUCAUCGAAUUUUGGUGUUCGUUUACUAUUCUUAUGCUUGAGGACAAGCAUGGUUUAGGUGUAGGGGGAAUUGAUAGGGUGUAAUUUUACUAUUUAUUUUAUUAUUAAUUUCUCCUAUCACCUGACCUGAUGUGGAUUAAUUGCUGGAUUCUGCUCACUUUUAGUACUUUGUAUUUAUUUCAGGGAGUAGAACGGAAAUUUGAUAACAGGUGCUAAUUUGGCAGAAAAAAGUCCAGAUGAUAGAGCUUGCCCCAAGGGCAUUUUUGGAAAGGAGAACUUGUGCCCAUCUUGGUAAUUUGGGAGAAAAGGGAAACAGACAAAAUGGGUCUAACAUGGAUUGGAAGCGGCCGCACAGUAGCAGGGAAGAGGGCAGACGUAAAAGCAAUUGCAGGGGGGAAAAGGAGUUUUUUUAGUUUUUAGCUUAGCAUCUGAUUUUCCCUGGGAGACUUUUGUUAAAGAUUUCCUUUUGGCUGAUAUUACGCAUGGCAGAUGGCUUUUAACUUAUUCCUCCAUCUUUGACUUUUCUUCUUUAGCUUGUAGUAGUGGAUUGCUACUUACGAAUGUCAGCACUUAGCCAUUCGUGGCUUUUGAUCUUUUCUUCCUUAGAAAUUCUGAGUAGCCUCUUUUCCUUUGUGCGCCAGACGAAGUGAAAACUAUAAACUUUUGUAGUGUUUCUAUUCAUUCAAUAUAUUGAGACGAGUUGGAUUCUACCAAAUUUCAAUGGACAUGGCCGCUGGUUUCUCUUCAAUUUUAUAUGGGCUUUGUUCAUCGAACAUGAACUAAUUUCACCACUCUAGUCAAGGAACAACGAAGACUCUGGUUCGCCUAAAAAUUGUGAGAUCGUUUUAAUUUAAUCUUUUCCUUUUAUUUAUUGGUAUCCGCACAUUUCUUGAUUGCUAUGCUUAUGGUUAUUUAAUUAAUUGAUUGUCUUGGAUCCAGAUAAUUAAUUGAUCUGAUAGCCUAUUGUCAAUUAGGGCAUUUAAAUCCGUAAUUGUUUAAUUGUCCUGAAAUAGUGACAACUGGCACGAUUAGAUUCGUGCCAGGGGGGAUAUGCGGGCUAAUCUAAAAUAACCCUGGUAGUGUGUUAUUUGGUUAGAAUAGGGCUCCUCUAAUAUGUAAGGCAAUUGGGGAAUUAAAUUCUACGGGCGUACCUAGAAUUAUUUCUUAAUUAGAGUAGUGAUUAACGGGCGUACCUUGAUCACCGACACAGUAAGGAGGGGUUGACUGCCAUCGCUUGUUUGGCAGUUAUAACAUAUUUAUCAGUAAAUAAUUGGGAUUGCCUUGCAUCAAUGAUCAAUUAGAUGAACUAUUGCUGAAGUUACUUCUUGGCUAGAUCUUUAGUUAAUAUUACCUUGAUUUUGGUGAAUUGCCAUUUGAUUUUUAGUUGCCUACUUUAUUUUAUUUUUAAUUGUUUCCUUGCUUUAAUUGAGUUAGGCCUUUAAUUAUUGUUAUUCUAAGUUUAGUGAAUUGUGGUUUAAUUCCUAAUUAGUUAUUUAUUUUUACUUUCUUAUUUGAAUUUAUUUGCUUGUUAUCAUUCCUACGAAAUCACCCCCCUGUGUUACUUUGGAUUUCUUAAGAAACAAAUAUACCCAGUCCCUGUGGAUACGACCCUACUUGCCCUGUCCACGAAUUCAUAAUUAUUUGUGAAAAGAAAUAACCAUUCCACUCGGGUAUAUCGGAUCAAGCAAACUCUUCGGGAACAGGGUGAAUCAAGUAACCCAUUGCACACCUAAAAUCCCUGCUCCAGUACUUGGAAUUGGGUUUUGGUCAUUUUAACUGGCAAUUAAGUUUAAUUUUAUUAUUGCACAGGCUGACGACCCUGUCAUUGUAUUUGUACCAAAAGUGAAAACUUAACUAUUUUAGUUGUAUUUAUUUCAUCAUGUUGGAUUGUAUUCAAAUAAUUUUUGUUUGAUUGUUUUUAUAAGUUUCAAUUGUAAAAUUAAAAUGAAUAAUAACUUGAUGAUGUGUUGAUAUUUUAGUACUUGAUUAUUUAUUAAAAUUUAAUUAUAAUAAAAUUUUAUUAACUCAACGAGAAAAAUUUUAUUAAUCCCGUGGGGGCACCCGCGGGGAAAGCGGGGCGGGGCGAGGGGAGUGGGAGGCGGAGGACGGGGCGGGGGCGGGGGAUGGGGGAGGGGUCCCCCGCCCCAACCCCGCCAUCCCCCGUCCCGUUGUCAUCCCUAGUAAUAGACUGGCAAGCAUUGUGGUGGUCAUUGAGCAACUUAUAGGAGAAAUAGUCCUAUAAGCUGUUCAAUGACCAAUCACAACUUGCUAAUUGGAUGACUAAUAUAGCUCUAGCUGUAAUGUUUUAAUUAAAUUACAUCACUAACGUUGGGAUGACUUUUUAACCAAAAAAAAAAAGCCUUAGUUCAAGCUUUUCCCUUUAUUGUGCAUUUUUUAAAGCAUUUGAAAGGCACUGCAAAUCUGUCAUUUUGGACAUUUUAUUAUUGACUAACAAUGAAAGCCGUGGACGUCUACCCAUAACCAACACAAGAUUAAAUUAAUAUUAGAAAAAAUAAUUGAGUAAUUGGAAAAAAAAAAAAAAGAAGAGUCUAAUUUUCAUUGAAACCCACCGACAAACUAUACGUGUCCAUGGCUUUUGAAUAGUGCAUUCAACGUUUAAUUGUAUGGUCCAGUUCAUUGCAGAUUACAUGGAGUAAAGAUUGCGCUCUUUCCUUUUCACCCCUUUUGGAAUCGAUACUGUGGAGAAUUGGGUUUUUCCCUCCUUUUUUUCUUUUCUUUCCUUCUGUGGUUUGCAAAACAUACGUAAAAAUAUGAAAUCCGAAGCAUUCUUUAAUUGGUAUUAAGUAUUGUUGUUGAAAUUAAAAAGAAAAAAGAAAGAACAACAAAAUUCCCAAUCUGGGUUGAUUGUUGAGCUCUAGAUUGGUUGCAUCGUGCUUCCAUAGAAGCAAGAUUUGUAAAAUCGGAAUCCUACAUAGGAUCGAUUUUAGUUUCACAGGAUCGGAUUGUAAAAUCGUAAGAUCCUACCAAAAGCUCUCAAUUGCAAUUAAAGGUUGCAAUUCUUUAAUAAAUUACAAAUAUACCACAAAUAUUUUCAUUUACUUGCAAAAUGGAGCUUCGUAUUUCACAAAUUUACAAAAAAAUUGUAGGAUCGUACGAUCCUACCGAUCCUACGAUCCUACACGAUCCUACCGAUCCUGCUACGAUUCUAUGCGAUCCUACAAAGAUUAAUAUGAUUUGCGACUCUGCAUACGAUCCGGAUCGAUUUUGGUUAUCCGGAUCGUAGGAUCGUAUGAUCCUACGAUCCGGAUCGCGAUUUUGACAACUAUGCAUAGAAGCUCUCUUAGUGUGAUACACUGCUUUCAAUCAGUUUAACACGGGAAAAAAAAAAAGAGAUGAAAAGCAAAUUUGGUGGAGAUAAUUUCAGAAACCUCCCCUGAAGAUUUUGACUAUUCUACUGGUUUCCCUUCAGAUUUUAAAAAUUACACUAAUCUUCCUUGAAGUUAAUUAUCUUGUAACAUUUAAAUUCAAUCAAUAAUUUAAAAAAUGAUAUUAUGAGAGAGAAAAUAAUAUGAUUUUAUCAUUGCCCCCCAUCUUACUACAUUAUUUAAUUAAUUUAAUAGCAACCCACACAUUAAAGAAAAAUAUUAAAAUUUGUUGUUUAUCAUUAAAGAUCAAAUCGCUUAUAACAUCAAAUAAUAGUAUAUUAUUUAUAUUUUUCACUUAAUAUAAUAUCCAAAUUACUCUUUUCAAUUACAUACCCAUUGUUAGAGAAUCAACAACAAAUAACCAAAAAAUUUGCAACCAAAAUAUUACAAAAAAAAUAAACUUUAACAUCAUAAAUAUUCUUAUCAACAUAUUAAAGUUAGUUACUGAAAUUUUUAUGCUGUUAAACUUCACUCUUUUUGAAUACAGAUUUUUUUGAUUAUUUGUUAUUAAUUAUGUUUGAUGAUGGGUUUAUAAUUGAAAAGAACAAUUUGAAACUUACAUUAAGUAAAAUAUAUAGAGUGAUAUACUAUUUUUUAUAACAUAUGUGAUUCAAUCCUUCUUGAUAGGAUUGGUAAUAGAGGUAGAGGGGGGAGUCGGCUGCAUCCGGUCUUCUUUUCAUAGAUAGUACAAUAUUGCGAAAUCAAUCGCAUUCACACAAUAAUAUUUCGAAGUCAAUGCAUGGCUAAGUUGCAUAAAAGUACGAACACUUGUUAUUAUAUAGCUUAAGAUUCAAAACUUUCGAGCAUAACCCUCCACCCAACACAAUUGAAUAAUGAAUAUUCACGAUUGUCAAAUCUGUCAAAGCACAGUUUGAGGACAACCCAUUCCAACCUGCAAAAGAUUUUUUACUUUUCUAAAGUUGUUGAGAGCUGUAAAAAGACUUACCAUGCUUGCAUCCUCCGAGCCUUGGGAGUUAAAAAUGAAGGCACUGAGUGCUAUAAAAAGGGGAAUAGAGGCUGCCUAGAAGCAUAUCAGCCUAAAACAAGAAUUUGUAGUUAAGAUGGGAAGCAAAGCAAAAGCAAUGGGGUCUGGGCUGACUCCUCUUCUUGCCACUGUUUUAGUGGUGUUUGUUGCUCUUGGCUUGCCCUCACAAACUGCAGCUGAUGAUCACUACAAGUAUUCAUCUCCUCCUCCUCCUUACCACUAUCCCUCACCACCACCACCAGUGCAUAUACCUCCACCUCAUCCUGUUUACAAGUACAAAUCUCCACCACCCCCACCACCACACCCAGUUUACAAGUAUAAGUCACCACCACCACCUCCUCAUCCGGUAUACAAGUAUAAGUCUCCUCCGCCACCACCACACCCAGUUUACAAGUACAAGUCACCACCACCACCUCCUCAUCCGGUACCACACCCAGUUUACAAGUAUAAGUCACCUCCACCACCUCCUCAUCCGGUACCCACAGUUUACAAGUAUAAGUCACCACCACCACCUCCUCAUCCGGUAUACAAGUAUAAGUCUCCUCCGCCACCACCACACCCAGUUUACAAGUAUAAGUCACCACCACCACCUCCUCAUCCGGUGCCACACCCAGUUUACCACUACAAGUCACCACCACCACCUCCUCAUCCGGUACCACACCCAGUUUACCACUACAAGUCACCACCACCUCCUCACCCAGUUUACAAAUACGAGUCUCCACCACCACCAGUUUAUAAGUACAAGUCACCACCACCUCCUCCACCAGUUUACAAGUAUAAAUCUCCUCCACCACCACCACCAGUUUACCACUACAAGUCUCCACCACCUCCUCCCCCAGUUUACAAAUACAAGUCUCCACCACCUCCUCACCACUACUAAGCAAUUGCUUCUGAGGUAAUAACACUUGUUCAAUAUACCCACUUCUGCAUGAUAAAGCAUAUCUCUAUCAACACAAACUGUCAUGUCUAUCAUGCUAAGUGCCUUCACUUCAUCCACCAAAAUGACUGCUAGAAAAUUUUUUUUAUGUUACCAAAGAAAGGCAUCAUUUUUUCCCUCUGUUAUCAAGAACUUGUACAGUAUAUAGAUUAAAGAGUAUUUUUUUAACUAGCUUAUCAACUGAGAAAUGCAUAUAGCUGAUAGCCAGCUGAAUAUUUGCAGGCAAAGGAGAAGGAAACCAUGUUUGAGACCUUCUUGAAGAUGUAGAAGCAUAAGAAUAAAAGCCCAAUGUGAAGAUGAUGAUUUCAAGUUUUUCUACGUUACCAUUUCUUUAUCUAAAUUGGUUGUAGCGCCCAAGUUCCUUUGUUUAUGGGAUUUGUAUCGUUUUACGUACCAUGCAGUACAUGUCAUGUUUGUAAGGUUUUCUAUCCUGCCGGCAAACCGCAGGUUCCAUGUGAUAAAUGAAUACUAUUUAUGUUACGACACUUUUCUCUGUUUCUCUUAUAUUUUGUCUUUAAUAUUCUUAAUCAUAUUUUUAACAAAAAUAUUCAAACACUUAGGCAAUCUGGUCUAAUGCUAAUUGUAUGUUUUACUUUUCUUUUUCACCUGCUCCCCUUUUCAACUCAAAAGGAUGCAAUAGUUUGUGAUCACUGUUUAAGACGGAAGCAUGAUACUAAUGAAUAUCUCAUUGAAACUCAAGGAAACUAACAUUGCGAAAAGUGUAAAUCUUGAUUUGAUGCAACUAUUUAUUCGUGGAAUCUAUAGUUACAAAACUCAAAUUCUGACUGCGCCAUUGAUAAAUUAUUAAUGACGCUAUCAUCAUUAUUUAUCCCUAACUAGUUUCGACUACAACUGAACCCAAUAUUUUCCCCAUGAUAAAAGUUUUUGACUAUUUUACUGGCCUCUCUUCAAAUUUUAAAAAUUACACUAAUCUUCAUUGAGAUUAAUUAUCUUGUAACAUUUAAGUCCAAUUAAUAAUUAAAAAAUGAUAUUAUGAGAGAGAAAAUAAUAUAAUUUUAUCAUUGCCCCCCAUCUUGCUAUAUUAUUUAAUUAAUUUAAUAGCAACCCACACAUUAAAGAAAAAUACUAAAAUUUGCUGCUUUUCAUUAAAGAUCAAAUUGCAUAUGCCAUAAAACAUAGUAUAUCAUUCUAUAUGUUUCACUUAAUGUAAGAUCCCAAUUGUUCUUUUCAAUUACAAACCCAUUGUCAAACAUGAUCAAUAACAAAUAAUCAAAAAAUUUGCAACCAAAAUAUUACAAAAAAAAACUUUAACAUCAUAAAUAUUCUUACCACCUCUAGUGCAUUCACCCUCAUAAAAUAAUUCAAGACCCUACUGUCAUAAAAUGACUGAUCAACUCCUGUAAACCUAAUUUGACAACAUUUAAAUGGAGAACUUUAGCUAAAAGAAUUAUGGUCAAGCUAAAGAAAAAACCAGUUAUUUUCCAACAUAUGCAACCAUUGAUCAGGGGAAAAAAAAAAGCAAAAAGACAUCUUCAAUCAUUUAAUAGCUUACAGGGCAAAUUAACCCUUGAGUGAAAACUGGUUGCUCUAGAAUUAAAAUUUUACCUUAGUUACCCAGGCAACUUUUUUGUUGCCUUUUCUUUUUCUUUUUUGGGUAUAUAGCUCCAGUUUUGCCCCCUCUGUCAAGCUUAUAUAAUUAUUAAGAUAAUAAAAGUGCCUUUAAUAGUAUUAAUAUAUCCAUUGACUUGAGCUGUCAUCGAUCGGUUUGGGCUACUUCGAUUCCAUGAGAACAAAUGGUAAUAAAAGUACUCAGAAAAUGGGGAGUCAUGAAACCCUUUUGUUCUAUUCAUUGCUAAGAUGCUUUUCUCUAUAAAGAGACUUCCUAACGAAAAUACUUUGUAGAUUUCUUUACUCCAAGUGGUGCAUGGAAAAUUAAUAUUUUCAAUUAUCAAAUAAAAUUCCCUUUUUUCGGCGUAGAUUUCAUCCAUCCAGCUGUUAACACAUUCUAUAAAUCCGAAUUGACUAAUCUUUUCGUUUCCAUUUUCCAACUUGCGAAUACGGCAUAUAGUGUCUGCUAAACACUAUAUAUUCUCUGCCAAAUAUGAAUACAUAUCACUUUUCUGAGCAAGUGCAGAGUCAUUAUCAUUUUUAUUCCCACCUAACAAAUUAGGGAUAAAAAAGUUAAUAAUCUUUACAUGCUAUCAGGUCACAAGUUAAUAAUCUUUUAAAGAACAUGUUAAAUUAAUUUAUUGGUAUGAAUAGUAGUCAAAGAAGUAUGUUAAAGUUAGUAAUCUUUAAAAUAAUAUGUUAAAAUCAUUCGUACAAAUUAGUCAGAGAAGUAGCAUAAACACCGCGAUGCAAUUAAUACUUUCAAUCUCAAGGUCUCUAUUAUGGAAAUUUGCAUCGGUCAAUAUACACUUGGCAUAAUAUAAUCUCCCAACUCAUUUCUUUACAAAUGCACCUUUAAUCACCACCAAAAGGUGUGGACAUGAUCUUUACCCUAGAAAACUAUUCACCGACAGGCAAAUUGACGUCAGAAAUACUGAGGAAUUCUAGUUUCCUUCGGGUUCAUGCCAUGUUGUAUCCUUCAACUGUAACUCGAUUUCUAAGCUGUAAUUUGUGACAUAAUAGUCCUUAAACUAUGAAACCCUUCUUACUUAAUUACAAUGGUUAAUACAAUGCCCGUGACUAGACAAGUAUGAAGCAACCAUAACAGAAAAAAAAUCCAAAAUUAGAGAAAAGAAAGAAGUUUCGCGACCACCACCAGUUUACAAGUCACCUCCACCACCUCCUCCAGUUUACAAGUCACCUCCACCACCUUACCAUUAUUCCUCACCACCACCUCCAGUGCAUUCACCCCCACCACCACCAGUUUACAAGUCUCCGCCACCACCUUACCAUUAUUCCUCACCACCACCUCCUGUGCAUGCACCUCCACCACCAAUUUACAAGUCACCUCCUCCAGUUUACAAGUCUCCACCACCACCUUACGAUUAUUCCUCACCACCACCUCCAGUGCAUUCACCCCCACCACCACCAAUUUAUAAGUCUCCCCCACCGCCUCCCCCAGUAUAUAAGUCACCACCACCACCUCCUCCAGUAUACAAAUCACCUCCACCACCUCCUCCAGUUGACAAAUCUCCACCACCACCAAUUUAUAAAUACAAGUCUCCUCCACUACCUCCUCCAGUGUACAAGUCAUCACCACCACCUGCUUACAAGUCUCCACCUCCUCCAGUUUACAGUUCCCCACCACCACCAAUCUACAAGUCUCCACCUCCACCCUACCAUUACUACUACAAUUCUCCUCCUCCUCCUCGUCACUACUAAGCAAUUGUAUCCAAGUUUUUGAGGUAAUAACGCUUAACCAAUAAAUUAACUUUCGCAUGAUAAACCUUAUCUCUAUCAAGACAAACUGCCAUGUGUAUCAUGCCAAAUACGUACACCUAGAUCCAUGAAAAUGAAUGGUAGAAAGUUUUCUUAAGAACCAAGAACAGCAUUAGUAUUCCCUCUGCUUCCAAAAACUUGUGUAUUAAAUAGAUUAAUGAAUUGUUUAACAUGCUCAUCUACUUGAAAAUGCACAAUACCCAUAACCCACUGAAAUUUUUGCAGGAAAAGGGAAAGAGAAUCUGUGUUUGAGAGCUUCAUGAAGAUGUUGAAGAAUAAGAAUAAAAGCCCAAUGCAAGGAUGUUUUCAAGUUUUUCUAUGUUUCCACUUUAAUUUGUAAAUUGAAUUUUGCGACUCAAUUAAUUCCCUGUUUGUGAGGUACGUAUUGUUUUACGUACCAUGCCGUACAUUUUUUUUUUCCAACAAACGGUAUCAUGUUAUAGAUAUUAACACUUGACCUUACAAGGAUUAGUUACAAAAAGGGGAUACUACCCUCAACUCUGUCCUAGCUAAAUCAGUCAGCCAUAUUGGGAAAUUAGUUUCCCAUUCAAUAUCAUGUACAAGCUUCACAGCAUAUUGUGCUAAUUGAUGGCUGAUGUGAUUUUCAGUUCUAGGUAUAAACACAAAAGAACAUUUUUCAAAAGCUAGACUAAGUUCCUGCACAUCUUCUAAGAUAGUUGCAGUCGUGUAGUCAUACUCCUUGCGUUUAGUAAUCUGCUCUACCACUGAUUUGCAGUCUGUAUGGACUAUAAUUUGUGUCCAACCUGCUUGGGUAGCCAUCAGCAGAGCAUUUCUCACAGCCCGAGCUUCCACUUCACUUGCCGAUCCCUUUCCCUGUGUGACAAUUCCUUUUGCUUUCAAAAGCUGUCCUUUCCAAUUUCUUGCUAUAAUCCCUUGUCCGGUCCUGACUCGUUUAGCUGAUAUCGCUGCAUCGGUAUACAGCCUUAUCUCUUCCUUCCUUGGCCGCACUCUCCUGGUAGGUAAGGCAUCAUUCAGCUUCCCUGCGAUCUCCUUCUGGUCUGUACUCCCUACCUGUUCAAACUCAAGCCAUUCCUCCUGUGCUUUCCUUACUAUUUUUACUGGAUCCUGGUUGGCUUGUUCAAAAAAUUUUUUGUUCCUGGCUUUCCAAAUUUGCCAAAGGAUAUUGAUAGUAAGACUAACUCUCUCCUGACCUUGGUUCAGUGCCAGCGAUUGUGUGACUUGUUCCCACCAUAACCAAAAGUUAUAUUGCAUACCCAGUAAUCCAUCCCACCUGACCGGUGCUAGCUUCCACGUUUCCACAGCCUUUUCACAGAAGAAAAACAAAUGCUCAAUAGUUUCCAUAUCUUCACCACAGCAACCACAUCUGCCUUCCCCUCUAUGUAGCCUUUUCGACAUCUGUUCAUUGACUGGCAGACAAUUUUGUAAGCACUUCCACAUGAAGUGUUUUAGUUUGGCCUUCACCUUCAAAUGCCAUAGCUGCUUCCACACAUUUCGUUUUCGUAUCUCCCAACUUGUUUCUGCCUCUUGGCCUGUCCUUGUACCUGCUUUUCCUUCCCGUUGCCUUGCUAAAGCAUAACCAGAUUUCACGCUAUAAAUUCCAGCUUUGGAAUGCCCCCAUACCAACCUAUCCUUUCUUCUUCCUAUACUUGUUGGAAUUCCCUUUAUGUGCUCUGCAUCUUUUGCACAAAACCACUUGAGAAGCAAAUCAUUUUUCCAUUUCCCUUCCUCUAUCAGCUCACUUACCCAUUCCAACUUGCAUCCCACAGGUUGUGUGGUUGAUGCAAAGCCGGUAUCUGAACCAACUAUCCAUCUGUCCCGCCACAUGUUGACUGACUUGCCAUCUCCAAUUCUUUUCCAAAGACCAUCAUACAGAAAGGAGGCUGCACUAUGAAUACUCUUCCAACACCAUGAGGCUGAAGAGACUGGCUUCUUGUCCAUCCAUUUUUCAUCACUCAUAUACUUCGCCUUCAUUACCUUACUUACUAACAAAUUUGGAGCCAUUAAGAAUCUCCAAAUUUGUUUUGCCAGUAAUGCUGUGUUGAAGGCCUCCAAAUCUCUAAAGCCUAAACCUCCUCUUCCCUUAACUUCUAAGAGCUUCUUCCAGCUUGCCCAAUGUACACAGGUACCCUUUUCUCCCUUCCCCCACCAGAAACUCGCUAUUUUACCUGUGAUUUGUCUACACAAACCCCUUGGAAGUCUAAAGCAAGCCAUCACAUAUGUUGGCAUAGCCAUAAUCACUGAUUUGACCAGAAUUUCUUUCCCUCCUUGGCUCAACAGUUUUUGUUUCCAACCUUGCAACUUGUUACUAAUUUUGUUCUGGACAAAUGCAAAGACCUGUGUCUUUGAUCUUCCAAUUGCCAUUGGGAGUCCUAGGUAGGUUCCAUUCCUUGCCUCUUUAAUGUUAUCUAAUACCUCCCUCACUCCAUUCUUCCUUUGAUCAGUGGUAUUUUUGCUAUAGAAGAUAGCUGACUUUUCAAAAUUCACCACCUGUCCGGAUGCUUGACCAUAUCUUUCCAAUAUGCUUUUGACCUUCCUCGCCUCCUGCUUGGUUGCUUGGCAGCAUAGUAGAGAAUCAUCUGCAAAAAAUAGGUGAGAAACCAUCGGACUGUCCUUGCAUAUUUUGAUCCCUGUAAUUUCCUUGUUCAUCAUAGCUUUAUGGAUCAAACAUGAAAGACCUUCAGCGCAUAUAAUAAACAAGUACGGGGAUAGGGGGUCUCCUUGUCUAAGCCCUCUACUCGGUUGAACACAGCCUACCUUUUGCCCAUUUAAGUUGAAGGAGUAAGUCACAGUAGAUAGGCAAGACAUGAUCCAUUUAACAAAAAUUGGACAAAACCCCAUUUUCAUCAUAACUCUCCCCACAUAUUUCCAUUCGACUCUAUCGUAAGCUUUGGACAUGUCCAGUUUAAGAGCCAUAAAUCCUACCCUUCCCUUUCUCCUAUUUUUCAAAAAAUGCAGGAUUUCAUGUGCAACUACUACAUUAUCAAGAAUUUGACGGCCUGGGAUAAAAGCGGAUUGAGAGGGACUAAUACAAUGAUGCAAGACACCUUUCAAUCUAUUAGCUAUGAUUUUAGAAAUGAUUUUAUACAGGACAUUGCACAAGCUAAUAGGUCUAAAAUGCACCACAGAUUCAGGAGUAUCAACUUUAGGAAUCAACGAAAUAAUAGUAUCAUUCACAGCUUUGAGCAAAUGCCCAGUAUGAAAGAAACUCUUAAUAGCUGCUACCACAUCAUCCUUGAUAAUAUCCCAAUAGUGUUGAAAAAAUAGAGGAGACAUACCAUCCGUUCCUGGUGCUUUAUUAGGGUGCAUCGAGAACAAAGCUUUCCUGAUCUCACUUUCCUCCACUUGUCGUAUCAGUUGUCCAUUCAUAUGACUCGAAAUAGUGCUUGGAAUUUCAGCUAGAAUGUCCUCAAAGCAGUCCGGGUUAGUAGUGGUAAAAAGGUCUUUAUAGUACUCACAAAGUUCCUCCUCAAUCUCAUGUUCCUCCUUGCACCAUGUCCCAUCUUUUUUCUGCAAUAUAGUGAUCUUAUUUCUCCUCCUCUUUGCCAUGACCGAAGAAUGGAAAAAAGCUGUAUUCUUGUCCCCUUCUUUGAGCCACUUGUUCCUGGAUUUUUGACUCCAAAACAUCUCUUCCUCUGCAUAAGCUUUAUUCAAUUGUGCUUUUAGUUCAGCCACUUGUACUCUUUUCCCUUCAUCCUUUCUUGCUUUCACUUCAGCCAAUUUCUCCUUUAACACUUUAAUUCUAACCUUUGAGUUUCCCUGCACCUUUUUCCUCCAAUCCAGAAUAGCCAUGCGACAUUCCUUUAUUUUUGUAGCCACUCUAAACAUCCUGGACCCUGACUUCACCUUUGUCCAUGCUCCUUGAAUCACCCUUUUUGCUUCUGGAUUUAGCGUCCAUCGUUGAUCAAAGUAAAAUCUCCGUUUUCUCCUUGUGUUUUCCGGGUUUGUAUCCACAAGAAGCAUUAGAUGAUCAGAGGCUUCAGUAUCUAAAUGAGUACACUGUGCCUUUUCAAAUCUUUGCAGCCAUUCGGUGCUGCAUAAACAUCUAUCCAACCUCUCUUUCACUUCCCCAUCCCCCUCCCAACUAUUGCACCAAAUCCACGGGACCCCUUGAUAACCUAAGUCAACCAGGUUAUUGUCUUUGAUAAACCUGUUGAACUCCCUAAAACAUCUUUCAGCUCUAUCCCUUCCUCCCCACUUCUCCUCACUAGACCUCAAAUCAUUAAAAUCUCCUACAAUGAUCCAGCCAUCCCCCCAGUCCCUCAUCCUGUCCUCUAAAUAUUUCCAUUGUGCUUUUCUAAUGUUACUAUCUGUGCUUGCAUAAACACACACUAGCCCCCAGUAUCCUUUAGUAUCCUUGUCCUCAACUCUAGCACUAAUACACCAAUCAGUACUUACAAUCUGGUCUAAAAUCACCUCAUUGUUCCAGAAUAAUGCUAGACCGCCUGCUUUACCUAUUGAAUUCACAAAAAAGCUAUUGUCAUACUGAAUCUUCCUUUGAACCUUGCCCAUAAACCCUUCCUGAUUCUUAGUUUCACAAAGGAACACCACCUUAGGAGAGUGGAAGUUAGUCACUUCCUUUAGUUGGGGACUUGUCAAGGGGCCUCCUACACCUCGACAAUUCCACACCACAACCUUCAUUUACACUUUGGAGGCUUUCCGGGGCUAGCCUCCAUUUCCCCUAUUGUACUAACAUUUAUUAGAUCCAGUUUCAUAACCUUUACCUUCGGUACAUUAUCAUCAUCCUCCUCUAUCGGUUGUGUUCCCUGAAACAUACCAUCAGCCUUCCUUUUAGCACACGAAACCUGCGUUACUUGUCCAUUUGUAUCUGCCUUUAAGGAUGUUUUAGCCGGCCUCCCUCUUCUUUUAAAACUGCUUCUUUUUUCAGCUUUGUUAUCUUCUUCCCCUGGAGUAGCCUCCUUUCUUGGCAUUCUUGCAUUUGUCUCCUCCUGCUUUAUUGACCCUACCCGCAAACUUUCACAUUCCUGUUUUGAGCUGUCCGUUUCCAUAUCCUCAUAAUCUACUGGUGGGAUUACGCUGCUCCCUCCUUUACUCCCUUCCUGUACCCUACCCUCCUUUUCACCAUUUCCCUCCAUUAAGACCACAGCCAAACUUUCCACCCGUUGGUUUGCCUUUCCAUACUGCCUGCUGUCUUUUAGAAUCUCAUCCCACCUCUCUUCAUAUUGUCUCGUCAUCAUUUUCUCCUUAUCCCCCCUUUCCUUUCCCCCCAAGACUCUACCAUUUUUUCCCCCAAGAGUUAAUGUAUCUCCAGCCAUUUGUACUCCAGUUUGAACUUCACUACUAGGAGACCCUGCCCCCACCCUCCUUGCAUCAAUUUCACUUACUCCUUCCAGCCGUCCCUUUAAGGGAGAUACCAUUAUAUUUCCAGCUCUCAUCCAGGCACCAUAUUGUUCCUCUCGCUUCUCCCCCCCACCCUUCCUACCACAGUACAAGUCCUAUCACUAUGCCCAAUGAUACCACACCUAUAACAGAAAUCAGGGCAGCGUUCAUACCUGAACUCAACCCACACUGCCUGGUUCUUACAGUUGAUCUUUGUCCCUCUAACCAGUGGUUUCGUUAUAUCUACCUCAGCCAUAAUCUUCAUGUGGCGACCCUCUUUCCCACCACUUCCUGGGAGAAUCACUCCCCUCACUGAUUUAAAGAUCCCUCCUAUUUUCAAACCCACUGCUCUGCUCAACCAGUGCACCGGUAGGUUCCAUAGUUGAAUCCAAAGAAAGGAAUGCUGGAAAAAGCUGCUGUUUGUAUCAUACCCCUCUACCCACUCCUUCACUAUCAGCAACUGGUUGUCCAUGACCCAAGGCCCUCCAGAUAAGAUCUUUUUCUUUUCCCCUUCAUCUCCCAGAUGGAAAUGGAAUAAGUUAGGACCUAACUCAGUCACUUUCAUCUUUGAGGGGUAUCCCCAUGCAUGAUUUGUAAAGUUCUUUAACCCCGUAAAGUUGGCAAUUUUUUCACCAAUCAGCUUUCCUACCAGGCUUCCUUGACACUCAGAGACGCCUUCUUCCAGGUCCUCACCACUCAGAUCGACACCUCCUAACUCUGUUUCAGACAAGUCAAAAUUUUGAAAGGCUCUUUCUAAAGCAUCCGCCAUUGCUGUGACGAGAGCUCCUUGAGAAACCAAGCACUAUUUCUGAGCUAUGAGUGACCCACUGACAGACCUGUGAAGAAUUGCAAAGACAGACAAAGCUGUGUUAUCCGUACACACUAAAAACCAACCAGAAAAACAGAGAGGAACUCGACAGAAAAAGCACAGGCACAAGAAGAAACGAAAGAAAAAAGAAAAACCAACAAACCACUAUCCCACUCCCGACCACAUAACAGCAUUAAAGAAAGGGACACAAAUACGACACUCCAACUUCCGAUCACAUGCUCUGACUCAAUGGAUCAUAUCUUGCCCAAAGCGUUUACUCCUCCAACCGAUUCCAAACCACUACAGACAUUGUCUCCCAUUUUGAAGCCGGAAGAAAGGUGGCUUCUGGACAGGGAACAUGAAAGCAAAGGUUGAACUAAAGAUUUGAUUUUAGAUCUGAAAAUUACGCUGUAGGAAAAAGUGCUAUGUGUUUGUACCUCACCCACUCUCCCACACCGAGGAGGGGAACCUCUAAAGUUAGAGAGAGAAGCUCUCAAGUUAGAGAGAAGCUUUGGAAGUUAAUUACCAACGUACCAUGCCGUACAUGUUUGUAAGGAUUUCUAUCCUAUUGGCAAAAGUCGGUUCCAUACAAUUAAUCAAUUCAUUUCACUUCUAUUGGCUCUACUAUUUAUGCAUGUUACGACACUCUUUCCCUUAUAUUUUGCCUUUAAUAUUAUGAGUCAAUAGUAAUAAUGGGCCUUUUUCUUAAAAUUAUACUAUUAUACAUAGGUAGUUUGGUCUAACGCUAAAUUCAUGUUUGUCUUUCUUUUAUUCCCUUUACAUCUCAAAGUAUACUAUAGUUUGUAAUCAUUGUGGUGAUGAUAUUACCAGCUGGUACUUAUAGUUUAAGGCAGAGACAUGAUAUUAACAACUAUCUCAUUGAAACAUAAGUCAAAAUCAUGACAAGUGUGAGUCUUGGUUAAUGCACAAUUUGUUAGUGGAAUUUAUAUUUAUAAAACUCAAAAAAAAUUUUUGACAAUGCUAUUACUAAUUAAUUAAGGACUUCAUUGCUAUAAUUUAUCGCUUACUAAUUUAAACUAUAAAUGAUCUCAAUACUUUUCUCCAUGAUGUCGAUUUCUUUAGACUACGAAAGGGAAAAAUUAGUGACAUAUCCCUUACUGAUUACAACAUCAGCAAAAAUUAGUUAUAAACUUUUCCGGUGGUUUUAAAUCCCUCGGGCACUAAGGUUUUUUGCACAUCGAGUGAAUUAAGGAACAUAGGCAAUUCGUUCUGCAUACCAAGUCCUUGUUUAAGAUGCACGUACUAAAAUGCAUCCACUUCAUUAAUUUGGAAAAUUGCCAUAGUUUUUUUUAAGCAUUUUGAUUUUUUACAUGAUUCAAAAUUUUCUUAUUGGAUACAAUCACUUUGUGUCAAGAACACAUUUUCAAUCAUCUUUUUUAUCUUCUCAAUAAGAAAAUAAAAAUUUAUUCAUGCUUUUCUAACAUAUCCAAUCAUUGAUCUGAAAAAUAAAGAAUUAAAAAAAAAAGACAUUUUCAAUCAUUGCUUACGGGGCAACUUCCCCAUGUGAACCUCAUCAAACAAAGCCAAUAAUAUGAAGGAACAUCUAAAUACACUUUUGCCCUAAAGGCUGGUUGCCUUGGGGUCAAAAUUUAACCUUCGGGAGUAUAAUUACCCGCCAAAUUUAUUAUUUUUUUUAUGGGUAUAUAGUUCCAAUUUUGCCUCCUGUUAAGCUUAUAAAUAUAUUACGACCCAGAAAAUAAAGGAAUCUUGAAUAGUAACAUGUCCAUUGACUUGAGUUGUUAUCAAUUUGGCUACUUCGAUUCCAUGAGGCCAAUCCAAUUCACACUAGCUAGAGAAAAUGGUGAUAAAGGCACUUAGAAAUUUAUAUGUAAUAUUGAUUGGUAGUAACUGAUAAGUAUAUAUUUUACGUGUUUUAAAUAUGUUUUAUUAGUUAGUUUUGGUGUGUUUUAACUACUUUUAUAACUAAUUAACUAGGAAUCUAGUGAAAAUAUGCAUUUUGUGGUUUGAAGUGUAAAAAUUGUAUUUCUAUGGAUUUUAAUGGUGAAAACUUCAUGUUUUUGUAGGUUUAAUGAUUCAAUCAUCAAAUGACAUGAUUUGAGAAGAUAAUUAGAUGAUUGAUGAUGUUUUGAAGUGAUAAAAAGAGAAUACAAAGUGCAAGAGAGGAAAUGCAAUCAAGAAUAAAAGAAGAAAAUUUUUGUAGCUUUGACAUAUUGUCGUAUUUCGGCAAUAUAUUGAGCUACAAUGAUCGGAUUAAGGUGAUUCUUAAACCAUUUGAAGCUAAAAUAUAGAUCUACAUUUGGCAUGAAGGCAUCGAAACCCAUGUCAGUCAUUUUCCUUGUCAAAAUGUUGAAAUACAGAAGUGCAACUCUGUUCUCGAAAGCUAAAACAGAGCUCUGGCUAGUCGAGGGUAUUUUCAUCAUUUCUUAGUCCACAGAGCUCCAAAUGAGAUGAUUCUUAAGGCAUUAGAACCCUAACUCAAAGAGCUACAACUUUCAUAUUUUGUACAAGAGUUAGUUCGGCCUCUAUCAUUAAGAAAAUAGUAGUUGAAGUGGUGCCAAAUGCAUAGAAGUGAAAACGCGAGCUAUCAAUACUCGACCUGAAGUCGCGUAUUCCUGAGGUCAUGCAUUCUCUUCUAUUUUCUGCAACUUGCCCUGCUUUCACAUAACUUUUUCAUCUCAAUUCCAACUAUCAAUUUCGGCUAUAUCUGAUCAAGAAAAGUGUGGAAAGUUUGAAAGACAACUCAUAGGAGUUUCAAGAGUCAAAAAUUACAAUUAGAAACAACUCAUUUGGCUCUUGAAUCCUCUAUAAAUAGAGGCCUUUGAAGAACAUUUUCACAACUUUGGAAGGUUAGAGAAACUCCACAAAAACAUAGUCUUCACUAGAAUUUCCUUAGUUCAUUAGUUAGGGUAGUAUAGUAUAGUUAGUGUAGCUUUUCCUUCUUGUAUUUAUAGUUAGGUUUGAAUGAAGAUUCAGGAGCAAAGAUAGAGAGGUUGAUCUCAUGUGACAAGGGUGAUAUCUCUUCUACUACUUUCUCUUUUGUAUUUGAUUUCAUAUUUAACUAUACUACAAAUUUGGCUUUGUUUUUUUUUUUUUAUCAUGUUUAGUUAAAGUUUAUGCCUAGAGUAUGGAUGACCUUUUUAUAUCUUGUUUGUGAUAUUUAACUGGUUAUUUGAUGAUGUUAUUUUUGAGCAAGUUAUUUAUCACUUUUGCUUUUCUAAUCAUGAUUAACUGGCCAUUAGUUGUGAUUAUCUAAAAGUGUUAAGUUUGUAAUGAGAAUUGGAGUUUAACACUAGUUCAAGGAAGUGAUAAAUUUAGGGAGUUCACUCAUGAGAGUAGAGGAACACCUUUGUGACCUAAGUGACUUGUUUCAUAUAAUUUCAUAGAAAAAAUGAACUUGUAAUUAAUUUCAUAACCACGAGAGUAAGUAUGGUUUAGCUAUAUGUAUAGUUGAUUCACUACGAGAGUAGGUUUCACAUACAUUAGAAAAUUACAUCAUAACUAGUCAAGAUAAUAUCAUUCAUUUAAUCAGUAAUCUCAUUUGCAUGAGUAGUAAGGCAUUCCAUAUCUCUAGGAGGUUUUUAGUAUUAUUUUCAUUACUUUUAUGUUUAUGGUAGUCUAGAUAAUAAUGGAGUUCGAAAACUACUAGUAAUUGAAAAUUUUCCCUGUGGGAUCGACCUUUAAUACCCUAUACUCGCUCUCGACUCGUAUACUUGAGAAAAAUCACGUGUGCGGUAUUUAGAAUUUAUAAAUGUAAAACUUGACUGUAGAUGAACUAAUUGAUAUAUGUAUACCCCGCACUCGUCAGUAACCAGCUUGUAUUGAUCCCACUAUUGUGGAUAAUUGUGCUCUUAUGAAAAAAAAUUAUAAAAAAAUUAGCAAAAUUUAUGAUAACAAAUUAAAUUUAUUCAUACAAAUCAGUGAAAGAAGUAGAAUUUUAAAGUCCAUGAUGAAAUUAAUACUUUCAAGGGCUCUAUUAGGAAGACUUCACUUGUUGGUGAAACUACACUAGCACAGUUAUAUGCACAUUUACUGUUUUGGUAUCUAAUUUCCUUGCCUUAAGUUGGGUGCAGAUGUUUAUAUUACAAAUAGAUGGUAUCAUAAAAUUGUUGUAUUCACGUUUGUUCUUUUUUUUCUUCCUUAAGUUUUUUUCUUUAUUCUCGUGACUUCAAAAAUACGAACUCAAGAAAUUGGCUGCUUAAUCAAUAUGUCAUACAGGCUUCGCUAGUGAGGUAUAACUUCACAACUAGAGUCAAUAGAAAUUAUCAAAUGAUUUUUUAACAUCCAAAUUAAGCAAUAAAUUUUGUUUUCAUUUUAUGACAUAUAAUAGUACUACUUCAUGAGAGAUUUUAUAGUUUCUUUUAGGUAUCAUACCUACAAGUGAUAUUUGUCAUUGGAUAGUGACAGAAGUGUUAAUGAUUGUAAGAUUAAAUAUUGUUAAAUAUUGAAAUUUAAACUAUUUAUCUUUAUUGAAAGAUACAAGUUAAAGAAUCGUUCAAGGGGGCAAUUUUCCAUCUUGUCUUUUUGAAAAAACGCUAUCACAUUGUAUAGGCAUGAUAGGUUCAAAUUUGUCAUUAAAUUUAUGAUUGAUUUUCCUUUUAUUCAAGCCAAAUAUUGUUUUAAUUAUCAAAUUCUACUUAUAUUUGGUUAAUUGUACUAAUUGUAGGGCGGUAGAGCAAAAGUUGCUAAAAAUAGGCGAUUUUCUGCAAAUUGGUUGUCAAGGCUGAAGGAUUUGGGAUUCGCAUGUUCAAGGCCUGUUUCCAAGUUUGAUUCAAACUCUGGACAGUUUUAGAGGAAGAUUUGGAAGAUUUGAAAUUUCAUUAUUAGUUUUAUGGUUGAAUUAGGAAUCUUGGAAUAAUUUCUUUUGUGAUUUAUUUUUCUAUUUAGGAGACUAGUUGUUAUUUAGUAGUAGACUUCAAUUAGAAAACAAAGAGAAAAAGAAGGCCGGAAUCCCGCUUGAUUAAUACCUUGGCCAGGGAACAAUCUCGGUGGGGAGGACGGCCACUUAGCCUCUCAAUUCAUCUUGCUUUUCGUUAGUUUGAGAGGAAAACCAAUUGCAACUAGAUUCAAUGGAGUCUGGCAGAAUUUCUUCUAGGAUGCGUAGCUAAAUCCUCAAUUUUUAGUCGAAGGUCAAUUUGAAAAUUCGGUUCCAAAUAUCUGUGAAAUCGAAUUAUUUUACUUAUUUCUUUUAUUUAUUGGUAUUCGCACGUUUUCUGAUUUAACUUUUUAUGAUUGUUUUGUUAUUUGAAUGUCAAGGGUCCGAUAUUCGAAUUAACUUAAUAAUCUACUGCCAAAUUAACCGGUUAAAUCCGUAAUUGUUUGAUUGAUUAAUAUCAGUGGCGACUAGCGUGAUUGGUCCCAUGUUAGGAAAACGUCUGAUCUAAUUUAAACAAACCGUCGUAGCGUGUUUGUUGAUUAGGGUUGGGCUUUUCUAAUUCUUAAUUCAAUUGAGAAAUUAAAUCCCCCGGUCGUACCUAGGAUUAUUUUUUUGUUAGCGAAAUAGUUAAUGGUCGUACCUUGACUAUCGAAAAAGUAAGGAAGAGUUGAUUGUUUAUCGCGUGUACGACAACUAUAAUCAAUCUAUUAAUGAGUAAUUGAAUUAUCUUUGCAUCAGUAAUCAGUUGAAUGGACCGUGUCUGAAAAGUUGUACCUUUGGCUAGAGUCUUAUCUGUUGUUGAUUCAUUCAUAUCUAUCUUCAUGCGUUGUUUUAAUUUAGUUAAUUAGUUAUUUUUAUAAAAACCCCUCAUCUCUGGACUCUAAAAGAAAUAAAUUAUUUCUAGUUCCUGUGGAUUCGAUCCUACUCACCAUACAAUCCAACCUGCAAUUGUAUGAACCCCAAUCUCGCUUCCUAGUCCACCAUUUUUCUCUAGGUAAUAAUCUCCCUUCUAAUUUCUUCACAAAAUGCACCUUUCAUCACCUCCAAUAGCGUCGACAUGAUCUUUACCCCAGAAGACUAUUCACCGACUCUCAAUUGACGUUAGAAAAUCUAAGAGUAAUUCUACUUUACCCUAAGAUUGAUAUCAACAAGACAAGGACAAUUUAGAAUUAUUACACGCCUCUUCUUAAUAGGAAAAAGAAAUAGAGAAGAAAGUCAGGCCAGGUCUAAUUUCUUUUCAAAGGCAAUACAACAUUACGAAAUCAAGCAUUCAUUCAUACAAAUAUUUCAUAGUCACCGGUUUGCUGAGUAGAAAAAUUUAGACAAAAACUUAAUAUUAUAUUGUUUAAGAGUUAACAAUUUAGAGCUUAAUCUCCUUGUACUUUGGAGUUAACAAUUUAGAGCUUAAUCUCCUUGUACUUUGGACUAAACUUGAACGUGAAAGGAAAUCCCAAAACCAUAUUGGGCAUGAAUUCACACUUAAUAUACCCAAUAAAAGAUGGCGACUGGUGAAAGGCAGUGGAGACUGGUGGAGAGAUUUGAGGAAUAGAAGCAGACGGAAAAGCAACAAAUUUUUGCCGAAAAACGGUCACUUUCAUGGUUAAUUUUGCUACUCUCCAAUUGUACUUGACCAAUUACAACAAUUUCAUGGAGUUUGAUACGUGAAAAGAAUUUUUUAUAAAUUUUAUUUUGAUCCAUAAUGUUAUCUUUACAUAUAUAAAACAUUUUACAAUUUUGAUUUUGGCGCAGUUAACUUUUGGUAAACAAAAAUGCUCAUGUUUAAAAAACCGGAAAUAAAACAAAACAAGAAACAAAAGAAAUAAGAGGGUAGCAUAGACAUUUUGGAUUUUUCCGUUAAUUUGGAUGAUUUCCACCCACGUUCUAAUUUAAUCCAAAACACAAAGGAAUUACGUAGAGGUUUUAAAUAAUGAGGGAGCUUCAUGAUCGAACCCCAAACCACAAGGCGAUUUACUAUAUUUUACUCUUAAAUUUUGGUUUCAUCUCAUAGCAUACAAGAGUUCUAUUUCACUAUCUGUAGACAAAGACUUUCUAUGGUUGAUGUACCAUAGGAAAAAAUCUGCCUAUACAACGUGAUAGCAUUUUUUCAAAAACACAAGAUGGAAAAUUGCCCCCUUAAACGGGGAAAUUCAUGAUCUUUCCUCGAACAAAGAAUACUCACGCCUAUUCAAGAUGGAAAAUUGCCCCCUUAAACGUCUAUUUGUCAAUUCUUGAAAAAAGAAUACUCACGCCUAAAACACGGCCUCUUCAUCUGCAGAAUUCUAAAAAGUUAGGUAAACUCUAUAAACAAGUUGAUAGGUACAAUCGUACCCAAGAUCAAGUACAGAUAGUUGUACAUUCACUGCUGCAAUAACUAAUCUGAUGACUUACAAACAUAUCAUGGUCAAUCGUUGAAUGGUAAUGAGUCUUUUGUUAUGCAUUAGUAUUAGUGUGUACACUCUAAUAGAUUGAUACUUAUACUCUUUAAAUUAUCAUAAUAAUACCCUUAAUUAACUUUAACUCUUAAAAAGAAUACGUGUUAAUACACGAGAGUGUGUAACCUGAAUUGUUACUUAUACAUUAGUGUGUAAUAGAUAGGGAUGGCAAUGGGGGCGGGUGCCCGCAGGCAACCGCCCCGCGGGGGGCUCUCGGGGCGGGGAGGGGGGAAUUUUUUCCCCCCGUUUAGAAACGGGGCAGGGGACGGGGGAGUAUACCCCCGCCCCAUCCCCCGCAAAAAAAAUUAUAUAUAUAUAAUUAUAUAUAAUAUGUAAUUUAAUUAGUUAUAAACUUAUGAUAAUGAUAUUAUUAGUUAGAUGUAUUAUAUAAUGUAUAUUAGUGUAUGUAAUAUAAUUAAUAUUAUCAAUUAUACGAAUAAUUAGACAUGUCUACUAAUAGAAUUUAUUAAUUAGUUAUACUAAAUUUACUAAUACAUUUAUACUAAAUUUCUAAUUACAUUUAAUAGAAUAACACUUUUUUCUAAAAAAAAAAGCACAAACACAAUAAUGAAUUAGUGAUUGUAUUUUUACCAAAAAUGAAAACUUAACUAUUUUAGUUGCAUUUAUUUCAUCAUGUUGGAUUGUAUUCAAAUAAUUUUUGUUUGAUUGUUUUUAUGAGUUUCAAUUGUAAAAUUAAAAUGAAUAAUAACUUGAUGAAUAAUAAUGUCAAUCGUUGAAUGGUGUGUACACUCUAAUAUUAUGCAUUAGUAUUAGUGUGUACACUCUAAUAGAUUGAUACUUAUACUCUUUAAAUUAUCAUAAUAAUACCCUUAAUUAACUUUAACUCUUAAAAAGAAUACGUGUUAAUAACUCUUAACCUGAAUUGUUACUUAUACAUUAGUGUGAAAUAGAACGGCAAGCAUUGAGCAACUUAUAGGAGAAAUAGUCCUAUAAGCUGUUGGAUGACUAAUAUAGCUCUAGCUGUAAUGUUUUAAUUAAAUUACAUCACUAACGUUGGGAUGACUAAUGGUUUAAAAAUAAUUGAGUAAUUGGAAAAAAAAAAAGAGACUAAUUUUCAUUGAAACCCACCGACAAACUAAACGUGUCCAUGGCUUUUGAAUAGUGCAUUCAACGUUUAAUUGUAUAGUCCAGUUCAUUGCAGAUUACAUGGAGUAAAGAUUGUGCUCUUUCCUUUUUCACCCCUUUUGGAAUCGAUACUGUGGAGAAUUGGGUUUUUCCCUUCUUUUUUUCUUUUCUUUCUUUCUGUGCUUUGCAAAACAUAGGUAAAAUUAUGAAAUCCGAAGCAUUCUUUAAUUGGGAUUAAGUAUUGUUCUUGAAAUUAAAAAGAAGAAAGAAAGAACAACAAAAUUCCCUGAUUGGUUGCAUCGUGCUUCCAUAGAAGCUCUCUUAGUGUGAUACACUGCUUUCAAUCAGUUUAACAUGGAAAAAAGAAAGAGAUGAAAAGCAAAUUUGGUGGGGAUAAUUUCAGAAACCUCCCCUGAAGAUUUUGACUAUUCUACUGGUCUCCCUUCAGAUUUUAAAAAUUACACUAAUCUUCCUUGAAGUUAUAACAUUUAAAUUCAAUCAAUAAUUUAAAAAAUGAUAUUAUGAAAGAGAAAAUAAUAUGAUUUUAUCAUUGCCCCCCAUCUUACUACAUUAUUUAAUUAAUUUAAUAGCAACCCACACAUUAAAGAAAAAUAUAAAAUUUGUUAUUUAUCAUUAAAGAUCAAAUCGCUUAUAACAUCAAAUAAUAGUAUAUUAUUUAUAUUUUUCACUUAACAUAAUAUCCAAAUUACUCUUUUCAAUUACAUACUCAUUGUUAGACAAUCAACAACAAAUAACCAAAAAAUUUGCAACCAAAAUAUUACAAAAAAAAAUAAACUUUAACAUCAUAAAUAUUCUUAUCAACAUAUUAAAGUUAGUUACUGAAAUUUUUAUGGUGUUAAACUUCACUCUUUGUAAUAUUUUGGUUACAGAUUUUUUUUGAUUAUUUUUUAUUAAUUAUGUUUGAUGAUGGGUUUGUAAUUGAAAAGAAUAAUUUAAAACUUACAUUAAGUGAAAUAUAUAGAGUGAUAUACUAUUUUUUAUAACAUAUGUGAUUCAAUCCUUCUUGAUAGGAUUGGUAAUAGAGGUAGAGGGGGGAGUCGGCUGCAUCCGGUCUUCUUUUCAUAGAUAGUACAAUAUUGCGAAAUCAAUCGCAUUCACACAAUAAUAUUUCGAAGUCAAUGCAUGGCUAAGUUGCAUAAAAGUACGAACACUUGUUAUUAUAUAGCUUAAGAUUCAAAACUUUAGAGCAUAACCCUCCACCUAACACAAUUGAAUAAUGAAUAUUCACGUUUGUCAAAUCUGUCAAAGCACAGUUUGAGGACAACCCAUUCCAACCUGCAAAAGAUUUUUUACUUUUCUAAAGUUGUUGAGAGCUGUAAAAAGACCUACCAUGCUUACAUCCUCCGAGCCUUGGGAGUUAAAAAUGAAGGCACUGAGUGCUAUAAAAAGGGGGCUAGAGGCUGCCUAGAAGCAUAUCAGCCUAAAACAAGAAUUUGUUGUUAUGAUGGGAAGCAAAGCAAAAGCAAUGGGGUCUGGGCUGACUCCUCUUCUUGCCACUGUUUUAGUGGUAUUUGUUGCUCUUGGCUUGCCCUCAGAAACAGCAGCUGAUGAUCACUACAAGUAUUCAUCUCCUCCUCCUCCUUACCACUAUCCCUCACCACCGCCUCCAGUGCAUUUACCUCCACCAGUGUACAAAUACAAGUCCCCACCACCACCUCAUCAUGUUUACAAGUACAAAUCUCCACCACCCCCACCACCACACCCAGUUUACAAGUAUAAGUCACCACCACCACCUCCUCAUCCGGUACCACACCCAGUUUACAAGUAUAAGUCACCACCACCACCUCCUCAUCCGGUAUACAAGUAUAAGUCUCCUCCGCCACCACCACACCCAGUUUACAAGUAUAAGUCACCACCACCACCUCCUCAUCCGGUACCACACCCAGUUUACAAGUAUAAGUCUCCUCCGCCACCAGUUUACAAAUAUAAGUCUCCUCCACCACCACCUCCAGUGUACAAGUACAAGUCUCCACCACCACCAGUUUACAAGUACAAAUCACCACCACCUCCUCCCCCAGUUUACAAAUACAAGUCUCCACCACCACCAGUUUACCACUACAAGUCACCACCACCUCCUCACCCAGUUUACAAGUACAAAUCUCCUCCACCACCAAUUUACCACUACAAGUCACCACCACCUCCUCCCCCAGUUUACAAAUACAAGUCUCCACCUCCUCCUCACCACUACUAAGCAAUUGCUUCUGAGGUAAUAACACUUGUUCAAUAACACUUGAUAGCCAGCUGAAUAUUUGCAGGCAAAGGAGAAGGAAACCAGUGUUUGAGACCUUCUUGAAGAUGUAGAAGCAUAAGAAUUAAAGCCCAAUGUGAAGAUGAUGAUUUCAAGUUUUUCUACGUUACCAUUUCAAUAUCUAAAUUGGUUGUAGCGCCUUAGUUCCUUUGUUUAUGGGAUUUGUAUCGUUUUACGUACCAUGCAGUACAUGUCAUGUUUGUAAGGUUUUCUAUCCUGCCGGCAAACCGCAGGUUCCAUGUAAUAAAUCAAUACUAUUUAUAUUACGACACUUUUCUCUGUUUCUCUUAUAUUUUGUCUUUAAUAUUCUUAAUCAUAUUUUUAACAAAAAUAUUCAAACACUUCAGCAAUGGUUCACCUAGUUGAUCAUCGAAGCAGAGGCAAUUCCAAUUAUUUAUCAAUAAAUAGGAUAUAACUACCAAACAAGCGAUGGCAGUUAACCCCUCCUUACUGUGUCGGUGAUCAAGGUACGCCCGUUAAUCACUGCUCUAAUUGAGAAAUAAUCCUAAGUACGCCCGUAGAAUUUAAUUCCCCAAUUGCCUUACAUAUUAGAGGAGCCCUAUUCUAACCAAAUAACGCACUAUCAGGGUUAUUUUAGAUUAGCCCGCGUAUUCCCCUGACAUAAAUCUAAUCAUGCCAGUUGUCAUUAUUUUGAGGUAAUUAAACAAUUACGGAUUUAACACCUCAAUUGACAAUAGAUUAUUAAAUUAAUUAAUUAUUCGGAUCCAAGACAAUCAAUUAAUUAAACAACCAUAAGCACUACAAUCAGAGAAUAUGCAAAUACCAAUAAAUAAAUAAAAAAUAAAAUUAAAUCGAUCUCACAAUUUUUAGGCGAAUCAGAGCAUCCGUUGUCCCUUGACUAGAGCAAGGAAAUUAGUUCAUAUUUGAUGAACUAAACCCAUACAAAAGGGAAGCGAGAAAUGCAGCCAUUAUCCUUUGAAAUCUGGAAAAUUCAACUUGUCCGAAUAUCGAAUAGAUAGUAAUACUACAAAAGGUAAUUCAUAGCUUCCCUUUCGUCUGACACACAAGAAGAAAAAAAAGGGCUGCUAAUAACUAAAGGAGGAAAAGUCAAAGUCCUAAGCUAUGCUACAAGACGAAAAACUAAAGAAGACAAAAAGGCAGUGCUCAUUCCCUGCAAUCUCAAUUCCUAUUCUAUCUAAGUGCUCUCCAAUGUGCGGCGGCUCCCCUUCCGGAGAGGACGAAGUGGCACCCUUUUUUCCUGCGCAAUUUUCCUAUAUAAAGUAGUGCUCCUUGCAGCGGCUCCUGUGCGAAAAAAUGAAGACUUCGGCCCAAUUUGCCUAACAAGGGCUCACGUUUUGUUGUUCUAAAAAUGUCCCUAGGACAAACUCUAUCAUCUGAACUCUUUUCUUGCCAAAUUAGUACCUGUUAUUAUAUUUUCGUUCUACUCCCUGAAAUAAAUGCAAAAUAUCAAAAGUGAGUAGAAUCUAGCAAUUAAUCCACAUUAGGUCAGGUAAUAGGGAAAAUUAAUAAUAAAAUAAAUGAUAAAAUUGCAAUCUAUCACGGGACCACUGUGGUAAGGUGUGUUUCGCCUAUUAUAAGGAGUUCGGAGAGUUAGACGUGUUGGAGGCGGAGGCGCGGUCACUCCUGCACGCCCUCCAGCUGUGUGCAGAUCGCGAGGUACGGGCGUUGACUGUAGAAUCUGAUUCAAAGGUGCUUGUUCAACUAGUUUGCUCGGAUAUGAGGUCGAAGUGGCCGGUGUGUAUCGUAUUGCGGGAAAUAAGACAUUUGAUCCGGCGGAUGGGUGCAUCCCUUCAUCAUAUAUUCCGUGAGGCCAAUUCGGUGGCGGACGCAUUGGCUUCUCUGCAAUUGGGAGGGCAGCAGUACUACACCUCAGGCGUGGCGCUGCCUUUCAGGCCCAGAGGAGAGGCUCUGCUGGAUCGUCAAGGAGUACCUCGCAUCCGUGAGGCGCUCACUAAGGUUUGAUAGGCUAUGUCCUCCUUUCAAAAAACUUAUUUCAUCUACUCCUUGUAAUCAUUUUUCUUAUCAAUAAAUUGAGGCUUUUUAUUUAAAAAAAAACAUAUAAUUUAAGGCAAAAAUAUGAUCCUAGCGAGUAUCGCACUGAGACAUUAGGAAACAUCAUUAAAAGAGUAUUUCUUGAGUUAGUGCAACUAUUUCUUAGGGGAAUUUAUAGUUACAAAAUUCAAAAAUUUGAGAUUCUAUUACUGAUUAAUUAAGGGCGUUAUCACUAUUUUUCUUAUUAUCACCAUUAUUUACCCCACAUACUAUAAGUUUUUUUAGGGCACAGGAAAAGAGGUGGGCCGAUGUUUAGUUAUGUACAAAAGUUCAAAAUUUGUAGAUAACUUAUCAUGUGCCCUUAGAGCGUAGAAUACAGAAAAAAUAUCUUAAACUAUAACUAAUCCUAAUAUUUUUCUCUAUGAUAAACUAGCUCUUAUCCAUUUCUUUAGAUGAUGAAAGGAAAUAGUUAGUCACCUGUCCUCUAGUGAUUACAACAGCAUCAAAACAAAUUAGCACUCUUUUCCCGUAGUUUAAAAAUCCCUCAGCCACUAAGAUUUUGCAUGUCGAACGAAUUAAGGAACAUAGAAGGUUCGUGCUGCACCACAGUGUCCUUGUUGACGAUGCAAAGACAGAAAUGCAUCCGCGUAUACUUCCUUAAGCAUUUUGAUUACUUUAUGAUUCGAACUUUUCUUGUCUGACAGCUGGACUUAAUUGAAAAACACAAGUAACAAUAUUUCAAAGUUGAUUCGUCAAAGUUUACCCAAUUGGUGAAACUUUCUUCAUAGAGCUGACUUUGUAUUAGGUGACAAUGAUAUGGAAUUGAUGUCCUUCCCUUUUUCCUUUUUUUGUGUUGAAGACGCACAACGUUUUCAAUGGCAAAUUUAUAUGGGCUUUUCACGACAAAAUGUGUUCUGAAAAGUUCAUUCCAGAGGUUAAAAUUUUGUGUGUUAAAAAUUUGCUUCUCAGGACUUUGAUGGGAAAGUCUUGGUGUUUCCAAAAAGUUUAAGCAGGAUGCUUCUGGCUUUCUCUCCAUGUAUUUGUGAGUUAGAUCUAAAAUUAUCAGGGCUCCAGAGAUCUCUUGAAAUCGCAGCAUAUAUUGAAGUCUUUCCAGAAGGAGUCUUUUUUUUUUUUUUUAUGAAUUAUGAUAGAUAAUUAAUCUGACGGUGCAUAUAUAUAUAUAUGUGAUUUGCAGUAGGGUGUUUGACGAAAUGGUUAGGCUUCCUAAGUAAUGAUAGGAAUGCCAUUUGCAAAGAAGGACAGGGGGCUGGUGCUGUCAUAUUUUAUGCGAUUUGAUCCGUUGUUGUAUAAGUUUAAACUUUUGACGUGCAAUUGUGCUAUAAUAUUAUACUAAAUAUAUGUGUGAAAUAUUUUGUCUAUAUACAUCACUUUUAUCAUGAAUACAACAGCUGAGUAUAAUAAUAUAGUAUAAUGUAAUUGUACACCAAAUAAUGUAGCAAAUAUAACAAUUGAUCCGAAUUACACGGAACCAUAACAACAAGAUCACCGCCUCCCAAAUUUUACAAAAUUAGGUUUUUUUUUUUUCUCUUAGAUUAUUGAAAAUUUUCAAAAAUAAUCUACAUAAUUUAAGCUUUUGUCCUACAAAAAUUUGAAGAGAUUUUACAUUACAAGCUUAAGCUUAGAUAUAUUAAACUUUGCCCCCAAGAUUAAUUUUCCGUUUUUAUCUAUGAACCGAUCCAUAUAGCUAGUUAGACUGUAGUCCUCACAUUUGUGGGAUUUAACACCCAAGAUUCUCCUUCUUGGAAUGUAAAAUGUAGAUCUUCUAUGUUAAUAAUUCAAGACCCUACUGUCAUAAACGAAAUGACUGAUCAACUCCUGUAAACCUAAUUUGACAACAUUUAAAUGGAGAACUUUAGCUAAAAGAAUUAUGGUCAAGCUAAAGAAAAAGCCAGUUAUUUUCCAACAUAUGCAAUCAUUGAUCAGGAAAAAAAAAAAAAAGCAAAAAGACAUCUUCAAUCAUUUAAUAGCUCACAGUGCAAAUUAACCCCUAAGCGAAAACUGGUUGCUCUAGAAUCAAAAUUUUACCUUAGUUACCCAGGCAACUUUUUUGUUGCUUUUUUUUUUUUCUUUUCCUUUUUGGGUAUAUAUAUAGCUCCAGUUUUGCCCCCUCUGUCAAGCUUAUAUAAUUAUUAAGAUAAUAAAAGUGCCUUGAAUAGUAUUAAUAUAUCCAUUGACUUGAGCUGUCAUCGAUCGGUUUGGGCUACUUCGAUUCCAUGAGAACAAAUGGUAAUAAAAGUACUCAGAAAAUAGGGAGCCAUGAAACCCUUUUGUUCUAUUCAUUGCUAAGAUGCUUUUCUCUAUAAAGAGACUUCCUAACGAAAGUACUUUGUAGAUUUCUUUACUCCAAGUGGUGCAUGGAAAAUUAAAAUAUUCAAUUAUCAAAUAAAAUUCCCUUUUUUCGGUGUAGAUUUCAUCCAUCCAGCUGUUAACACAUUUUAUGUAUCCGAAUUAUAUAUUCUCUACCAAAUAUUGUAACUUUUCUGAGCAUCUUUACAUUUUUAUUCCCACCUAACAAAUUAGUUGUUGAGCAUCUUUACAUGCUAUCGGAUCACAAGUUAAUAAUCUUUUAAAGAACAUGUUAAAUUAAUUUAUUGGUAUGAAUAGUCAAAGAAGUAUAUUAAAGUUAGUAAUCUUUAAACACCACGAUGCAAUUAAUACUUUCAAGCUCAAGGUCUUUUUUUUUUUUUUUUUUGGUACUGUACUUCCUUGCUUUAUAGUAUGCACGUUUAUUUCUGUGGAUUGCUUAAGCUUAUAUUGUUAAUAAUUGGGCAUUUAACCAUAAAUUAUAAUGAUUAUGAAGUCAUAUAUAUAUAUAUAUAUAUAAGAAAAUUACCACAAUUAUUCAAUUUUUUUUGCAAAUUCAAAUUUUAUUAAUAAGAAAUAGGCAGUAAGCUUUUACAAACGGAAAAAAAAAAUCCUACAACAACUCUAGGACCUUUGAAAGAAAGAAAAAAAAAAGAAAAGAAAAGCUUAAGGACUCUACCUCAUAGAAGCUAAACAAUCCUACAAAUAAACUGCAAAAUAAAUCACAAUAACGCAAAAUUUUUGUCUUUCUUCCGUAUGAAAUGAAACUACGAAGUCAAGAAUUGACUCCUUUAACCGCUAUUGCCAGCGGGCUCCGUCAGCAAGAUACAACUUUGCAAUUUGAUUCAAUAGAAAUCCUCAAAUAGCUAUUUUGACAGGCAAAUUAAGCAUUAAUUUUGGUAUCCCUUCAUAAAAUACAAGAGUACUUUUGAUUAUAUCUAUAGAUCAACUUUCUAGGCUAUUUUGAUGUAUUAUAAGAAAAUCUGCCUCAACAAUUUUGAUAGCAUUUUUCCAAAAGCAGAAGAUGGAAAAUUGCCCAUUUGUACUGGGGAGUUCGUGAUCUUUUCCUCCUUCUAGUCUACUUACAAUUCUUGGAAAAAGGAAUACUCACAUCUCAAACAACUGCCUGUUCAUCUGCAAUGUCCUGCCGAAUUCUAGAAAGUUAGGUGGCAAUGCUAAUUACAUUUCAAAAUUGACUGCUGCGAUGACUAAUUCGAUGGCUUACUACAUGGUCAACGUUUGGAUCCCUUCCUGUCCUUUUUGGAUGCACAUUUUUUUUCUCUAGGCAAUAUAUAAUCUCCCAACUCAUUUCUUUACAAAUGCACCUUUAAUCACCACCAAAAGGUGUGGACAUGAUCUUUACCCUAGAAAACUAAUCACCGACAGGCAAAUUGACGUCAGAAAUACUAAGAGGAAUUCUAGUUUCCUUCGGGUUAAUGCCAUUUUGUACCCUUCAACUGUAACUCGAUUUCUAAACUAUAAUUUGUGACAUUAUAGUCCUUAAACUAUGAAACCCCUCUUACUUAAGUACAAUGGUUAAUACAAUACCCGUGACUAGACAAGCAACCAUAACAAAAAAAAAUCCAAAAUUAGAGAAAAGAAAGAAGUUUCGCGACCAAAGUAUGUAUCAAGGCAUAGUAUAGAAAUAAAAGUGUCCAAAUUAAGAGUUUAGGGAUAAAAGAGAUCAAGAUAUAGUUUAGGGAUUGAUUUGUCUCAAUUAGAGUUUUGAUGUCAACUAAGAAGAGAGAUAUAGUUGAAGGGUAGAAUAUAGAUAUAACAGUUCAAUGAUUGAUAUCAACGAGACAAUGACAACUUUGGAUUAUUACCAACCUCUUCUUGAUGGGAAAAGGAAAUAGAGAAGAAAGUCGGGCCUGGUCUAAGCCUGCUUCGGAGGCAAAACAACAUUAUGAAAUCACCGGCAUUCACACAAAUAUGUCAAAGUCACCGGCAUGCUAAGUUGCAUAAUUUAUACAAACACUGAAUAAUAUAUUGUUCUUAAAAUUUUUGUUUAAGAUUUAACAAUUAGAGCACGGUACACGAAUUAGCAAUAUUAAAUAAUGAAUGUUCACGAUUGAUAAAGUUAUCAAAGUACAGUUUGAGGACAACCCAUUCCAACGUGUACAAGAUGUUUAGCCUUUGAAAAGUUAAUUAGAGAAGGUGACGAGAUUUUACUAGGCUUAAAUCUUCUAGGCCUCGGAAGUAAAAAAUGAAGGCCUUUGAGUGCUAUAAAAAGGGGGCUAGAUGUUGCCUAGAAGCAUAUCAGCCUCAGACCACAUUUUGUAGCAAUGGGGAGCAAAGCAAAAGCAAUGGGGUCUAGGCUGACUCCUCUUCUUACCACCGUUUUAGUGGUAUUUGUUGCUCUUGGCUUGCCUUCAGAAACUGUGGCUGAUUACUACAAGUAUUCAUCUCCUCCUCCUCCUUACCAUUAUUCCUCACCACCACCUCCUGUGCAUUCACCUCCACCACCGCCAAUUUAUAAGUCACCCCCACCACCUUACCACUACUCCUCACCGCCACCUCCAGUGUAUUCAUCUCCACCACCACCUUCGCCAGUUUACAAGUCUCCGCCACCACCUUACCAUUAUUCGUCACCACCGCCUCCGGUGCAUUCACCUCCACCACCACCUGUUUACAAGUCACCUCCACCACCUUCGCCAGUUUACAAGUCUCCGCCACCACCUUACUAUUAUUCGUCACCACCGCCUCCGGUGCAUUCACCUCCACCACCACCGAUUUACGAGUCACCUCCACCACCUCCUCCAGUUUACAAGUCUCCGCCACCACCUUACCAUUAUUCCUCACCACCACCUCCAACGCAUUCACUCCCACCACCAGUUUACAAAUCACCGCCACCACCUCCUCCUAUGUAUAAGUCCCCUCCACCACCUUAUCAUUAUUCCUCACCACCACCUCCAGUGCAUUCACCCCCACUGCCACCAAUUUACAAGUCUCCGCCACCUCCAAUCUACAAGUAUAAGUCACCACCACCUCCUCCCCCAAUUUACAAGUCACCACCACCACCUCCUCCAGUAUAUAAGUCCCUACCCCCACCAGUGUAUAAGUACAAGUCUCCACCACCACCUCCUCCAGUAUACAAAUCACCUCCACCACCUCCUCCAGUUUACAAAUCUCUACCACCACCAAUUUAUAAAUACAAGUCUCCUCCACCACCUCCUCCGGUUUACAAUUCCCCACCACCACCAAUCUACAAGUCUCCACCUCCACCCUCCCAUUACUACUACAAUUCUCCUCCUCCUCCUCCUCAUCACUACUAAGCAAUUGUAUCCAAGUUUUUGAGGUAAUAAUGCUAAACCAAUAUAUUAACUUUCGCAUGAUAAACUUUAUCUCUAUCAAGACAAACUGCCAUGUGCAUCAAGCCAAAUACGUACACUUCGAUCCAUGAAAAUGACAAGUAGAAGGUUUUCUUAAGAACCAAGGAACAGCAUUAGUAUUCCCUCUGUUUCCAAAACUUGUGUAUUAAAUAGAUUAAUGAAUUGUUUAACAUGCUUAUCUACUUGAAAAUGCACAAUACCCAUAACCCACUGAAAUUUUUGCAGGUAAAGGGGAAGAGAAUCUGUGUUUGAGAGCUUCAUGAAGAUGUUGAAGAAUAAGAAUAAAAGCCCAAUGCGAGGAUGUUUUCAAGUUUUUCUAUGUUUCCACUUUAAUUUGUAAAUUGAAUUUUUCGACUUAAUUAAUUCCCUGUUUGUGGGGUACGUAUUGUUUUACGUACCAUGCCGUACAUGUUUGUAAGGAUUUCUAUCCUAUUGGCAAAAGUCGGUUCCAUACAAUUAAUCAAUUCAUUUCACUUCUAUUGGCUCUACUAUUUAUGCACGUUACGACAUUUUUUCUCUCUUUCCCUUAUAUUUUGUCUUUAAUAUUAUUGAGUCAAUAGUAAUACUGGGCCAUUUUUUUUAAAACUUAUACUAGUAUACAUAGGUAGUUUGGUCUAACGCCAAAUUCAUGUUUGUCUUUCUUUUAUUCCCUUUACAUUUCAAAGUAUACUAUAGUUUGUGAUCAUUGUGGUGAUGAUAUUACCAGCUGGUACUUAUAGUUUAAGGCAGAGACAUGAUAUUAACAACUAUCUCAUUGAAACAUAAGGAAAAAUCAUGACAAGUGUGAGUCUUGGUUAAUGCACAAUUUGUUAGUGGAAUUUAUAUUUAUAAAACUCAAAAAAAAAAUUUUGACAAUGCUAUUACUAAUUAAUUAAGGACUUUAUUGCUAUAAUUUAUCGCUUGCUAGUUUAAACUAUAAAUGAUCUCAAUACUUUUCUCCAUGAUGUCGAUUUCUUUAGAUACGAAAGGGAAAAAUUAGUGACAUAUCCCUUACUGAUUACAACAUCAGCAAAAAUUAGUUAUAAACUUUUCCGGUGGUUUUAAAUCCCCGGGCCCUAAGAUUUUUUGCUCAUCGAGUGAAUUAAGGAACAUAGGCAAUUCAUUUUGCAUACCAAGUCCUUGUUUAAGAUGCAAGUACUAAAAUGCAUCCACUUCAUUAAUUUGGGAAAUUGCCAUAGUUUUUUUAAGCAUUUUGAUUUUUUACAUGAUUUAAAAUUUUCUUAUUGGAUACAAUCACUUUGUAUCAAGAACACAUUUUCAAUCACCUUUUUUUAUCUUCUCAAUGAGAAAAUAAAAAUUUAUUCAUGCUUUUCUAACAUAUUCAAUCAUUGAUCUGAAAAUUAAAACAUUAAGAAAAGGACAUUUUCAAACAUUAAGAAGUAGUAUUUUAAAGACCAUGAUGAAAUUAAUACUUUCAAGGUCUCUAUUAGGAAGACUUCCUUUAUUAAUACUCUACUAGGCAGAGUUAUAUGCACGUUUACUGUUUUGGCCUUAAGUUGGGUGCAGAUGCUUAUAUUACAAAUAGAUGGUAUCAAAAAAUUGUUGUAUUCACGUCUGUUCUUUUUUUCUUCCUUAAGUUUUUUUCUUUAUUCUCGUGACUUCGCUAGUGAGGUAUAACUUCACAACUAGAGUCAAUAGAAAUCGUCAAAUGAUUUUUUGACAUCCAAAUUAAGCAAUAAAUUUUGUUUUCAUUUCAUAACAUAUAAUAGUACUACUUCAUGGGAGAUUUUAUAGUUUCUUUAGGGUAUCAUACCUACAAUUGAUAUUUAUCAUUGGAUAGUGAAAGAAGUGUUAAUGUCUCUAAGAUUAAAUAUUGUUAAAUAUUGAAAAUUUGAACUAUUUAUCUCUAUUGAGAGAUACAACUUAAAGAAUCCUACCCAAAAGAGACUAGAAUUUUCUCUGUUUUUCAUCAUCUGUAGACAUAAACUUUCCACGGUUGAUAGCAUUUUUCAUCAUCUAUAAGGAAAUUUUGCCUAUACAAUGUGAUAGCAUUUUUCAAAAAGACAAGAUGGAAAAUUGCCCCCCUUGAACGGAAAAUUGCCCCCUUGUCAAUUCUUUAAAAAAGAAUACCGUCCCGCAGAAUUCUAGAAAGUUAGGCAAAACUAGACAAGUUGACAGGUAUAAUCAGACCCAAGAUCAGGAACAAGCAGUUGCACAUUUCAAAAUUCGCUGCUGCAACAACUAAUUUGAUGACUUACAACACUAAAUGGUCAAACUUUGAAUGGCAAUGAAUCUUUUGUUGUACAUCAUGAUGUAAUUUUCAUGUUACAUAAUAGAUUGAUAUCUAUGUUCUUUAAAUUAUCAUAAUAAUUAAAUUUAACUGAAAAAAAGAACACAUAUCAAUACACAAAAGUGUGCAACGUGAAUGUUAUUUUAGUGUAUUGCAGAAGACCUAUAGUCUCUUCAUAUCUCUUCCUGCACGUAUCAAUUCGUUUCCUCUAGAUAAUAAUCUCCCAACUCAUUUAUUUACAAAUGCACCUUUUAUGUUUUAUUACCUCCAAAAGCCUAAAAAUCAAUUCACCGACUCGCAUUUGGUAUCAGAAAUUCUUAUUACGAAUUCUACUUUACUCAAAGAUUGACUGUUAAUAAUGAGACAACGACCAUUUUGUAUUAUUACACCGUCCUUCUUGAUAGGCAAAAGAAAUAGAGAGGAAAGCGGGUCCGUAUAUGGUCUUUUAUUCAUAGAUAAUACAACAUUACGCCAUCGAGCAUUCACACAAUAUUUCAAAGUCAUUGCAUGCCUAAGGCCUGCUUGAUAAUCUAAUUCCGUACUUAAAUUUAAUAAAUUCAAAUCUUAACACAUUCAAAUCGUUUGAUAACAAAAAAUUGAACAUCUAAAUUAAUUAAGUAACACUGAAUUUUCUAGGCAAAACUUGCUCCCAAAAUUAAGUGAUAAGUUAUUCACUUAUCACUGAAUAUGAUAUGUAUUCAAAUGUAUUAGAUUUAAUACUUAAUAAUUUAAUGAAUUCAAAUUUCAUAUUUCAUAUUUCAGUUUUAUCAAACACACCUUAAGUUGCAAAAUAAUACCAAAACUUGUUAUUACAUAGCUUGAGAUUCAAAAAUUUAGAGCAUAAUUCUCAACCAAACACAAUUGAAUAAUGAAUAUUCACGAGUGUCAAAUCUAUCAAAGUACAAUUUGAGGACAACCCAUUCAAACGCGUACACGAUUUUUAACUUUUCUAAAGUUGUUGAGAGCUGUUGAAAGAGAUUUACCAUGUUUACAUCUUCCAAGUCUUGGGAGUAAAAAAUGAAGCCACUGAGUGCUAUAAAAAGGGGGGUAGAGGCCACUUGAGAUCCUCGGUGACAUGUUUUCUAUGCCAAUCCAAUGCCACCAAUAGUGUUGCGCCAAGUGUCAUGUUAUUAUUUACACUUGUGUUAAACUAAGCCAAGUUGAAUUAUUAGAAAAUUAAAGUGUAAAUAAUAACAUGACACUUGGCGCAAUACUAUUGGUGACAUUGGGUUGGCAUAGAAAAUAUGUCACCGAGGAUCCCAAGUGGAUAGAUGCUGCCUAGAAGCAUAUCAGCCUAAAACAAGAAUUUGUAGUAACAAUGGGGAGCAAAGCAAAAGCAACGGGGUCUAGGCUGACUCCUCUUCUUACCACUGUUUUAGUGGUAUUUGUUGCCCUUGGCUUGCCCUUGGAAACUGCAGCUGAUUAUUACAAGUAUUCAUCUCCUCCUCCUCCUCCUUACCAGUAUUCCUCACCACCACCUCCAGUGUAUUCACCUCCACCAACCCCUGUUUAUAAGUUACCCCCACCAUCUCCUCUAGUUUACAAGUCCUCACCACCACCUUACCACUACUCACCACCUCCUGUGUAUUCACCUCCACCAUCACCAAUUUACAAGUCACUGCCACCACCCCCUCCAGUAUACAACUCCCCGCCUCCACCAGUGUACAAAUACAAGUCCCCACCACCACCUUCUCCAAUUUACAAAUCUCCACCGCCACCAGUUUACAAGUACAAGUCACCCCCACCACCUCCUCCGGUAUACAAGUCUCCUCCGCCACCUGUUUACGAGUACAAGUCUCCUCCACCACCUCCUCCAGUGUACAAGUCCCCACCACCUCCAGUUUACAAGUACAAGUCACCACCACCUCCUCCCCCGGUUUACCAAUCUCCUCCACCACCAGUUUACAAAUACAAGUCACCACCACCUCCUCCCCCAGUUUACCAGUCUCCACCUCCACCCUAUCAUCACUACUACGGUUCUCCUCCUCCUCACCACUACUAAGCAAGUGCAUCUAAGUUUUGAGGUAAUAAUACCGAUCCAAAACUUUAUCAACGCAAACUGCCAUGUAUAUCAUGCUAAGGACGUACACUUGAUCCAUGAAAAUGGCUAGUAGAAGAUUUUUUUUAAGAACCAGAGAAAUACAUUAUUUUUUCGCUCUGUUUUCAAGAAUUUGAGCAGUAUACAGAUUAAAGAGUGUUUUUUUUAAACUUGCUUAUCAACUUAGAAAUGCACAUAGCUGAAAGCCAACUGAAUAUUUGCAGGCAAAGGAGAAGGCAAUCGGUGUUUGAGACCUUCAUGAAGAUGUAGAAGAAUAAGAAUAAAAGCCCAAUGCGAGGAUGAUUUCAAGUUUCUACGUUACCAUUUCUACAUCUAAAUUGACUUUAGCUCCUGAGUUCCAUGUCUAUGGGGUUUGUACUGUUUUACGUACCAUGCAGUACAUGCUUGUAAGGUUUUCUGUCCUGUUGGCAAGCCGCAGGUCCAUAUAAUAAAUGAAUACUAUUUAUAUUACGACACUUUUCUCUCUUUCUCUUAUAUUUUGUCUUUAAUAUUGUUGAUCAUUUUUUUUUUUUAUCAAAAGUAUCAAAUGCUUAGGCAAUUUGGUCUAAUGCUAAUUGUUUUACAUUUAUUUUUCACCUACAUCCCUUUUCAACUCAAAGGAUGCUACAGUUUGUGAUCAUUGUUUAAGACCGAAGCAUGGUACUAAUAAAUAUCUCAUUGAAAGUCAAGGAAACUAACAUUAUGAAAAGUGUAAAUCUUGAUUUGUGAAACUAUUUAUUCGUGGAAUUUAGAGAUACAAAACUCAAAUUGUGACGGUGUUGUUGCUAAAUUAUUUUUUUUUUAUAAUAAAACACAGUUCAUUCAAGGAUUACUGGAAAUCGUCCAGCACAAUUGAGAUACAUUGUUGCCCAGGUGGCAGAUAAAUAUGCACUAAAAUUAUAGAUAUGCAAUUUAACAAAUACAUAAGAUUUGAGAAAUUAAGGACAAAUCUAAAAAGGACCAUAAAUUUGAAAAACAUUUCAUCCUAGAAUAAGUCGCUGCAACUCUCUUUGUGCAUGCUGUAAUCGUCAGAUCUACUAAUCAACAGUUGUAAGGUCCAGUAAAGAUGGUGAGAUCUGCCGAGAUUGAUCCAAAUCUGAAAUAUUCCCUCAGAUCUGCUAUCCAAUUGGUUCAAACUCAAUACUGAAAGUGAAAUCUGAUGAGAAGACUGAAAAAAUUGUAGAUCUAACAUAUAGAUCUAAAAAAACUCCAAGAUUUGAAAAAGUAAAGAAACAAAACUAAAUAAAACUCUCAUUAAGAUAGUUUAGGAGAGACUAAAACUCUCAAUAGGACACCCUAGGAGAGAAGAAAACUCUCACUAGGAUAACCUAUGAGAGACUUUAUUGAAUGAAAGGAAAAGCAAAGGACAAAGGAAGAAGAAGGGAGACCUUGGCUUAAGGCCAAGGUCUCCCUCCUAUGGAGGAGGAAGGGUAGAGGAGGAAGCCUAGAGAGAAGGAAGAGAAUCCCUCCGCUAGAGGGAAGGAAGAGCCUCUGAGAGGGUACCCGUGUUGUUGCUAAAUUAUUAAGGACAUUAUCACCAUUACUUUUCCCUUACUAGUUUCAACUGCAAUGAUCUCAAUCUUUUUGUGACUAAUUCUUUUCUUAAUAAUUUAUAAAUACAAAACUCACAAAGAAUAUGUGACUUAUUCUUUCCUUUCGUCUUCUAAAGAAAAUGCCAACUGUUAGUUUAUCAAGGGAAAAAGGAUCGACAUCAGUUGUUAUUGAAACUAGUAAGGAAUAAAUAAUGGUGAUAAUGUCCUUAAUAAUUUAACAACAGCACCAUCAGAAUUUGAGCUUUGUAUCUAUAAAUUCCACGAAUAAAUAGUUUCAUCAAAUCAAGAUUUACACUUUUCAUAAUGUUAAGUUUCCUUGACUUUCAAUGAGAUAUUUAUUAGUAUCAUGCUUCGGUCGUAAACAACGAUCACAAACGAUAGCAUCCUUUGAGUUGAAAAGGGUAGUGAAAAAGAGAAGUAAAAAAUACAAUUAGCAUUCCCUCAAAUUGUAGAAAGUUAGGUAGCAUUAUAGACAAGUUGAUAGCCGUAAUUAUACUAAAAAUCAGGCAAAAGCCAGCAAUUUUACAUUUCAAAAUUCACCUAUUCAAUAACUAAUUCGAUGGCUUGCUACAUGGUCAAAAUUCACCACAUAUCCCUUUCCUCAAUCAGGGGCUUCUACAAUUACCAGUUCCAAUUGUAUGGUAUAGUGUAAAUAUCAACAAAUUAGAUGUAGACACUAAUAUAAUAAAUAUGGAUGCUAAGGCAACAACAUACAAAAACAUAAUAAAUUUUGGCAUUCCUUAAAAAAUUACGUCCCCAAAUCAAUCUCAUACACCCAAUUUCUAAUUUAUUUAACUCAUUCCGUCUAUUAACUGCACCAUACAAUCCAACCUGCAAUUGCAUGAACCCCAAUCUCGCUUCCUAGUCCACCAUUUUUCUCUAGGUAAUAAUCUCCCUUCUAAUUUCUUCACAAAAUGCACCUUUCAUCACCUCCAAUAGCGUCGACAUGAUCUUUACCCUAGAAGACUAUUCACCGACUCCCAAUUGACGUCAGAAAAUCUAAGAGUAAUUCUACUUUACCCUAAGAUUGAUAUCAACUAGACAAUGACAAUUUAGAAUUAUUACACGCCUCUUCUUAAUAGGAAAAAGAAAUAGAGAAGAAAGUCAGGCCAGGUCUAAUUUCUUUUCGAAGGCAAUACAACAUUACGAAAUCAAGCAUUCAUUCAUACAAAUAUUUCAUAGUCACCGGUUUGCUGAGUAGAAAAGUUUAUACAAAAACUUAAUAUUAUAUUGUUUAAGAGUUAACAAUUUAGAGCUUAAUCUCCUUGUACUUUGGACUAAACUCGAACGUGAAAGGAAAUCCCAAAACCAUAUUGGGCAUGAAUUCACACUUAAAUAGACCCAAAAAAAGAUGGCGACUGGUGAAAGGCAGUGGAGACUGGUGGUGAGAUUUGAGGAAUAGAAGCAGACGGAAAAGCCACAAAUUUUUGCCGAAAGAGGGUCACUUUCAUGGUUAAUUUUGCUACUCUCUACUUGUACUUGACCAAUGACAGGUUGUCAGUCUGUGCAAUAAUAAAAACCUGUUCAAACUAAAAGUAAUUUCUGUAGAUAGUGGUAAGCAGGGUCGAAUCCACAGGGAUUAGGUGUAACUGUUUCUUUUCAAAUUCACAAUAACAAAGGGGGUGUUUUUAUGCAGAAUGUGACAAUCAAAGAAAUUCAAUUAAAAGUAAAAUAAUAAAAAUAAAAUAGCCAACUAGAAAUUAAAUAACAAUUUACUAAAAUCAAAUGAGUGAUAAUUAAGGAUCUAGCCAAGGAAUAACUUCAGCAGUGGUUCACCUAAUUGAUCAUUGGAACAAAGGCAAUUCCAAUUAUUUACUAAUAAAUAGGUUAUAACUGCCAAACAAGCGAUGACAGUCAAUCACUCCUUACUGUGUCGGUGAUUAAGGUACGCCCGUUAAUCACUGCCCUAAUUGAGAAAUAAUCUUAGGUACGCCCGUAAGAUUUAAUUUUCCAAUUGCCUUACAUAUUAGAGGAGUGUCAGGAACAAGGAAAUAGAAUGGGACGUCGUUUAAUGCAAAGGGUUGUGCGUUUAAGGCCUUAGAAGCAAUACUACGUCGUUCUAAUAACAUAGGCGGUGCUGGUGUGAUAGGCCAAGUUAGUUGAGGGUCAAUUACAUAAAUAGCCUUCUGUAACAGAUUUUUGGUUAUGUUUUUGAAUGAAAAGUAUCUCGCUGCUUUCUCUCUCUUGUCUGUUAUUUCCCUCCCUUUUCUUCUUUCUCUCUUCCCUCUUCUUAAUCUUGUUUCUUUCUUCUGAUUCUUCCCCCAAAUUCAAUACAAUUCCAGAAAUUAACCUGCAAGUCUGACAUUUGGUAUCAGAGCGGUCGAUUCUUGGCCGCGAAGGUAUCAGAAAUGGCUGAGAGCACGCGAUUCAGGACACUGGAGGAGCAACUCAAGAAGCAGGAGAAUCGGUUGCAAGAACUGGCGGAAUCCAUGGCUGCACUGCAGAGUACGAGUUCCGAGGAGUUGCGGCAUAAGCUACAGGCGGAAAUGGAGCAGAACAAUGCAAAAUUGGACGCGGUGGUGGGAAGUCUGGACCAGAAGUUCAAUAAAAUGGAACAGAGACUCAGUACAGUGUUGAAGCUGCUGAUGAAGGAGAAAGGUCUCCCUGAUGUCGAAGGAGGAAUUUCUGAUCCAAUCUUGCCGACUCCUCCAUCUCAUCUGAGGUUAGCAUCCUCAGUCGAAGGGAUUGGGCACCAACAAGAGUACAGAGGUAGGCAAUUCACUCCUAAUGUACCUCGAUUAGAACUGCCAAUGUUUAACUCUGGAAACCCUAGGGAAUGGACCAGGAAAUGCCAGAAAUAUUUUUUGAACUAUCAGAUAGCAGAGAGUCAAAAGGUAGAGGUAGCAGAGAUGUUUUUGGAAGGUAGAGCUGACAAUUGGUUUCAAGGAGUGAAAUUGGUGAGGCCAGGGUUGUCUUGGGGGGAAUUUAGUGAACUUUUGUGUGAAAGAUUUUCUGGAAGUAGUUCUCGUGACAUUGUGGAGGAAUUUAACAAGUUACAGCAGAAAGGAACUGUUGAGGAAUAUGAGGAGAAAUUUGAAGAACUAAAAGCUCUAAUGCUGAUGAAAACCCCCAGGUUGGAUGAACUUUACUUUGUUUCCAGUUUUAUUAGUGGCCUCAGGGAAGAAAUUAGACCUAUGGUGAAGAUGUUUAAGCCUCAAACACUGAUGAAGGCCUUUGAAGUUGCGGAGUUGCAGGAGUGUUCCCUGGAAAUCCAAUCGAAACAAAACAGAACUUCAAGGAGGACAGCAAUGGAACCCAAGUUUGGAAUGUAUAAGGGCACUACGAGUGAUUAGGGUCGCCAAAAUUCAUAUAAGUUGCCUGGAGUCACUCCUGUCUCCAGGAGGACUAAUGCAGUACACAAGGAAUUUAGUAAGAUAUCAGCGGAGGAAAUGCAGUAUAAGCGUAAGCACAGCCUGUGCUAUAGGUGUGGAGAGAAGUUUGGAAUAGGUCAUCAGUGUAAGAAAGGAAGUCUGAACUGUGUGAGCACUGAGGAAGAGGAGGACACUGAAUUUGAGGAUGCGGAAGGGGAACAGGAUGAGUUAACAGGAAGGGUCGGGGAACUUGCAGAAGUCUCUUUGAAUGCUUUAUCUGGUGCCAUAAGGAGGAAAUCCAUCCUGUUGAUAGGGAACUUAGGGGGGCUUCCAGUCAAAAUUUUGGUGGACACAGGCAGUUCUAACAGCUUCAUUCACCACAGGAUUGUCAACCUACUGCAUCUACCAUAUCAGGCAGUCAGUCCAUUUACUGUGACUCUAGCAGAUGGAACUGACAUUACCAGUGGAGCCAUCAGUCCCAGCGUGUCUUGGUUAAUUCAGGACUAUCAAUUCCAAUUUGACUUAAAAGUAAUGGAAUUAGGGGGAUGGGAUAUAAUUCUGGGGGUGGACUGGAUGUGCCAGUAUAGUCCCAUUACAUUUGAUUUCCACUCUCUUAGCAUUGCCCUUAGUGAUAGGGGUUCUUUACUACACCUCCAAGGACUUGUGAAGCAACCUACUAUGGAACUGGUGAGGGGCAGGGAUCUCAGCUCGUUUAUACAGGAGAAGCAAAGAAACUGUGCAGCCAUGCAUGCUGAUAGGGCCAGGGAAACAGGAGAGCAGCUUCCAAAAGCUAUAGAAAGGAUCCUGGAACAGCACUCUCAGGUUUUCUCCACCCCAACAGGAUUACCCCCAGAGAGGGAAUUGGACCAUCAGAUCAACCUCAAACCAGGAGCUGAACCCUUCAAGCUCAAACCUUACAGGUACCCCCACUCACAUAAAGCAGAAAUUGAAAAAAAAGUUGCUGAGAUGCUCACUAAUGGAAUUGUUAUACAUAGCACAAGCCCCUAUGCCUCCCCUGUAUUGUUAGUAAAGAAAAAGGAUAACUCCUGGAGAUUAUGCAUAGAUUACAGGAAGCUGAACGAGCUGACUAUAAAGGAUAAGUUCCCUAUUCCCAACAUAGAUGAACUAUUGGAUGAAUUACAUGGAACCAGAUACAUGUCCAAACUGGAUCUCAGAGCUGGUUACCAUCAGUUGAGGGUGAAAGCUGUUGAUACCCCUAAGACUGCCUUCCAGACACACCAUGGCCACUUUGAAUUCUUAGUGAUGCCUUUUGGACUCACAAACGCGCCAGCUACAUUUCAGUCCUUGAUGAACAGAAUAUUUCAGCCAUAUCUCAGAAAGUUUGUCCUAGUCUUCUUUGACUACAUAUUAGUGUACAGCCCCACACUAGAGAUGCAUGCACAGCAUCUACAGAUUGUGCUCAAUAUUUUAGAAGAAAAUCAGCUGUAUUACAAGAGGUCAAAGUGCUCUUUUGCCCAGUCCUCAAUUGAAUACUUGGGGCACGUGAUCUCAGAGGCAGGAGUGAGUAUGGAUGUGGCUAAGGUGGAGUGUAUCAAGUCCUGGUCUGUUCCUAGUACAGUCAAGGAGCUGAGAGGGUUUUUGGGAUUAAUUGGUUACUACAGGAGAUUCAUUAAAGGCUAUGGAGUGAUUAGCAAACCCUUGACUGUAUUGUUGAAAAAGGAAGGUUUUGCAUGGAACCAUGAAGCUCAAAUGGCCUUUGAAGAUUUGAAAAAGGUUAUGACCACAGCCCCAGUGCUGAGCAUGCCUAAUUUCGAACUUCCUUUUGUCAUAGAGACUGAUGCCUGUGGAAUAGGUAUUGGAGCAGUGUUGAUGCAGCAAGGACAUCCUAUUGCUUUCCUUAGCAAGGCAUUAUCAGUUCAGAAUUUGGGGUUAUCAGUCUAUGAAAAAGAGCUUUUUGCCUUAGUGCUAGCUGUAACUAAGUGGAGGCAUUACCUGGUGGGUCAUCACUUCAUUAUCAGGACAGAUCACCAAGCUCUCAAACAUUUGAUAGAGCAAAGGCUUACUCAUCCACUCCAGCACAAGUGGCUAACUAAGCUACUUGGUUUGGACUAUGAAAUACAGUAUAAAAAGGGUGCAGACAAUGGGGUGGCAGACGCCCUCUCCAGGAGAAGGAUUGAGGGAAACACUGUUGACUGUGGAGAGACUGGGCAUCAGACCUGCGCCAUAACCUCAGCUCAGCCUAGUUGGAUGCAGGAAAUGCUAGAAAGCUACAUUGGAGAUGCAGAGGCUCAACAGAAGUUAUCUGAGCUAUUGCUGGAUCCCAAUGCAGAUCCAGAUUAUCAGUUAAAGAAUGGGAUGCUCAAGUUUAAAGGGCGGCUGUACAUAGGAUCUGCUAACAACAUUAGGACCAAGGUGGUCAGAGCAUUGCAUGACUCAGCCCUUGGGGGGCACUCAGGUCCUGGAAUCCGUAAGGAUGUCCUUCAAUAUGUGAGAUCUUGUGAUGUGUGUCAAAGGAACAAACAUGAAAAUGUUCCUUAUCCUGGGUUGCUGCAACCAAUUCCUGUACCUCAGCAGGCUUGGUCACACCUCACCAUGGAUUUUAUUGAGCAACUACCCCCAUCCCAUGGAUUUGAUACCAUUUUGGUGGUGGUGGAUAGGUUAACCAAGUUCAGCCACUUCAUUCGACUCACUCACCCUUUUUCUGCACAGCAGGUAGCACAGCUUUUCCUUGACAACAUAUACAAGCUGCAUGGACUUCCUGAGACCAUUAUAACUGACAGGGACAUAAUCUUUCUUAGUAAGUUUUGGCAAGAGUUAUUUGGUAUGGUAGGGGUAAAGCUGCACUACAGUUCAUCGUAUCACCCUCAAUCAGAUGGUCAAAGUGAAAGGGUCAAUCAGUGUUUGGAAAACUAUCUCAGGUGUAUGUGCAGUGAGCAUCCUUCUCACUGGAGCAGUUGGCUUCCUACAGCUGAGUUAUGGUACAACACUAACUUCCAUACUAGCUUGCAGGUGACACCAUUCGAAGCACUAUACGGGUAUAAACCAAAUCACCUUCCCUUAGGACCUUUUCAUGAUAGCCUGGUACCUGCUGCUGGUAACAUGGUGCAGACUAGGCUCCAAAUUCUAUCCCUCAUCAAAGAGAAUCUAGCCACCGCCCAGAAUCGAAUGAAAAUGUUUACUGAUAAGCACAGGACUGAACGUGUCUUCCAAGUGGGGGAUUGGGUAUUUCUCAAGCUGCAACCUUACAGGCAACAAUCAGUGGCCUUACGGAAGAAUUUGAAGUUGGCUGCCAAAUACUUUGGACCUUUCCAGAUCCUUGCGAGAGUAGGGGAAGUCGCCUACAGACUUAAGUUGCCAGAGGGAGCUCGAGUUCAUUCCGUGUUCCAUGUGUCCUUACUUAAAAGGAAAGUGGGAGUUACACAGCAGGUAAAGCCCAGCUUGCCAGAAGUAGACGCAUCAGACCAAUGUUUGCUGAAGCCAGAGAAGAUUCUCCAGAGGCGUGUUAUCAUACGAGCUGCCAAACCAAUCAUCCAGUACCUGGUGAAGUGGAACAACUUACCAGAAUCCGAAGCAUCAUGGGAGGAUAAAAGCUUCAUUGACAGACAAUUUCCGGAAUUUCAAGCUUGAGGACAAGCUUUGCUUAAGGGGAAGAGAUUGUCAGGAACAAGGAAAUAGAAUGGGACGUCGUUUAAUGCAAAGGGUUGUGCGUUUAAGGCCUUAGAAGCAAUACUACGUCAUUCUAAUAACAUAGGCGGUGCUGGUGUGAUAGGCCAAGUUAGUUGAGGGUCAAUUACAUAAAUAGCCUUCUGUAACAGAUUUUUGGUUAUGUUUUUGAAUGAAAAGUAUCUCGCUGCUUUCUCUCUCUUGUCUGUUAUUUCCCUCCCUUUUCUUCUUUCUCUCUUCCCUCUUCUUAAUCUUGUUUCUUUCUUCUGAUUCUUCCCCCAAAUUCAAUACAAUUCCAGAAAUUAACCUGCAGAUCUGACAAGGAGCCCUAUUCUAACCAAAUAACACACUACCAGGGUUAUUUUAGGUUAGCCCGCGUAUUCCCCUGACAUGAAUCCAAUCAUGCCAGUUAUCACUAUUUUGAAACAAUUAAACAAUUACGGAUUUAACGUCCCAAUUGACAAUAGAUUAUCAAAUUAACUAAUUAUCCGGAUCCAAAACAAUCAAUUAAUUAAAUAAUCAUAAGCACUGUAAUCAGGGAAUAUUUGAAUACCAAUAAAUAAAAAGAAAGGACAAAAUUAAAUCGAUUUCACAAUUUUUAAACGAACCACAACCUCAGUUGUUCCUCGGCUAGAUUGAGAAAAUUAGCUCAUGUUCGAUGCGAAAAAUCCACAAGAAAUUGUUAAGAGAGCCGCGGCCAUUGUCCCUUGAAAUUGGGGAAAUUCAAUUCGGUUGAACUACGAAAGAAAAGUAAGCUACAGAGAGUUGCCGAUUGGGUUUUGCUUGUCCCUAACAUGCGAGGGAGCAAAGCCACGAAAGGACGACAAAGGUCAAAAAGAAAGGCUACAGAGCAUGUUCCAGGUCUUUUUGUGCUCUCCACAUCCGAGCCAACGAAAAGAAAUAAAAAACUACCAGGAGCUAAAGGAAAACCGCAAGAAAAGUCAAAGGCUAAAAAAACUUCCUAGUGCUUGUUCUCUGCUUAUCUCUUUAUCUAAUUCUAAGUCCCCGAUUUUUUGCUCCGUGCGGCGGCUCCCCCGGAGAGAAAGGAUUGCAUCCGCUGCCCUCUUCCACCAAUUACCAAAAUGGGCACACCGCUUCUUUUUCAAAAAUGCUCCUGGAUAAACUCUAUCAUCUGGACUUUUUUUCUGUCAAAUUGACAUUUAUUAUUAUAUUUUCGUUCUACUCCCUGAAAUAAAUGUAAAAUAUUAAAAAUGAGUAGAAUCCGACAAUUAAUUCACAUCAGGUCAGAUAAUAAAGAAAAUUAAUAAUAAAAUAAAUAAAUAAAUUGCAACCUAUCAACCAAAUACAACAAUUUCAUGGAGUUUGAUACACAAGCCCAAAUACACGAGAGUGUGUAACCUGAAUUGUUACUUAUACAUUAGUGUGUAAUAGAACGGCAAGCAUUAUGGUGGUCAUUGAGCAACUUGUAGGAGAAAUAGUCCUAUAAGCUGUUCAAUGACCAAUCACAACUUGCUAAUUGGAUGACUAAUAUAGCUCUAGCUGUAAUGUUUUAAUUAAAUUCCAUCACUAACGUUGGGAUGACUUUUUAAUCAAAAAAAAAAAAGCCUUAGUUCAAGCUUUUCCCCUUAUUGUGCAUUUUUUAAAACAUUUGAUAGGCACUGCAAAUCUGUCAUUUUGGACAUUUUAUUAUUAACUAACAAUGAAAGCCGUGGACAUCAACCCAUAUCCAACAAAAUAUUAAAUUAAUAUUAGAAAAAAUUAUUAAGUAAUUGGAAAAAAAAAGAAGAGGCUAAUUUUCAUUGAAACCCACCGACAAACUAUACGCUGCUUUCAAUCAGUUUUAACACGGGAAAAAGAAAAGGCAUGAAAAGCAAAAUUUGUGGGGAUAAUUUCGGAAACCUCCCAUGAAGUUUUUGACUAUUUUACUGGCCUCCCUUCAGAUUUUAAAAAUUGGACUAAUCUUCCUUAAAGUUAAUUAUCUUGUAACAUUUAGAUCCGAUCAAUAAUUUAAAAAAUAAUAUUAUGAGAGAGAAAAUAAUAUGAUUUUAUUAUUGCCCCCAUCUCACCACAUUAUUUAAUUAAUUUAAUAGCAACCCACACAUUAAAGAAAAUGACAGGUCGUCAACCUGUGCAAUAAUAAAAUUAAACCUAAUUGCCAGUUAAAAUGACCAAAACCCAAUUCCAAGUACUGGAGCAGGGACUCUAGGUGUGCAAUGGGUUACUUGAUUCACCCUGUUCCCGAAGAGUUUGCUUGAUCCGAUAUACCCGAAUGGAAUGGUUAUUCCUUUUCACAAAUGAUUAGGAAUUUGUAGACAGGGCAAGUAGGGUCGUAUCCACAGAGACUGGGUAUAUUUGUUUCUUAAGAAAUCCAAAGUAACACAGGGGGUGAUUUUGUAGGAACGACGAUAAUUAAAUAAAUUCAAAUGAGAAAGUAAAAAUAAAUAAUUAACUAGAAAUUAAACCACAAUUUACUGAACUCAGGAUAACAAUAGUUAAAGGCCUCAAUUAAUUAAAAUAAGGAAACAAUCAAAAAUAAAAUAAAGUAGGUAAUUAAAAGUCAAAUGGCAAUCCACUACAAUCAAGGAAAUAUUAACUAAAGAUCUAGCCAAGAAAUAACUUCAGCAAUGGUUCACCUAAUCGAUCAUUGAUGCAAAGCAAUCCCAAUUAUUUACUAAUAAAUAGGUUAUAACUACCAAACAAGCGAUGGCAGUCAACCCCUCCUUACUGUGUCGGUGAUCAAGGUACGCCCGUUAAUCACUGCUCUAAUUGAGAAAUAAUCCUAGGUACGCCCGUAGAAUUUAAUUCCCCAACUGCCUUACGUAUUAGAGGAGCCCUAUUCUACCCAAAUAACACACUACCAGGGUUAUUUUAGAUUAGCCCGCGUAUCCCCCUGACACGAAUCUAAUCGUGCCAGUUGUCACUAAUUUGAGGUAAUUAAACAAUUACGGAUUCAAUACCCCAAUUGACAAUAGAUUAUCAAACCAAUGAAUUAUCCGGAUCCAAGACAAUCAACUAAUUAAAUAAUCAUAAGCACUGCAACCAAGGAAUAUGCGAAUACCAAUAAAUAAAGGAAAAGAUAAAAUUAAAUCGAUCUCACAAUUUACAGGUGACCCAAAGCAUCAGUCGUUUCUUGACUAGAACGAGGGGGUUAGCUCAUAUUGGAUGAACUAAGCCCGCGGGAAAUUCCAGCAAAAGUCACGGCCGUUGUAUGCAUUUCAAGAGCCGCAAUUCGUCAAACACUUGGAAAGCGAAUGUAAGGCACGGGUAACAAUUGAAACUUUCUAAUUGUUCCUAGCAUUCGUAAAGCAAAUUCACUCCAGAAGUACAGUGAGGAAAAGUCAAAGAAAGUGGGCUUCAAUUCCUUGCUCCUGACAUGCGUGGAGACAAGCCAAUGCAAGACUACAAUAAACUAACAAGGAAAAGUCAAGAAUUGGAGCUAAGCUCCCCUGCCAUGCGCAGGAAUCCCAAAAGUAAAAAGUAAAGCUUCAAAGAAAAGUCAACAAUUCUUCCUAAGCUACAGACGGAAGAUCCAGCACAAAAGCCAGCUCCCUUUUUGAUCCCUUUUUCCCCCUUCUUAUUGCGGCGGCUCACCAGGAGAGGAGAGCCCUCCGUCCGUCCUUUCUUCCGGAAAUUACCAAAAUGGGCAUGACAUCUUCUCUUCCAAAAGUGCCCCUGGGACAAGCUUUCUCAUCUGAAUUCUUUUUUUUUCCAAUUUGGCACCUGUUAUCAUAUUUAUAUUCUACUCCCUGAAAUAAACGUCAAAUACUAAAAGUGAGUAGAAUCCAGCAAAUAAAUCCACAUCAAGUCAGGUAAUAGGAGGAAUUAAUAAUAAAAUAAAUGAAUAAAUUGCACCCUAUCAAUUCCCUCCACACCUAAACCAUGCUUGUCCUCAAGCAUAAGAAAAGUAAACGAACACCAAAAUUCGACGAUAGCCAUUGCCCAAUCUCCUAUAUUGCCAAGACAUUCAAGAGAAAAACACAUAUCGAGCAUUGGUGAUUAGAAUCCCAGAAGCAUCCCCCCGGUUAGCCUCUAACCCCCAGAUUCCUUCAAUUUCCAACUUAACUACUCUAAGAAAGAGGAAUGGCACACAACAUUUAUCAGCUAGUGGUCCGAAUAUUCACACAAGUCUUCAUAUCCAAUCCAUAAACCGGCAAGCUUCCCUAUUAUUUAGUCUCUCUUUUUUUCCGUUUUUUUUCAUUUUCAUUCUUCCCCUCUUUUUUUUUUUUUUUUAAAGCAGUAGCAAUCAACACAAAAGACUUAGUCGUUAGCCGUCAGGGCCUUUUGAUGCGAACUCCAACAUUUUUAGAAGGAGGAGCCCGGUUACUCAGCUCCUACCGCUAUACGACCACGCACUCAUAUAAAAUACCACCUUUUGACGCGAGAAUCGACACUUUUAGGUGCCGAUCCCCGGUUACUCAGUAGUAACUUAAUAGCGGAGCACAGUCAAGCUUAUUCUCAGCCAAACAAUGCACAAACGCAAAAUAACAGCACUAACAAUCAAACAUAGGAGCAGCUCGCCUCAUUAUUGUCAAACAUGGAGAACUGGAGUCAAUAUUGGACCAGUUCACAUUAAAAGGCCAUAUUCAUUCCCUACGCCUAGAAAAGUUAACAAAGAAAUCGAAAGAGUCAAACAGUUAAAUAUUCACCAAGGGGAUAUUCAGGACCCAACCACACUAACCCGAUACAUUUUGUAUUUUAAAAACUUGGCAAAAGUAGAUUUGGAGUCAAUGAGUCCACAUCUCAAUUUUAGCCUUCACAUGAAAGGCAAUCACCAAGAAGAAAGAACGGAAAAAUAAGCAACUAGAAAUGAGACUACGAAAAACUACUAAAACUAAAAACUCACUUUUUUUCUUUUUCUCUUUUUUUUUCUUUUUGAAUUUUUUUUUCAUUUUUAUUUUUUUUUAUUUUUUUUAUUUUUUAAACAUUAACUAUAAACAUUAACUACUAAAAACUAAAAACUAAAACUACUAAAAACUAAAAACACUAAAAACUGCUAAAAUGAAAAGCUGAAAACUGAAAACUACUAAAAACGGAGCACACUAGCAUAACUUUAGAUCCCCCCCACACCUAUAGGACACAUUGUCCUCAAUGUGACAAAUAAGAACCAAAAGUGAAGCACAAGUGAGAGGGGAAUCAGCCAAACUUCCCUGAAAUCGGGUCACAGCGGAGGGCGAGGUGGAAAUGGAGGUGCAAAGCCUGUAUGCAUCAGGAACUGUGCCAAAUUCUGUGCUAUGCCGGCGACAUUGGCGUCGACGUUGGUCAUCCGGGCCUGCAAAUCCUGAACCAGCUCCCUGAGAUGCUGCCAAUCAUCGGUCCCAGGUGGUGGAGGUGGCGCAGAAGUAGAGGUAGACGGCCCAGCAGUGUCCGCGGCCGACCCAGGGAAUGAAGAUGGCCCUGCCCGGGCCGAAUGGUGUGCACCCGGGGCUCGAGGUGGUCCCGGACGGGUAAACUGGUGAAAACCAUCUGGCAGACGCUCGACGACCCCCAUUUUCUCUAAGCAAACUACGUCCAAGUGCUCCAUCUCAAAUGCCAAAUGGAGGUCGUGGUCAUCCAGGUUAAGAACUCCCAACUGGGUCGCCAAGUGAGUGAUGUAGGACCCAAGGAUCAGUGGUUUGUUCUUCUUGGUCAAGACCGUCUUGAACUGUGCGGCCAACCAACAUCCCAAGUUCACCUUGAUAUUGUUCUUCAUACUCCAGAGAAAGAAGAAUUCGGGCCGAGAGAGUAUACCGGAGCUGUCCUUGCGCCCCGAGUAGCUAUAAGCUAAGAAUCGCUGAACAUAGCGGGCGCUAGGGUCCUUAAGAAAGGAGCUCCUGGACCGGGAAGGAUCGUAGCGUUGCCUAUCGACGGACAUGUCCUCCCAUACAUCAUGGUAGUGGGAGAGGAAAGGCUCUACGUAGUCACAGGCACUCUCCGCAUACUCCCUAGUCUCAGCAUACUCUCUAGUGAUAAACCCAAAUGCCAGAUUGAAUUGAGUAAUGGAGAAAUUGAAUUCUCGACCCAUGAGCCGGAAAUGAAUGACAUUCGGUGUUUCACCCGUGUAUCUCGUAGGUAAUUCGAACUCAAAGGUGGAGUAAAACUCCCGGAUCAGCUCAACAAAAGCGGGACAAGAAAUAUGGAAAUAUGGGCGCCACCCAAUGGCUGUGAACAUUUGCUCAACCUCCUCCCGUAUACCCAGGGCAGUUAGAGAGAGUCUAUGACAAGACUUACAGGAUAUUAUACGCCUCUCGCAGACCUUAGCGUACCUCUGCCGAUCGGCGGGUCUGGUAAAUGUUAAGUGCCCCCCAAAAUGAACAGGUGCAUCUACCUGAGCACCCCUAUCCCUACCCAAACGGGUUCGAACACUAGAAGAGGAGGGUAGGUUGGUAGGUGAGUUGACAGGAAUAGAGGCUUGUGGAGGGGGUUGAGACUGAGAGGUCCUAGACCUAGAGGAGGAUUUCGGUCUCACCAUUCCCCCCAAAGUAAGUUCAAGGCAACAGAAAAUCCGACAAGUAUAGAAACCAGCAAUUGACAAAGCAAAAAUCUCCCAGUAGUAACCCAGCCAAUAGCAAACAAAAGAGUUCCAGCAAGUAAUCAACAAGCAAUUCAGAAAUAUCUCAACUAAAAUCUCAAGAGAAACCCCAGCGAGUUAUCCAGCAAUUCAAGCAAUAUCCCCAAGCAAUGUGGUGGUCAAAAUGUCAUCUCCAAAUUGAACAAAUAAUCAGAGCAUUGCAACACAUUGAAAAUCUCAAUAAACGGCUCCAGUUGGCCAAGAAAAAUUGCUAACUCAUACUCAGCAAUAGUAGUGCAGCAAAGGGACAGUAACCACGCAAUAAAAACACUUAGCUUGCACUCAAAUGGUCACCCCAAAUAACAACCCAGUAUGAAACCCGCAGGCAGAGUAUUCCUCAAACCGUUAGCCUAAACCCAGUCAACAACCACGGCCAGAAAUAACCCCAUAAAUAGUGCAAUGAGUAAUCCCCAGCAACAUAAUCAGGUGUAAUCAACUGGAGCAAGCAAUUUACAUGGCAUAGAAACCUCCCAAUCAAACAAGUGCAUUAUUCUAGCGCACCCCAAAAUUCCAAGAAAUGGCUCCAGUUGGCCAAUUAAUUUCACAAUGUCACCCAACUCAGGAGAAAUAGCAAUUCCACACAAAAAUAGUCAAACCAGUACCACUGGCGAAAAAUCUUUCAAAUAUGCACAAUUUGCUACCAAAUAUCACCGGCUAACACUGAAAAAUUGAGGGCAAGUGUCAAAUACCUCCACAGGGACUACCCCAGGCGGCAGACAGAGAAGCGGCGUUGAAGCUGGUGGUCGAGCGGGGCGGCGCUCGCGUCGGCGUGCGCAGCGGCGACGGCGCGCGAGGAUGGAGUUUCGGGAGGUUGCGUGCGGGCUUGGCUGAAGACGCGGCGCGCGCUAGGGCUUCGCUGCGGCAGGCGUGCAGCAGGGGAGAAGAAAGAAAAGAGAAAGAAAGAAAGAAAAAGAAAGGAAAGAAAGAACAGAAAAGAAGGAAAAGAAAAAGGAAUUUUUCUUUUUUUUCUUUUUCUUUAGGCUACGGUUUAGAGGACAAAUUUUUCUUCUUCUUGUUUUCUACUUUUUUAUUUUUUUAUUUUUUAGUUUUUAAUUUAUUACUAUUAUUAUCAUAUUUAAUUGAGGAAAAAAAAUGUUUUUUUUUAAAUCCCUACCUUUCCCACGAACGUGACGCGGGCACGUCAAGAGGGCAAGAGAGCUCCCAGAAGUUUCAGAAUUUUCUGAUCGUAAGCGUCCUGCACAUCACCACGCGGGCACGUCAUGAGGACAGGAGAGCUCCCAGAAGUUCAGAAUUUUCUGAUCGUGAGCGCCCUGCACGUCACCACGCGGGCACGUCAUGAGGCCAGGAGAGCUCCCAGAAGUUUGAAGUUUCUGAUUCCUGCCCGUCAUCACGCGGGCGCGUCAUGACUGAAGGUCACCUACAAAUCAGCAAAAACGAAAACUAACACCCAAAAUCAGUCAAAUUCAGGGAAAGCAGAUUUAAACUAUGCUACAAAACCAACAAACAAUUAAAAGAAAUAAUUAGGUUGCCUCCCAAUGAGCGCCUUUCUUUAAUGUCUUUGGCUAGACAUGGUAAAGUGUCACUGAUUAGGACACGGUGGUGCGUCAAGCCUUAUUGUCUCCACCUCUCUACCUGAAAAUCCUUCGUAAUAAUAUUUGAGACGGUGUCCAUUCACCACAAAUUUGUUGUCUGUCUUAGCACUCUGGAUCUCAACUGCACCAUAGGGAAAAACAUGAGUAACAAUGAAAGGUCCAAUCCAACGGGAACGUAGCUUACCUGGGAAUAGCUUGAGCCUGGAUUGGUACAGGAGGACCUUCUGACCAACUUCAAAUGUUUUUCUUGAAAUUUGUUGGUCAUGAAAUGCCCGGCUUUUCUCCUUAUAUAUCAAGGCGUUUUCGUAUGCUUCGUUCCGGAUCUCCUCCAAUUCUUGCAAAUCCAACUUCCGUUGAGCACCGGCCUCCUCUAAAUUCAUAUUGCAGUGCUUUAUCGCCCAAAAAGCCUUGUGCUCGAACUCCACUGGAAGGUGACACGGCUUCCCAAAUACCAACCUGUACGGUGACAUCCCAAUAGGAGUCUUGUACGCCGUCCGAUAGGCCCAGAGUGCGUCUUCCAACCUUUGGCUCCAGUCUUUUCUAUCAGGGCGCACCAUUUUCUCUAAAAUGGACUUAAUCUCCCGAUUCGACACCUCCGCUUGACCAUUGGUCUGAGGGUGGUAUGACGUUGAGACCCUGUGGAGUACACCAUACUUGCGAAACAACGCAGCUAUGGUUUUGUUGCAAAAGUACGUUCCCCUAUCACUGACAAUAGCUCUAGGCAUUCCAAACCGCACAAAGAUAUUAGACCUGAUAAAAUCUGCAACUACUCUCGAAUCAUUAGUUCGAGUGGCCUUAGCCUCCACCCAUUUAGACACAUAAUCAACUGCCAGCAAAAUAUAUAAAAAACCAAAUGAAGUAGGAAAAGGCCCCAUGAAAUCUAUACCCCAGACAUCAAAAAUUUCAACAAAAAUCAACGGGACCUGGGGCAUUUGAUCUCUACGGGCUAUAUUACCUACCAUUUGACAGCGAUCACAUGACUUACAAAACACAUAGGCAUCUCUAAACAAUGAAGGCCAAUAAAAUCCACUUUCUAAAACCUUAUGAGCAGUUCUCUUAGGUCCAAAAUGACCUCCACAGGCAAAAGUAUGACAAAAAGCUAAAAUUGAUUGAAAUUCCAUUUCACUUACACAUCUCCUCAUCACUUGAUCGGCACACCUCUUCCAUAGGUACGGGUCAUCCCAGAUAAAAUACUUGGCAUCGCUCUUCAAUUUAUCCCUCUUCGAUUUCGGCCAACCUGCAGGAAAAUUACCAGUUACCAAAUAAUUGACCAAAUCAGCAUACCAAGGCAACUGAGAAUUUAAGAAAAAUAGGUAUUCUUCGGGGAAUGCAUCCUUCAAUGGCUCGCUAUCCUCUUCAACUAGUAUGCGACUCAAAUGGUCCGCUACUAGAUUUUCUGAGCCUUUUUUGUCCCUUAUCUCCAAGUCAAAUUCCUGUAGGAGCAGUAUCCACCGUAUGAGCCUCGGUUUUGCAUCUUUCUUGGUCAUCAGGUACCUCAAUGCUGCAUGAUCAGAAAAUACAAUCACUUUAGCACCUAACAAGUAUGACCUAAAUUUUUCCAAAGCAAAAAUAACUGCCAGAAGCUCCUUCUCAGUGGUGGAAUAAUUCAACUGGGCUCCAUUCAAGGCCCGGGAUGCGUAAUAGAUGACAUGAGCCGCCUUGCCUAUUCUUUGCCCCAGUACAGCCCCAACAGCGUGAUCACUGGCAUCGCACAUGAUCUCAAAUGGCAAAUUCCAAUCGGGGGGUUGGAUGAUUGGGGGUGAAGUCAGCAAUUCCUUCAGCUUGUUAAAGGCUCUCUCACACUUAUCAUCAAAUUCGAAGGCUACAUCUUUUUGUAGGAGUUGGAACAACGGGGCUCCAAUCUUUGAAAAAUCCUUGAUGAACCUUCGAUAAAAACCUGCAUGUCCAAGAAAAGAGCGCACCUCCCGCACACUCGCGGGGUAAGGUAAUGCAGAAAUAAUGUCUAUUUUAGCCUUGUCAACUUCUAUGCCCUUAGACGAUACAAUAUGACCCAGGACUAUUCCGUGCUCAACCAUAAAAUGACAUUUUUCCCAAUUAAGCACAAGAUUAGUCUCUAUACACCUGAUCAGGAUUAAUUUCAGGUUAUCUAGACAAGUAUCAAAACUAUCACCAUACACACUGAAAUCAUCCAUGAAAACUUCUAUUAUUUUCUCAACAUACUCGGAAAAGAUGCUUACCAUACAUCUUUGGAAAGUCGCAGGUGCAUUGCACAACCCAAAUGGCAUUCGUCUGUAGGCAAAGGUCCCGAACGGGCACGUGAAGGUUGUCUUCUCUUGAUCCUCCGGGGCAAUUGCUAUCUGAAAGUAUCCUGAAAAUCCAUCCAAAAAGCAAUAAUAAGCCCUACCAGCUAAACGUUCAACCAUUUGGUCAAUGAAAGGGAGAGGGAAAUGGUCCUUUUUGGUGACGGCGUUUAGCCUACGGUAAUCUAUACAUUGCCUCCAUCCAGUGGGUUUGCGCACUGGCACGAGCUCACCAGUUUGGUUGGCCUCUACCGUCACUCCUGCAUUCUUUGGGACUACCUGGACCGGACUCACCCAAGGGCUAUCAGAUAUUGCAAAAAUGAUGCCCACAUCUAGCAAUUUUAGAAUCUCUUUCUUUACGACUUCCAUCAUGAGGGGAUUGAGCCUUCUUUGAGCCUGCCUAACAGGUUUGGCAUCGUCUUCCAGCCUAAUCCGGUGCAUACAAAUGGCCGGGCUGAUCCCCUUAAUGUCUGCGAUUGUCCAGCCUAUUGCCUCUUUAUGCUCCCGAAGGACCCGGAUCAAUUUCUCUUCCUGGGUCUUUGACAGUGCCGAUGAGAUAAUCACUGGGAGUGUCUCAUUAUCACCUAGGUAUGCGUAUUUCAGGUGCUCUGGUAGAGGUUUCAACUCCAGUACAGGUGCCUGCACCACAGAUGGCAAUACCCUCUGGUGAGCCUUGGGAGUAAAAAUAGGUAAGACUUCAUACCUUUUCGUGGUGGUCUGCAACGAGUGUAAUGCACCUAUUGUGCAUUUUAAAUCCUCGCUCCACUCCACCUCAGGAGUUGUCUCCAACUCGAGGUGCUUGGUUAAAGCCACCUCCAGCUCAUCCCUGCCAUCAGUUUCAAACACUUCCUGCACUACAGGGUCAAUAGCACUCACAGAAAAAACUGAGCUAAAGUUGGAGUUAGAGGGGUACUUCAUAGUAUCAAAAAUAUUAAAAUGCACAAUUUACCCAUCAAACUCCAUGGACAAGGUACCCUUAUUAACAUCAAUUUUCGUCUGCGCAGUGCUCAUAAAAGGUCUACCCAAUAACAAAGGUGAGGGAUCAGGGGAGUGAUCAUCAUCCAUAUCUAGUACAUAAAAAUCAGCUGGAAACACCAAAUCAUUAACCUUUACCAACACAUCUUCAAUCAACCCAUCAGGAUAUGCAUUAGUUCGGUCAGCUAAUUGAAUAAUUAUUCCAGUUUCUUUUAAUGGACCUAGUUUCAAAGAAGCAUAGAUAGAUUUAGGCAUGACAUUAAUUGAUGCUCCCAGAUCCAGCAUGGCCCUUCUGAUCACAGUAUUACCUAUCUUACAGGGAAUAGUAAACAUACCUGGGUCCCCGCACUUUGGUGGGAGCUUUCUCUGCAGGACCGCAGACACAUUUUCUCCAACUAUGACCCGUUCAUCUCCCCUCAACCGCCUUCGGUUGACACACAAGUCCCUUAGGAACUUGGCAUAUUUUGGUACUUGUUUGAUGGCGUCUAAGAGGGGGAUAUUUAUCUCAACCUUGCGAAAAACCUCCAAGAUCUCCUUCUCCUUAUCCUGCUUCUUCGAUUUUUCCAACCUGCUAGGAAAAGGAGGCGGGUUAGUUUUAACUGUAAUUAUUGGGUCAGGAAGUACCUCUGGAUCUGCACCAUUGCUGUCCUCCCUUUCGAGCUCAUUUUCGAUCUUCUCUUCAUCCUUGUCCUUGGGAAUCACAGGUUCAGGCCCCUGAAUUUCUUUCCCACUCCUUAGGAUCAUUGCGCUCACGUUCUUCGGAUUCAACUCCGGUUGAGAUGGCAGCUUCCCUUGGUUCUGGGACUCCCAACGGUUCAUUCUGGUGGCCAAUUGACCUAUCUGAUUCCUUAUGUCCUGCAUUUCGGAGUCCGUCUUUUGCUGAUUUUGCAUAAUAGCUGCCUCCGUCCUUUGCUGAUUCUGCGCCAUGGUUGUCAUCAUUUGUUUCAGCAUCUCAUCCGUAGAUGAACCAGAUUGAGGGAGCGGAGGUGGUCGGGGUUGGUAUUGCUGCUGGUACCCUGGUGGCUUAUUUGGCACAAAGUUAGACUGCCUGUUUGGCGUGAAGUUGGAUUGCCUAUUUCCACCAUAACUGAGGUUGGGAUGAUCUCUCCACCCGGGGUUGUAGGUGCUUGAGUAAGGGUCGUACUGCUUCCUUGGCGCGGGCGCGUGGUCAGCCAUGUUCACCUGUUCCGCAGUUUCUUCCUGAAUCAUUGGGCACAUGUCUGCAGAGUGACCUAUACCAGUGCAAAUCCCGCAUACCCUGGCUUGUGAUGCAUUUCUCACAGCCUAUUGCCUAACGAACGCAGUCAACUCAUUUAGCUGCUGCUGCACAGAGGGUGUCUCUAUCUCAUUCACCCUACGUAUUGGGACAUCCUAUCUUGUACUGAAUUGCUGUGAAUUCUCUGCCAUCCCCUCUAUUAACUCCCGUGCUUCCUGAGGGGUUUUGUUCACCAGUGCCCCUCCACUUGCAGCAUCAAUGAUGCUCCUGUCUCUAAAAAUGAGCCCCUCAUAGAAAUAUUGUAUGAUCAACUGCUCACUUAUUUGGUGAUGGGGGCACCUGCGCAACAAGCUCUUAUACCGUUCCCAAUACUCGUAAAGUGACUCCUCGGGAUGCUGCUUGAUCCCACAAAUUUCUUUCCUUAGACUCGCAGCCCUGGACGCAGGAAAAUAUUUAUCCAGAAAUUUUUUCUUCAAUUGGUCCCACGUGGUGAUGCUACCUGGUGACAGGUAGUACAGCCAGUCCUUCGCAGAAUCUUUCAAGGAGAAGGGGAAUGCCCUCAUUUUUAUCUGCUCUUCUGUGAUUCCCGGGGGUUUCAUACUGUUGCAAACGACAUCAAACUCCUGCAGAUGCUUAUACGGCUCUUCACCUGGUAAACCAUGAAAAGAGAGUAAAAGCUGAAUCAGACCAGAUUUUAGUUCAAAUGGAAUGUUGUCAUUUAAAGCUGGGAAAGUAAUGCAUAACGGCUGCUGAGUUAAAUCAGGAGCAGCCAACUCCCUUAAUGUUUAUGCAUUAGCCAUGGUGCCUUCCUGCUGGUCAGAGUCACUCGAAGUGUUACCAAACGAAUCUGUUGGUUCAACUUCUGACUCGGGUCUUUGAGAUGUAGCACUAGAGUGCUCUUCUCUGAGCUGUCUGGUUUCCUUUCUCGUUCUACGCGCGGUCUUCUCUACCUCAGGAUCAAAAACCAAAUCACCUGUGCGACAAGAUCGAGGCAUACACUAGAAGAAAACCAGAAAAUUAGGACAAAAUUGAAUUUAAGAAGAAACAAAUAAUAACGCCAGUCCCCGGCAACGGCGCCAAAAAUUGACAGGUCGUCAACCUGUGCAAUAAUAAAAUUAAACCUAAUUGCCAGUUAAAAUGACCAAAACCCAAUUCCAAGUACUGGAGCAGGGACUCUAGGUGUGCAAUGGGUUACUUGAUUCACCCUGUUCCCGAAGAGUUUGCUUGAUCCGAUAUACCCGAAUGGAAUGGUUAUUCCUUUUCACAAAUGAUUAGGAAUUUGUAGACAGGGCAAGUAGGGUCGUAUCCACAGAGACUGGGUAUAUUUGUUUCUUAAGAAAUCCAAAGUAACACAGGGGGUGAUUUUGUAGGAACGACGAUAAUUAAAUAAAUUCAAAUGAGAAAGUAAAAAUAAAUAAUUAACUAGAAAUUAAACCACAAUUUACUGAACUCAGGAUAACAAUAGUUAAAGGCCUCAAUUAAUUAAAAUAAGGAAACAAUCAAAAAUAAAAUAAAGUAGGUAAUUAAAAGUCAAAUGGCAAUCCACUACAAUCAAGGAAAUAUUAACUAAAGAUCUAGCCAAGAAAUAACUUCAGCAAUGGUUCACCUAAUCGAUCAUUGAUGCAAAGCAAUCCCAAUUAUUUACUAAUAAAUAGGUUAUAACUACCAAACAAGCGAUGGCAGUCAACCCCUCCUUACUGUGUCGGUGAUCAAGGUACGCCCGUUAAUCACUGCUCUAAUUGAGAAAUAAUCCUAGGUACGCCCGUAGAAUUUAAUUCCCCAACUGCCUUACGUAUUAGAGGAGCCCUAUUCUACCCAAAUAACACACUACCAGGGUUAUUUUAGAUUAGCCCGCGUAUCCCCCUGACACGAAUCUAAUCGUGCCAGUUGUCACUAAUUUGAGGUAAUUAAACAAUUACGGAUUCAAUACCCCAAUUGACAAUAGAUUAUCAAACCAAUGAAUUAUCCGGAUCCAAGACAAUCAACUAAUUAAAUAAUCAUAAGCACUGCAACCAAGGAAUAUGCGAAUACCAAUAAAUAAAGGAAAAGAUAAAAUUAAAUCGAUCUCACAAUUUACAGGUGAUCCAAAGCAUCAGUCGUUUCUUGACUAGAACGAGGGGGUUAGCUCAUAUUGGAUGAACUAAGCCCGCGGGAAAUUCCAGCAAAAGUCACGGCCGUUGUAUGCAUUUCAAGAGCCGCAAUUCGUCAAACACUUGGAAAGCGAAUGUAAGGCACGGGUAACAAUUGAAGCUUUCUAAUUGUUCCUAGCAUUCGUAAAGCAAAUUCACUCCAGAAGUACAGUGAGGAAAAGUCAAAGAAAGUGGGCUUCAAUUCCUUGCUCCUGACAUGCGUGGAGACAAGCCAAUGCAAGACUACAAUAAACUAACAAGGAAAAGUCAAGAAUUGGAGCUAAGCUCCCCUGCCAUGCGCAGGAAUCCGAAAAGUAAAAAGUAAAGCUUCAAAGAAAAGUCAACAAUUCUUCCUAAGCUACAGACGGAAGAUCCAGCACAAAAGCCAGCUCCCUUUUUUAUCCCUUUUUCCCCCUUCUUAUUGCGGCGGCUCACCAGGAGAGGAGAGCCCUCCGUCCGUCCUUUCUUCCGAAAAUUACCAAAAUGGGCAUGACAUCUUCUCUUCCAAAAGUGCCCCUGGGACAAGCUUUCUCAUCUGAAUUCUUUUUUUUUCCAAUUUGGCACCUGUUAUCAUAUUUAUAUUCUACUCCCUGAAAUAAACGUCAAAUACUAAAAGUGAGUAGAAUCCAGCAAAUAAAUCCACAUCAAGUCAGGUAAUAGGAGGAAUUAAUAAUAAAAUAAAUGAAUAAAUUGCACCCUAUCAGAAAAAUGCAAAAAUUUGUUAUUUAUCAUUAAGGAUCAUAUCGCAUAUAACAUCAAAAAAUAGUAUAUUAUUUAUAUCUUUCACUUAAUAUAAUAUCCAAAUUACUCUUUUCAGUUACAUACCCAUUGUUAGACAAAAUCAACAACAAAUAACCAAAAAAUUUGCAACCAAAAUAUUACCAAAAAAAUAAACUUUAACAUCAUAAAUAUUUUUAUCAACAUAUUAAAGUUAGUUAUUGAAAUUUUUAUGGUGUUAAACUUCACUCUUAGCAAUAUUUUGGUUACAGAUUUUUUUGAUUAUUUAUUGUUGAUCGUGUUUGACAAUGGAUUUGUAACUGAAAAGAAUAAUUUGAAUCUUACAUUAAGUGAAAUAUAUAAAAUAUUAUACUAUUUUUUAUGGCAUAUGUGAUUCUUUUUUUUUUUUUUAUCAGAACGGCAACAUUGUAUUAAUAGUAAACCAAUUACAGUAUAGGUGGGCAACCGCCCUCACAAUCUGCCUGGACUUGUUCCAGCAGCCAAACUGGGAAGUUUUCCUUCCAUUCAGUAUUUUGUUCCAAAGUAAUAGCUACUUUAGCUAGUUUAUGGCUAACAAAGUUGUUCACCCUAUUUGCAAAGGUAAAACAACAUUCAUCAAAUUUUAUUCAUGUACAAUUGUUGCUAUCACCACGUCCUCCUCCUCCUCCUCACUGCACACUACUUGACUACCACCCUUCGCCAACCUUGCUGUUGCAUGUGCAACUAUCAUGGCCUCUCUUAGCGCCUUUGCUUCUUCGACCUUUGGACUGGCACAGCUAAAAUUUGGAACAGCCCAGGCCCACCCGCAAUCUUCCCAACCAAUCCCUGGCCACCCUUUUCCCACCCAGCUUCUAUGGCAUGUGUGAUUCAAUCCUUCUUGAUAGGAUUGGUAAUAGAGGCAGAGGGGGGAGCCGGCUGCAUCCGGUCUACUUUUCAUAGAUAGUACAAUAUUGCGAAAUCGAUCGCAUUCACACAAGAAUAUUUCGAAGUCAUUGCAUCGCUAAGUUGCAAAAAAGUACAAACACUUGUUAUUAUAUAGCUUAAGAUUCAAAACUUUAGAGCACAACCCUCCACCUAACACAAUUGAAUAAUGAAUAUUCACGAUUGUCAAAUCUGUCAAAGCACAGUUUGAGGACAACCCAUUCCAACCUGCAAAAGAUUUUUGACUUUUUUAAAGUUGUUGAGAGCUGUAAAAAGACUUACCAUGCUUACAUCUUCCGAGCCUUGGGAGUUAAAAAUGAAGGCACUGAGUGCUAUAAAAAGGGGGCUAGAGGCUGCCUAGAAGCAUAUCAGCCUAAAACAAGAAUUUGUAGUUAUGAUGGGAAGCAAAGCAAAAGCAAUGGGGUCUGGGCUGACUCCUCUUCUUACCACUGUUUUAGUGGUAUUUGUUGCUCUUGGCUUGCCCUCAGAAACUGCAGCUGAUGAUCACUACAAGUAUUCAUCUCCUCCUCCUCCUUACCACUAUCCCUCACCACCACCUCCAGUGCAUUUACCUCCACCAGUGUACAAAUACAAGUCCCCACCACCACCUCAUCAUGUUUACAAGUACAAAUCUCCACCACCCCCACCACCACACCCAGUUUACAAGUAUAAGUCGCCACCACCACCUCCUCAUCCGGUAUACAAGUACAAGUCUCCUCCGCCACCUCCUCAUCCGGUACCACACCCAGUUUACAAGUAUAAGUCACCACCACCACCUCCUCAUCCGGUACCACACCCAGUUUACAAGUAUAAGUCUCCUCCGCCACCAGUUUACAAAUAUAAGUCUCCUCCACCACCACCUCCAGUGUACAAAUACAAGUCUCCACCACCACCAGUUUACCACUACAAGUCUCCACCACCUCCUCCCCCAGUUUACAAAUACAAGUCUCCACCACCACCACCACCAGUUUACCACUACAAGUCACCACCACCUCCUCCCCCAGUUUACAAAUACAAGUCUCCACCACCUCCUCACCACUACUAAGCAAUUGCUUCUGAGGUAAUAACACUUGUUCAAUAUACCCACUUCUGCAUGAUAAAGCAUAUCUCUAUCAACACAAACUGUCAUGUCUAUCAUGCUAAGUGCCUUCACUUCAUCCACCAAAAUGACUGCUAGAAAAUUUUUUUUAUGUUACCAAAGAAAGGCAUCAUUUUUUCCCUCUGUUAUCAAGAACUUGUACAGUAUAUAGAUUAAAGAGUAUUUUUUUAACUAGCUUAUCAACUGAGAAAUGCAUAUAGCUGAUAGCCAGCUGAAUAUUUGCAGGCAAAGGAGAAGGAAACCAGUGUUUGAGACCUUCUUGAAGAUGUAGAAGCAUAAGAAUUAAAGCCCAAUGUGAAGAUGAUGAUUUCAAGUUUUUCUACGUUACCAUUUCUUUAUCUAAAUUGGUUGUAGCGCCUUAGUUCCUUUGUUUAUGGGAUUUGUAUCGUUUUACGUACCAUGCAGUACAUGUCAUGUUUGUAAGGUUUUCUAUCCUGCCGGCAAACCGCAGGUUCCAUGUAAUAAAUCAAUACUAUUUAUAUUACGACACUUUUCUCUGUUUCUCUUAUAUUUUGUCGUCUUUAAUAUUCUUAAUCAUAUUUUUAACAAAAAUAUUCAAACACUUAGGCAAUCUGGUCUAAUGCUAAUUGUAUGUUUUACUUUUCUUUUUCACCUGCUCCCCUUUUCAACUCAAAAGGAUGCAAUAGUUUGUGAUCACUGUUGAAGACGGAAGCAUGAUACUAAUGAAUAUAUCAUUGAAACUCAAGGAAACUAACAUUAUGAAAAGUGUAAAUCUUGAUUUGAUGCAACUAUUUAUUCGUGGAAUCUAUAGUUACAAAACUCAAACUCUGACUGCGCCAUUGAUAAAUUAUUAAUGACGCUAUCAUCAUUAUUUAUCCCCAACUAGUUUCGACUACAACUGAACCCAAUAUUUUCCCCAUGAUAAAAGUUUUUUACUAUUUUACUGGCCUCUCUUCAAAUUUUAAAAAUUACACUAAUCUUCAUUGAGAUUAAUUAUCUUGUAGCAUUUAAGUCCAAUUAAUAAUUAAAAAAUAAUAUUAUGAGAGAGAAAAUAAUAUAAUUUUAUCAUUGCCCCCCAUCUUGCUAUAUUAUUUAAUUAAUUUAAUAGCAACCCACACAUUAAAGAAAAAUACUAAAAUUUGCUGCUUUUCAUUAAAGAUCAAAUUGCAUAUGCCAUAAAACAUAGUAUAUCAUUCUAUAUGUUUCACUUAAUGUAAGAUCCCAAUUGUUCUUUUCAAUUACAAACCCAUUGUCAAACAUGAUCAAUAACAAAUAACCAAAAAAUUUGCAACCAAAAUAUUACAAAAAAAAACUUUAACAUCAUAAAUAUUCUUACCACCUCUAGUGCAUUCACCCUCAUAAAAUAAUUCAAGACCCUACUGUCAUAAAAUGACUGAUCAACUCCUGUAAACCUAAUUUGACAACAUUUAAAUGGAGAACUUUAGCUAAAAGAAUUAUGGUCAAGCUAAAGAAAAAACCAGUUAUUUUCCAACAUAUGCAAUCAUUGAUCAGGGAAAAAAAAAAGAAGCAAAAAGACAUCUUCAAUCAUUUAAUAGCUUACAGGGCAAAUUAACCCCUAAGCGAAAACUGGUUGCUCUAGAAUCAAAAUUUUACUUUAGUUACCCAGGCAACUUUUUUUGUUGCCUUUUCUUUUUCUUUUUUGGGUAUAUAUAUAGCUCCAGUUUUGCCCCCUCUGUCAAGCUUAUAUAAUUAUUAAGAUAAUAAAAGUGCCUUUAAUAGUAUUAAUAUAUCCAUUGACUUGAGCUGUCAUCGAUCGGUUUGGGCUACUUCGAUUCCAUGAGAACAAAUGGUAAUAAAAGUACUCAGAAAAUGGGGAGUCAUGAAACCCUUUUGUUCUAUUCAUUGCUAAGAUGCUUUUCUCUAUAAAGACACUUCCUAACGAAAAUACUUUGUAGAUUUCUUUACUCCAAGUGGUGCAUGGAAAAUUAAUAUUUUCAAUUAUCAAAUAAAAUUCCCUUUUUUCGGUGUAGAUUUCAUCCAUUCAGCUGUUAACACUCCGAAUUGACUAAUCUUUUCGUUUCCAUUUUCCAACUUGCGAAUACGGCAUCUUACAUAUUGUCUGCUGAAUAUGAAUACAUAUCCCUUUUCUGAGCAGGUGCAGAGUCAUUAUCAUUUUUAUUCCCACCUAACAAAUUAGUUAAUAAUCUUUUAAAGAACAUGUUAAAUUAAUUUAUUGGUAUGAAUAGUAGUCAAAGAAGUAUGUUAAAGUUAGUAAUCUUUAAAAUAAUAUGUUAAAAUUAUUCGUACAAAUUAGCCAGAGAAGUAGCAUAAACACCGCGAUGCAAUUAAUACUUUCAAUCUCAAGGUCUCUAUUAUGGAAAUUUGCAUCGGUCAACAUACACAAAGCAUUAUUGUAUGCACGUCUCUCUAUUAUGGAAAUUUGCAUAGGUCAAUAUACACUUGGCAUAGUUGCAUGCACGUCCAAUUUUUUUUUAUUUUUAUUUUUGGUAUUUUACUUCCUGCCUUAAGUUGCCUGCAGAUGUUUGUAUUACAAAUAUAUGGUAUACUAAAUAUAUAGUAUGCACAUUAAUUUCUUUGGGUUGCUUAAGGGUAUAUUGUUAAUAAUAGGGGGUUUAACCAUAAAUUAUAACAAUGAUGAAGUAAUAUAUAUUAGAAAAUUAACACAAUUAUGAUUUUUUUUUUUGUAAAAUUCAAAUUUUAUUAAUAAGAAAUGAAAUAGGCAGUAAGCAUUUACAAACCGAAAACAAAAUCCUACAACAACUCUAGGACUCUACACCUUAUUAAAAAAAAACAUUUUGAUAGCGUUUUUCCAAAAGCAGAAGAUGGAAAAUUGCCCAUUUGUACUGGGGAGUUCGUGAUCUUUUCCUCAUUCUAGUCUACUUACAAUUCUUGGAAAAAGGAAUACUCACAUCUCAAACAACAGCCUGUUCAUCUGCAGUGUCCUGCCGAAUUCUAGAAAGUUUGGUGGCAAUGUUAAUUACAUUUCAAAAUUGACUGCUGCGAUAACUAAUUCGAUGGCUUACUACAUGGUCAACGUUUGGAUCUCUUCCUGUCCUUUUUGGAUGCACAUUUUUUUUCUCUAGGUAAUAUAUAAUCUCCCAACUCAUUUCUUUACAAAUGCACCUUUAAUCACCACCAAAAGGUGUGGACAUGAUCUUUACCCUAGAAAACUAUUCACCGACAGGCAAAUUGACGUCAGAAAUACUAAGAGGAAUUCUAGUUUCCUUCGGGUUAAUGCCAUUUUGUACCCUUCAACUGUAACUCAAUUUCUAAGCUGUAAUUUGUGACAUUAUAGUCCUUAAACUAUGAAACCCUUUCUUAUUUAAUUACAAUGGUUAAUACAAUGCCCGUGACUAGACAAGUAUGAAGCAACCAUAACAAAAAAAAAAUCCAAAAUUAGAGAAAAGAAAGAAGUUGCGACCAAAGUAUGUAUCAAGGCAUAGUAUAGAAAUAAAAGUGUCAAAAUUAAGAGUUUAGGGAUAAAAAAGAAUCAAAAUAUAGUUUAGGAAUUGAUUUGUCUCAAUUAGAGUUUAGAUGUCAACUAAGAAGAGAGAUAUAGUUGAAGGGUAGAAUAUAGAUAUAACAGUUCAAUGAUUGAUAUCAACGAGACAAUGACAACUUUGGAUUAUUACCAACCUCUUCUUGAUGGAAAAGGAAAUAGAGAAGAAAGUCGGGCCUGGUCUAAGCCUGUUUCGGAGGCAAAACAACAUUAUGAAAUCACCGGCAUUCACACAAAUAUGUCAAAGUCACCGGCAUGCUAAGUUGCAAAAUUUAUACAAACACUGAAUAUUAUAUUCUUCUCAAAAUUUUUGUUUAAGAUUUAACAAUUAGAGCACGGUACACGAAUUAGCAAUAUUAAAUAAUGAAUGUUCACGAUUGAUAAAGUUAUCAAAGUACAGUUUGAGGACAACCCAUUCCAACGUGUACAAGAUGUUUAGCCUUUGAAAAGUUAAUUAGAGAAGGUGACGAGAUUUUACUAGGCUUACAACUUCUAGGCCUUGGGAGUAAAAAGUGAAGACACUGAGUGCUAUAAAAAGGGGGCUAGAUGUUGCCUAGAAGCAUAUCAGCCUCGGACCACAUUUUGUAGCAAUGGGGAGCAAAGCAAAAGCAAUGGGGUCUAGGCUGACUCCUCUUUUUACCACCGUUUUAGUGGUAUUUGUUGCACUUGGCUUGCCUUCAGAAACUGCAGCUGAUUACGACAAGUAUUCACCUCCUCCUCCUCCUUACCAUUAUUACUCACCACCACCUCUUGUGCAUUCACCUCCACCACCGCCAGUUUAUAAGUCACCCCCACCACCUUAUCACUACUUCUCACCACCACCUCCAGUGUAUCCAUCUCCACCACCAUCUGUUUACAAGUCACCUCCACCACCUUCGCCAGUAUACAAGUCCCCACCACCACCUUAUCAAUAUUCCUCACCACCACCUCCAGUGCAUUCACCUCCACCACCACCGAUUUAUAAGUCACCUCCACCACCUCCUCCAGUUUACAAGUCCCCGCCACCACCUUACCAUUAUUCCGCACCAUCACCUCCAGUGCAUUCACCUCCACCACCACCGAUUUACAAGUCACCUCCACCACCUCCUCCAGUUUACAAGUCUCCAUCACCACCUUACCAUUAUUCCUCACCACCACCUCCAGUGCAUUCACCCCUACCACCACCGGUUUACAAGUCUCUGCCACCACCUUACCAUUAUUCCUCACCACCACCUCCUAUGCAUGCACCUCCACCACCAAUAUACAAGUCACCUCCACCACCUCCUCCAGUUUACAAGUCUCCACCACCACCUUACCAUUAUUCCUCACCACCACCUCCAGUGCAUUCACCCCUACCACCACCAGUUUACAAGUCUCCGCCACCACCUUACCAUUAUUCCUCACCACCACCUCCUGUGCAUGCACUGCCACCACCAAUUUACAAGUCACCUCCACCACCUCCUCCAGUUUACAAGUCCCCACCACCACCUUACCAUUAUUCCUCACCACUACCUCCAGUGCAUUCACCUCCACCACCACCGAUUUACAAGUCACCUUCACCACCUCCUCCAGUUUACAAGUCUUCACCACCACCUUACCAUUAUUCCUCACCACCACCACUCUUCAAUUUGGAUGUAAUUCAAUUUUCCUUGUAAUCGGUGGCCCUCCUUCGGAAUCCAAAUAGUCAUUGAGUGCAGCCUUCUUUCUUUAUUUUUUACUCAUUUUCACCUCAUAAAUUGCUUUCAUCCCCUAAAACUUGUUCGCUGGAAUUUUGAAUUUACCCAUACAACUAAACUCAGAAAAUUCUUACACAAAGGGAUUAGUAGCAUGAAUAGCAAACACAGAAUAAGAGAUAACAGUAUGUUUUAUUGUAUUAAAAAUAUUAAAGUGGAUUAUUUCUCCAUCGAAUUCCAUUGUGAGAGUAUCGUUACUAACAUCAAUCUUAGUUUGAGCAGUACUCAAGAAUGACCUUCCUAAUAUAAUGGGUGAUGGAUUUGGGACACUUUCAUCAUCCAUAUAAAACACAUAAAAAUCAACAGAAAAAAUUAAUCCAUCUACUUGAACUAAAAACAUCCUCAACUACCCCAUUUAGAUAAGCAAAUAUACGAUCAGCCAAUUGAAUUAUUAUCCCUAUUUCUUUUAAAUGUUCUAAAUUUAGGGAAUCAUAAAUUGAUUUAGACAUCACAUUAAUAGAAAUCUUUAAAUCUAUCAUGGCAUUUUUUAUAUUAGAAUGUCCAAUCUUACAUGAGAUAGUAAACAUACCUAGAUUCUCGCAUUUAGGUGGUAGUUUCCUUUGUAAAAUUGCUGAAACGUUCUCAUCUACCACAAUAUGCUUGUCCUCCUCAAUUUCUUCUUGUUGACACACAAGUUUUUCAAGCAUUUAACGUAUUUUGGAACUUAUUUGAUUUGCGUCCAACAAAGGGAUAUUGAUUGCCACCUUGCGAAAAUCUCUAAAAUCUCCUUUUCUUUAUCUUGUUUCUUUGAUUUCUCUAACCUGCUUGGAAAAGGUGGUGAGUUAGUUCCAACUCUAAUUAUAGAAUCAACAAUUACCUUUGGAUUCACAUUUCUCAUUCCUUCCUCCUCAAGCUCUUUGUCGAUUCGAUCUUCAUUUUUAUCCUUUGGAAUCACAACUUCGGAUCCCUGAAUUUUCUUCUCGCUCCUUAAGGUCAUUACACUUACAUUCUUCAGGUUCAGUUCAGGUUGAGACGACAAUUUUUCAUAGAUUUGGGAUUCCAGGCGGUUGAUUGCUAUUACCAUCUGACUCAUCUGACUCUGCAGUGCUUGCACCUGUCCCAAUUGAUUCCUCAUACUUUGCAAGUCAAAAUCCAUCUUUUGUUGAUUAGCAAUUAAUUGCUUCAUUAUCUCUUCUAUAGAUGGACUUGAGUUUGAAAGAGGUGGUGGCGGGCGAGACUGAUACUGUUAUUGAUACCCUUGCUAUCUAUUUGGUGCAAAAUCUGGCUACCUAUUUCCUCCAUAGCUGAGGUUGGGAUGAUCUCUCCAACCAAUAUUGUACGUAUUCGUGUACGAGUCGUAUGGUUUUCUUGGCACGGCGCGUGACCAGCCAUGUUCACUUGCUCCGUACUUUUCUCUUGAAUCAUUGAGCACAUCUCUGUAGAAUGACCCAUAGCAGUGCAGAUCCCACACAUCUUGACUCGUGAUGCAUUUCCUAUAGCUAAUUGCCUAACAAAGGAUGUUAAUUCGGUCAACUGCUGUUGGAUAGAAUAUGUUUCUACCUCAUUUACUUUGCGUGUUGGGGCAUCCUCCCUCGUACCAAACUGUUGCGAAUUUUCCGCCAUUCCUUCAACUAGCUCCCACGCUUCUCGAGAAGUCUUGUUCACCAAUGCCCUUCUACUUGCAGCAUCAAUUAUACUCCUGUCUCUAAAACGCAGCCCCUCGCAAAAAUAUUGGAUGAGCAAUUGCUCACUUAUUUGGUGUUGAGGGAACUUGAUGCAUAACUUCUUGAAUCGCUCCCAAUAAUCAUAAAGCGACUCUCCUGGAUGCUACUUGAUACCGUAUAUCUCCUUCCUUAGACUUGCAGCUCGAGAUGCAAGAAAAUAUUUGUCCAAGAACUUUUUCUUCAGCUGAUCCCACGUGGUGAUGCUACCUGGUGGUAGAUAGCACAGCCAGUCUUUUGCGGAGUCCUUCAAGGAGAAGGGAAAUGCCCUCAUUUUUAUCUAUUUUUCUGUAAUUCUCGGAGGUUUUAUGCUGUUGCAAACGACAUCAAACUCUUGCAAGUGCUUAUACGGUUCCUCACCUGGUAAACCAUAGAAAGAUGGCAAGAGAUGAAUUAGACCAGAUUUUAACUCAAAUGAAGUGUUAUCAUUUAAAAAUAGAAAAGUAACUGAGAUGCAGCACUGGAAUGUUCUUCUCGAAAUUGUCUGGUCUCUUUCUUUGUUCUACGCGUAGUCUUCUCUACCUUAGGAUCAAAAAUUAAUUUACCUGUACGAGAAGAACGAGGCAUACACUAGAAAAACACUAGAAAAUUAGAACAAAAAUGAACAUAAAAAGAAACAAAUAAACCAACGUCAGUCCCCAGCAACGGCGCUAAAAAUUGACAAGUUGUCGAUGCCUGUGCAAUAAUAAAAAUAAACCUAGUUACCAAUUAAAAUAAUCAGAGCCUAAUUCUGAGUACUAGAGCAGGGACUAUAGGUGUGCAAUGGGUUACUUGAUUCACCCUAUUCCUGAAGUUUGCUUAACCCGAUAUACCAGAAUGAGAUUGCUUAUUCAAAAGGAAUUAUUGAUUUGUAAACAGGGCAAGUAGGGUCGUAUCAUCAGGGAUUGAAAAAAUUUGUUUCUUUUCAAAUCCACAGUAACAAGGGGAUGUUUUUGUAUAAAUGAUAACAAUCUAAGGAGUGCAAAUAGAAAUAAAUAGAUAACUAGAAAUUAAAUGACAAUUCACUAAAAUUAGAGUAAUAAUAAUUAAAGGUCUAGCUAAGAAAUAACUUCAGCAAUGGUUCACCUAAUUGAUCAUCGACGCAAAGGCAAUUCCAAUUAUUUACUAAUAAAUAGGUUAUAACUGCAAAACAAGCAAUGACAGUCAACCCCUCCUUACUGUCGGUCGGUGAUUAAGGUACGCCCAAUCACUGCUCUAGUUGAGAAAUAAUUUUAGGGACGCUCGUAAGAUUUAAUUUUCCAAUUGCCUUACGUAUUAGAGGAGCCAUAAUCUAACCAAAUAACGCUACCAGGAUUAUUUUAAAUUAACCCGUGUAUUCCCUUGAUACAAAUUCAAUCAUGUCAGUUGUCACUAUUUCAAGGUAAUGAAACAAUUACGGAUUUAAUAUCCUAAUUGACAAUAGGUUACUAAAUCAAUUCACUAUUUCGAUCCAAGAUAAUCAAUCAAUUUAACAACUAAUAGCACUGCAAUCGGAGAAUAUGUAAAUACCAAUAAAUAAGAGGAAAAGAUAAAAUUAAAUCGAUCUCACAAUUUUUAAACAAAUCAAAGUAUCCGUUGUUUCUUGACUAGAAAAGAAAAUUUAGUUCAUUCCUAAUGUGAAAGACCCACGUGAGAAUUCAAAAAUAAUAUUCACGGAUAUUGUCUUGAUUCAAUAGAUUCAAUUGCGUUGGAAUAAGGAUAAAAAGCCAAACUAUAGAGAGUGAUUCAAUGUUUUGUUUCGUUUGCAUUUUUUCUACACAUAUGGAAGAAGAAAAACAACUAAAGGACGAAAAAAAAAAGUCAAAGAAAGGCACCCAAAGUAGUGCUUGGUCUCUACCAUCCUAUUUCCUAUCUAAUUACUACUUCCCUUCUGCGGCUGCCUAGAGGAAGAAAGAGAAAGCAGACUUCAGGUCUUGUUCCAUCUCCUCCCUUUUCGGCAAUUCCCCAAAAGUAGAAAAGUUCCUCCGUUUACCAAAAUGCCCCUGGAAUGAGGACUGCUACUUGAACUCAUUUUCUUGAUAACUGUCAAAUUAGCACUUGUUAUGGUAUUUGCGUCUACUUCCUGUAAUAAAUGUAAAUUGCCAAAAGUGAGUAAACUGAUAAUUAAUUUACAUCAGGUCAGGUAAUAGGAAAAAUUAAUUAUAAAAUAAAUGAUAAAAUUGCAACCUAUCACUUAGAAUAACCAGAAAUAAAACAAAACAAGAAAUGAAAGAAAUAAGAGGGUAGCAUAGACAUUUUGGAUUUUUCUGUUAAUUUGGAUGAUUUCCACCUACGGUCUAAUUUAAUCCAAAACACAAAUGGAUUAUGUGGAGAUUUUUAAACAAUGAGGGAGUAUCGUGACCGAAUCCCAAACCACAAAGGGGAUUUACUAUAUUUUACUCUUAAAUUUUGGUUUCAUCUCAUAGCAUACAAGAGUACUAUUUCACUGUCUGUCGACCAGGGAGGAGGGUUGGGUUGGGUGGUACGGGGGAGGGAGUCUAAGUAAGAGGUCUCAGGUUCGAAUCCUCCUGUUUAUACUAAAAAAAAAAAUUUACUAUCUGUCGACAAAGAUUUUCUAUGGUUGAUGUACCAUAGGAAAAAUCUGCCUAUACAAUUAUUUGGAAAAAUUAUCCAUCCAAACAUAGUCACGAUAGCAUUUUUUCAAAAACACUAGAUGCAAAAUUGUCCCCUUAAACGUGGAAAUUCAUGAUCUUUCCUCGACUAGUCUACUUGUCAAUUUUUGAAAAAAGAAUACUCACGCCAAAAACACGGCCUCUUCAUCUGCAGAAUUCUAAAAAGUUACGUAAACUCUAUAAACAAGUUGAUAGGUACAAUCGUACCCAAGAUCAAGUACAGAUAGUUGUACAUUCACUGCUGCAAUAACUAAUCUGAUGACUUACAAACACAUCAUGGUCAAUCGUUGAAUGGUAAUGAGUCUUUUGUUAUGCAUUAGUAUUAGUGUGUACACUCUAAUAGAUUGAUACUUAUACUCUUUAAAUUAUCAUAAUAAUACCCUUAAUUAACUUUAACCCUUAAAAAGAAUACGUGUUAAUACACGAGAGUGUGUAACCUGAAUUGUUACUUAUACAUUAGUGUGUAAUAGAACGGCAAGCAUUAUGGUGGUCAUUGAGCAACUUAUAGGAGAAAUAGUCCUAUAAGCUGUUCAAUGACCAAUCACAACUUGCUAAUUGGAUGACUAAUAUAGCUCUAGCUGUAAUGUUUUAAUUAAAUUCCACACUAACGUUGGGAUGACUUUUUAAUCAAAAAAAAAAAAGCCUUAGUUCAAGCUUUUCCCCUUAUUGUGCAUUUUUUAAAACAUUUGAUAGGCACUGCAAAUCUGUCAUUUUGGACAUUUUAUUAUUAACUAACAAUGAAAGCCGUGGACAUCAACCCAUAUCCAACAAAAUAUUAAAUUAAUAUUAGAAAAAUUAUUAAGUAAUUGGAAAAAAAAAAGAAGAGGCUAAUUUUCAUUGAAACCCACCGACAAACUAUCCGUGUCCAUAGCUUUUGAAUAGUGCAUUCAACGUUUAAUUGUAUGGUCCAGUUCAUUGCCGAUUACAUGGAGUAAAGAUUGUGCUCUUUCCUUUUUCACCCCUUUUGGAAUCGAUACUGUGGAGAAUUGGGUUUUUCCCUCCUUUUUUUCUUUUCUUUCCUUCUGUGCUUUGCAAAACAUACGUAAAAAUAUGAAAUCCGAAGCAUUCUUUAAUUGGGAUUAAGUAUUGUUGUUGAAAUUAAAAAGAAGAAAGAAAGAACAACAAAAAUCCCAAUCUGGGUUGAUUGUUGAGCUCUAGAUUGGCUGCAUCGUGCUUCCAUAGAAGUUCUCUUAGUGUGAUACGCUGCUUUCAAUCAGUUUUAAUAUUUAAGUAGAGUGCAAAAUAACUUUACUAUUUAAUGGGUUAUAAUGCACCAUUUGGUACCUCUCACCCACCUAUGAUUUGAUUUACUACUGGCAUGGUAAUGGACAGAGUUGGGGGAGCAGGAGGAGGGAGAUGGCGGUACCAGUCCGUCAACCACAGCACACCCUCCCUCGGACUUUGCGUGGUAGCGAAGUGGAGGCAGAUCGAGCACACAUGCACUAACGCCUUAAGUAUGUACAAUAUAUGUAUGCCAAAAGCAUAGCCAAGCCUACCAGCGCAUUUCAAUAAUAUAACCCGGAAAUUAAGGGCAUUGAAUUAAGUACGAUGAAUCAUAUUGGUGCACAAUUACAGUUUGAAGCUACCGAUUCGAGUAAAUUUAAGCGUAAGCACAAUCAAUCGCCAGUCAAAUGCUGAAAUAUGCAUAUGCAUGGAUGAAUGUAUGGGUUUCUUAGUUCCAGACCAAAGGCCAACAAUAAGGGAAGGAAGGACAGUUCUCAUUUUUAGCACGGACAAGGAGAUGAAGAAAAGUGUAUGUAGCUUGAGACAGAACAAUGGCAUGUGACCGCUCCUGAGACCACAUAACGUGGGGUGGGGAUGGGACGGCCAAGAAUGAAGAUGCCUGUCGGUCUCUCCGUGCUGCUACCAUAUGAAUCCCCCGUUAACCAAUUCAAGAUAAGCCUGAAGUUCUUUUCAUCCCCAAACCCUGUCCCAUCUGUGUAAAUCCAACAUCAUCAUUUACGACCUGCAACUCAGGUUAAGCAUGUUCUAUUGAGAUUCAGACACCACCCUUCAAAAGAUAUACUACUGUGAAACCAGCAGCUUAAUAUCAUUGUAUAAAAAAAAAAAAAAAAGAAAGAAGAAAAGACAUGAAAAGCAAAUUUUGUGGGGAUAAUUUCAAAAUCUCUCCUAAAGUUUUUUACUAUUUUACUGGCCUCCUUUCAAAUUUUAAAAAUUACACCAGUCUUCCUUGAGAUUAUUUAUCUUGUAACAUUGAGGUCCAAUCAAUAAUUAAAAAAUGAUAUUAUGAGAGAGAAAAAAAAUAAACUUUAACAUCAUAAAUAUUCUUAUCAACAUAUUAAAGUUAGUUACUGAAAUUUUUAUGGUGUUAAACUUCACUCUUUGUAAUAUUUUAGUUACAGAUUUUUUGAUUACUUGUUGUUGAUUUUUUUUUUUUUAGUGUAAACAGGAGGACUCGAACCUAAGACCUCUCACUUACACUCCCUCCCCCCGUACCACCCCAACCCAACCCAACCCUCCCCUCGUUGUUGAUCAUGUUUGACAAUGGAUUUGUAAUUGAAAAGAACAAUUUGGAUCUUACAUUGAGUGAAAUAUAUAGAAUGAUAUACUAUUUUUUAUGGCAUAUGUGAUUCAAUCCUUGAUGAUAAAAGCAAAUUCAAGUGUUUUCUUUAAUGUUUGUGCUGAUAUUAGAUUAAUUAAAUAAUUUAGUAGAUGAAGGAAAAUGGUGAAAUCAUAUUAUCUUCUCUUUCCUAAUAUCACUAUUUAAUUAUUGAUUGAACUUAGAUAUUACAAAUAAUAAAUCUCAAGGGAGAUUAGUAUAAUUUUCAAAUUUUGGAGAGAAGCUAAUGAAAUAGUCAAAAACCUUAAGGGAGGUUUACAAAAUUAUCCCAAAUUUGUGGGAAUUAGAAUAAUUGUACUGGACGGCACUGCCGCAACAGAGGGAAAGAGGAGGAGGUGCAGUUAACUUUUUGUUGUUUGAAAUCCUUGGUGAAAUAUUACAGAAAGACAGAUAAAACAGUUAGUACAUAGAUGUAUAUGACAGGGAAAAUGGUACGUCUGUUAAUCACAUUUGAAACACUUUCAUUGGUGAAUGACGAAAACUAUCAGGCUUGCCCAAUAGUUGAUCAUUGACCAAGACAAAUCUUGCCAUGCUAGAGGUACCAUCUUUUCGUACCUCUUUAGUGCACAGGACAUUCCUUUGUUUCAUCUAGCUAAUAAUCUACCAACUCAUUUCUUUGCAAAUGCACCUUUUAUGGUCACGUCUACGAAAGCUUUACAGGAUCUUUACCCAAAAAAUCAAUUCACCGACUCGCAUUUGAUGUCAAAAUUUCUUUACUUUACUCCAAGAUUGACUGUUAAUAAUAAUGCCACUUUGAAUUAUCACACCAUCCUUCUUGAUAGGAUUUGUGCUAGAGGUAGGGAGGGAGUCGCUGCAGCCGGUCUUCUCUUCAUAGACAGUACAAUAUUGCGAAAUCGAUCGCAUUCACGCAAUAUUAUAUUUCCAAGUCGUUGCAUGGGUAAGCUGCCAAAAAGUACGAACACAUGUUAUUAUAUAGCUUAAGAUUCAAAACUUUCGAGCAUAACCCUCCACCUAACACAAUUGAAUAAUGGAUAUUCACGAUUGUCAAAUCUGUCAAAGUACAGUUUGAGGACAACCCAUUCCAACCUGCAAAAGGUUUUUUUACUUUUCUAAAGUUGUUGAGAGCUGUUAAAAGAUUUACCAUGCUUACAUCUUCCGAGCCUUGGGAGUUAAAAAUGAAGGCACUGAGUGCUAUAAAAAGGGAAUAGAGGCUGCCUAGAAGCAUACCAGCCUAAAACAAGGAUUUGUAGUUAUGAUGGGAAGCAAAGCAAAAGCAAUGGGGUCUGGGCUGACUCCUCUUCUUGCCACUGUUUUAGUGGUGUUUGUUGCUCUUGGCUUGCCCUCAGAAACUGCAGCUGAUGAUCACUACAAGUAUUCAUCUCCUCCUCCUCCUUACACUAUCCCUCACCACCACCUCCAGUGCAUAUACCUCCACCUCAUCCUGUUUACAAGUACAAAUCUCCACCACCCCCACCACCACACCCAGUUUACAAGUAUAAGUCACCACCACCACCUCCUCAUCCGGUACCACACCCAGUUCCUCAUCCGGUGCCACACCCAGUUCCUCAUCCGGUGCCACACCCAGUUUACAAGUAUAAGUCACCACCACCACCUCCUCAUCCGGUACCACACCCAGUUCCUCAUCCGGUACCCACACCCAGUUUACAAGUAUAAGUCACACCACCACCUCCUCAUCCGGUACCACACCCAGUUUACAAGUAUAAGUCACCACCACCACCUCCUCAUCCGGUAUACAAGUAUAAGUCUCUCCGCCACCAACACCCAGUUUACAAGUAUAAGUCACCACCACCACCUCCUCAUCCGGUGCCACACCCAGUUUACCACUACAAGUCACCACCACCACCUCCUCAUCCGGUACCACACCAGUUUACCAUACAAGUCACCACCAAUCCUCACCCAGUUUACAAAUACGAGUCUCCACCACCUCCAGUUUAUAAGUACAAGUCACCACCACCUCCUCCACCAGUUUACAAGUAUAAAUCUCCUCCACCACCACCACCAGUUUACCACUACAAGUCUCCACCACCUCCUCCCCCAGUUUACAAAUACAAGUCUCCACCACCUCCUCACCACUACUAAGCAAUUGCUUCUGAGGUAAUAACACUUGUUCAAUAUACCCACUUCUGCAUGAUAAAGCAUAUCUCUAUCAACACAAACUGUCAUGUCUAUCAUGCUAAGUGCCUUCACUUCAUCCACCAAAAUGACUGCUAGAAAAUUUUUUUUAUGUUACCAAAGAAAGGCAUCAUUUUUUCCCUCUGUUAUCAAGAACUUGUACAG